UAUAUAUAUAUAGAGAGAGAGAGAGAGAGAGAGAGAGAGAGAGAGAGAGAGAGAAUUGAGCCAGAAUAUUUUUAGAAGCACCAAUCUCUUGGUGCUUCUAAAUUUCUAAUCCUUGAAUUUACUCCUUAAUUGCUAAUACUUUUUAGAUCAAACACUAUUCCACCUACCACCACCUACCACCAUCAUCUCAACCCUACAUCUCUCCAUCUAAUAGUUAAAAACUCAAAAGCACCACCCCCUUGAUGCUUUUGAAAGUAUUCUAGCUCAACUCUCUCUCUCUCUCUCUCUCUCUCUCUAUAUAUAUAUAUAUAUAGUUUUGCAAUAGUGUAAUCUCAUAUUUGGAUUUGUGUUUCCCUAAAAUUUGCAUCAUAUCUAAGAAACUUAAAAGUUUGUAAAUAUUCUUUGAAUGAAGCUUAUGGUCAAGAUUCCAAUGUGUCAUAUUUACGUAAGCAAAAGGAUGAUUUGAACUCACCGAUGUAGAAAAGGACAAACAGUUUGAAACAGCUGGCAUCAACAAGUUAUAGAAUCAAAUUCAAGCUCGUUACGUCGACAAUGGCCUGCCUUUCAGUAAUCUGACAAGCUCAUAGGUCCUCAUAUGCCGACCGGAGUGAAGACAGAGUUCAAGUGGGGUCAACCCAUCCUAAAAGCAUGUAAGAACAUUAUUCAGUCAACAUUUUUGAAAAGAAACAAAUACAGUUCAUGUCACAUAUUGACUGCAAAUAUUGAUCAACGCCAACAAGAGAAAAGGGAAAUAAUAAUUCGUGGAUGAUCAUACGACUAACAACUGGUUACUCCAAAUAUUACUGUAAACACACUUAGUGACUUACAUUAUUUUUUAAGGUUCUGUCUGCACCUUUUAUUAGUAGAAGUCUCACAAUAUCUGUUCUUUGAGUUUGCACUGCGAGAUGCAAUGGCGUCCAACCACUCUACAAAGAAGAAAAAGAUAUUAUAAGAUUGCUAGUCCACAGAGAGAGAGAGAGAGUCCAAGUUUUGUAUAGAAUUUGCUGGCAUACUUCAUCUGCAAGAUUUACAUCAACAUUGUAUAGCAAAAGAAUCUUUAUAGUCGGACUUGACGCAGUUUGGACAGCAUAAUGCAUCAAUGUAGCUCCAUCCUGUUGCAAGCAAGUAGUAUAAUCAAGUUCCAAGAAAAAACUAACAAAAAGCUAUUAAAUCAAAUGCGAGAUCAACAUGCAUUCACAUAAAACUAUUAUAAGCAUUCUAUCUUGUAAAUGAAUAUUAUAUCUCAAUAAAUGAUUCUUAACCAGUACACAUCUGCCUGUUUUUAUCAAAACCAACACAUGAAAUUUGGAAAGUAAGAAAUGCUAGCAGUUUAUGCUGAGUCAUAUUUUUUAUCAGUUAGUGGUCAAGUGAUCAGCACCAGAAAUUACGGAGAUUCUCAUACAAGCAAGAACAGGAAAACAUGCCAAAGUCACAAGCGGAAAUGUGGAAUCGAUGCAAAAAAAGGUCCCAAACAAACACUCAAUCACAAAUUCUGCAUGCAAACCUACGGAGUAAAAUAUCAAUCACUGAACCACAAAGUCAGUUUGAAGUUCCUCCACUAUAACUAUUAGGCAUACAAGUGGACAGAAUUAUACAUGGAUGAUAGAGAAAUGGCCUAUUUAACAGACUCAAAAAUAUGUUAACAAGAGCAAAUAUAAGAGUAUAAUGUUCGUGAAGAUAUUAUACAUUGAAAAGAAAAAGAAAAAAAUUGUUUGGGGGGGGCGGCAGGGGGAGGGAAUAUCAAGCACUUUAUGUAGAUUUCAAAGUUUCUAAAAGGCUUACCCUAUCACGGACAAAUGGAUUUGCUGAGUUUCUCAAAAGAUAAUUGACAAUGGCUUGUUUGUUGCAAAUUAUUGCUUUAUGUAUUGCUGAUAAACCAUCCUGGAAGAAAUAAAAAACAUUGACAGAAAAUAUAGGCAUUAAACAAAAAGGAACUAGCAUAUUAAAAAGUACUGCUCCAAAGUGCUGAACAAUAAAAUAUAUUUUCUUUUCUCACUGCAAGAAGAGAAAAAGAUCAUCACAAAAUAGGAAGAUAGUAUACCUUGUCAACACCAUUGAUAUCAACAUUGUGUCUGAGAAGCCUGUCCAAAAGAUAAAACUCUCCUGAGGCAGCAAGAGUGUGUAGGGGCAGCCAUUUGCUCUAAAAGAAAGAAAGGUCAUACAAUUGAGAGCAUUACAUCAAAAAACUACAUUAAAAAAAAAGAGAAUAUAAGUCAAUAAAGUAUAGCUAUAUGAGCUUUGGAUGAUGACCAGAAAAACAAAAGAUAAUUAAGAUACAGAUGAUGUGUGAAAGCAAAAAUAAAUUUAACUGCACGCCUUAGGUAACAACUAGCAAUCAUCAAUCUUCACUAGUUUUACUCUAUGACACAGUUAUCUGCGCCUUUUACAUACUACCAUCUGUACCAUCUCAAAAGGCAGAGUCCCCUAUUAUGUCUUCAAUUGAAGCCACUCCUACAAGCAAAGUUUUUCAUUCCUAACUGAUGAAUCUGAUCUUUCCCUAUUUCAGAAAUAUGAUAAAGAAAGGUAAAGCAAUGAAAUCGAUAAGCGAGCAACGGUGGAAAGUUUACUCCAUUAGGUAAUAUGAAAAAGAAAGAUAGAAAAGAAUACUAGCAUUGUAAAGUCGCAAGCCCAGAAUUUGCCUAACGAACAGAGAGAACAGAACAAAGAGAGACUACAAAUGAUAUUGACAACAAUCAAUGCAAAAAUAACUUACAGAAGUUGCAACUUCCAGAUCAGGCAUACGUUUGUUCAAAAGAACCUUCUCCUCAUUUGAAAACAGCUUACGACGACCUAAUCAGUUAGGAAAGAAAAUAAGCUUUUGAUAUUAUGCUUGUUGGAGAUGAGAAACGACUUGCGAUGCAAGUGAAUCAGUAAGGAAAACCCAUUUAAGAUAACAAACAAAUUAAAUAUUCUGGAAGUUUUGAUUAAAGCUAAAGAGCAGAACUUAAAACAAGUGCAGAGAAAUUAAAUAAAGGAAUGUAAUGAAUUCAUAUAGGUGACUAAUUUUCGACAAAAUAUAUGGAUCUGUGUACAAUGCAAAGCCAGUUAAUUUUGCACUAAGAUGUAUAGAAAGCCAUAUAUCAUCUACUAUAGAACAGAAAAGAACAGGAGGCAUCAGCCUAGAUAUAUGGAAUGAGAAAAGAUUAUGUUUUCCUGCAAUAUUGCAACUUAAGAUUGCAAUCUGAACCUAAUUUAACAGCUUACAGCAUCCAGUGUGCAAGGCUCCUGUCACUAGGCUUAUGGAAAAGGUCUGAACCUCGCAUGCAGGGAGGCUGUUCCCAAAAUUUGAACUCUGAUAUUUGCAAUGGAGCCUGGCACCAAACCCCUCCCUCUAUCAUUAAAAAGUAAAACUAUUUUUUAAAAAAAAGUUCUACUUUCUUAAACAGAAAGAUAUGAUGAUAUGGUUCCAUCCACUAUGACUUGGUAAUGUUUUUAUUAGUCAUCCCUACAACCUUUCAAAUGACUGCAGAUGUACAGAAAACACAAAAUGAAGAAUAUAAUGUUUUCUGUUAUCCCCCUACUCUCCAAUUUGUGUAAUUAAUAGCUCCAGUAAAUAUAAUUGUGAGAUUUCGGCGCUCUAAACCUGAACAAAAAGGAAGAAUAGUCAUCAAAUUAGUCACUGUGCCUCUCCAAAAAUUUUGUUUGAUUCACCGCUGGACAUAACUACAUUAUUGACUAAUUUCCUCUGUGGAGCCUCCUCGGAUUCAAUAACACUACUACUCAAGAAACACAUUUGCACUUGAAAGUUCACAAUGAAAGGGAACUAUCAAAAUAACACAAUUAAACAAAGAAAAACCCACUGCAUACCUCUCGGAUCCUUAUCAUCAUCCAACUCGCUUGGCUUAUAGUCUCCGCUGCUAAAGAAAUCAGCGAUGUCCUCCAAACUCCCACCAUCCAACCCCAAUCUAGGGUUCUUCGGAGGGACUCUUCCUCCGGCCUUCGGCGGCCCCAGCACCUCCUUCUCCGCGAGGAACUCCUUCGGGUCAUCAAGCACCACGGGUUUCAGCUGUGCCAGAUUCAUCUCCCUAUACGUCCGAUACUCCGCCAUAUCCGGCACCGUCGGCGGCUUCCUCCGCUCUAUCCGGCUCCCGAACUUCAACUGGUGCGCGAUCUUGCGCUUCUCCUUCUUCGUCAGGUUGAGCUCCUCCACCGCAUCCUUCCACUUCUCCGGCACCAAGUUCUCGGGCUCCGCCGCCGCCGCCGCCAAGGGCGGCUUCCUCCGCCCCCGCCGAGGCCUCUCGGCGGAAUCGCGCCGCUCGUCGGCGGGGAGGAAGGCGUCGGCGUCCUCGAAGGCGCCCUCAUCGAAGACGAGGCAAUCGCCGACGACGACGUCGUCGUCCUCGAAUUCGGGCGCGAUCGAGGGUUCGGGAUCUGGAUUAGGGUGUUGGUGGGGGAGGGAGUAGGGGAAGAAGGUGGAGGCGGGGAGAGGAAGCUUCGAGAAGGGGCGAGAGGAGGGAAGAGAGCGAGAAGGGGAGAAAGGGAUUUGGAUGGGGGUGUUGAGGGGGAGGAGAAGGGACGAGAACGGCGGUGGCAUCUUCGCCUCCCAACGGGUGGAUUUGGUUGAUUUGCUUUGGGCGACUUCGAACCAUCCCGAUUCGCCGUUACCUUUUACGCGCCGUCGACGUGUUUAAUCGUAUUUUAUUUUAUUACCUGGACAUGAUCUACCACGUCACCAAUGCACCGGACCAGUUAAUAUCAACUCACCGUACAACAUUUCUGCGCAGGCUACUCUUGAGGUUGAGGGCAUUUAUUAAUGAGAUUCGGUUUUAAAUAGUAUAUAUAUAUAUAUAUAUAUAUAUAUAUAUAUAUAUAUAUAUAUAUAUAUAUAUAUAUAUAUAUAUAUAUAUAUAUUCGGCUACUAUACUCUUAUGAGUACGAUCGCUUUCGUACUCAUAAGUUAUUUUUGAUGAUAGAGCUUCCGAAUUGACGAUCCAUACCGUUAAACAUUAUGUAGAGUAUUUAAAACUUGUAGAAAUUAAAUUUUAUAAUUUUUCAAUAUCAUUUACCUUACGAUCAAAAGCUUACAAAAUUGACAAUUUUUAACGGCCGGUAUGGAAUAUUUGCUAGUUUAACGGUGUAAAAGAAUCGGAAUAGGUUGAAAUUUUGAUAGAAAAUUAUAUGCACUACCUAAAUAAAGAUCAAUAACUCCGAUCUUAAAUUGAAGAAUCCAAUUAUCCAUUUUUAGAAUAUCGUUCGACUUUGACCGUUCAUUUUAUACCUGCUUGAUGGGAUUUAUAAUAAUUUUGAAAAAUUAUGAAAUUUAUUUUUUUGAAGUUUCAAAUACUCUAAAUCAUAUUUAAUGGUGUGGAUCGUCGAUUCCAAAACCCUAAAAUUGAAAACAACUUAUGAGUACGAAAGGCUCUAUACUCAUAAGAGUAUAGUAGCCUUACUAUAUAUAUAUANAUAUAUAUAUAUAUAUAUAUAUAUAUAUAUAUAUAUAUAUAUAUGUUCGUUUUUAUCAAAAAACUUUUAUUUAAAUUUUAAAAAUAUGCUUUUGAAAUUUUAGUAAAUGGCUCCCUAUUUUGUUUUGGAUGGUGAUUACAAAUUUUAAAUUAAUAUUUUGGUUGAUUAAUGGUUUGAAUUUUAUAUGAAACUUUUAUUAUAGUCAAGAUUUUUUUUUCCUUUUGUAAAAUACUGAACUCGUUGGAGCCGUUUGGUUAGAGCAAAUUACAAACAGCGAAUAAGUCAGAAUAUCGAAAAUUUUGAAUCUUUGUAUUGAUGUGGACUCCAUUUAGCUAUUUUUUCUGAGAGAUUUUCGGUAGCAUAAACGGAUAACUCUACGGAAUAAAAAAAUGAUGUCAAAUUUUAUAAACUUAGAUGCACUGCAAACUCUAAAUUUUAAUUGCCAAACACCUUCCUUUUCCACUACAAAUCAAUUAUCCUACAAAUUUUUUAGAACUACAUAUUAGAUGUUUUAUUGAAAAUUUUUUACUUUAGUAUAGGACUGAUAAUAAUAUAUGUGAACUACCAAUAUAAGAUUCUUGAACGAGAAAUUGAAAUAUUAAUAAAAAUUAUUGAGAGAGGAUUGAGAUAUAUCUCCUUAUUUUAAUCCUAAUUAUUUUGAUGUCAACGGCAAAAGAAAAGGAUAAAAUUGAAGUCAACGUCGUAAGGAAGUCUAAUUGACUGAGAAACAGUAAUUCUUGCAUGGAUAGGGACAUGAAUACACGAAGUGGGCGGGGCCAAUUUGGUCAUUCUUUUUCACUACCUGGACUUAGUGCACCAUGUGAGCCAUGAGCCUACACCGUCCCUUCCCCAUCCAUCACGAUUUUAAAAUUUAUAUUUUUAAAUUUAAAAGCUUUUGAAAAUUUAAAAUUUACUUCGGUUAUUCUUCCACUAAUGAAGUACACCGUCGCCUAAUUAAAAAAUUAUCUCUAUUUUUUUUUAAAGUGCACAUGAAAAUCACAAAAAAAAAUUUAAAAAAAUCAACUACAUCACAAGUAAAACUAAGAUCGCCAAUCAACAUGUAACAACUUGACACGUGGAAUAUAAAACGAUCUUAACCGUACACGUGUAUCCAAGAACUACACUAGUAAUUUAAUUUUUUUUUAAAAGAAAAAAAGGACACAGCGAGAGACAGAGGCCACCUCAUCUCCUAUCGCCUCUCGGCCCUCCUCGCUGCUAUCGAUCCAAGAUUCCAAGCGCUUCUCCUCCGCUUCGUCUUCUUCCUCUGAGGCUCUUCGUCGAACACCUAACGGGGAAGAGAGAGAGAGAGAGAGUAGGAGAGAGGAGCGAUGGAGAGGGCAUAUAAAAAGGGCCGAGGAUUUGGGCCCGGGAUCGUCGAGCUCUAUCAUCGCGAGUUGGGGGGCCUCUCGCCGCGAUCCUUCGCCCAUCGCGUUGGGGCAUCUGAGGUCCAUUCUUUUCCUUUUUAUUCGUCUUUGUUGGUUCCUCCCAAAUCGAUGAUGAUUUUGAGGUGUUAUUCCGAUUUCAUCUGAUCUGUGGGGAUAAUUAUUCGGUUUUAAGCGUUAAAUUGAUUUGGUCGUGAUCAUGUAGUAUAGGGGAGUGGAUUGACCCUUGCUUGCUAAAGAUUAUAAAUUCAUGAUAGUUGAUUAUAAGAAUAUAGGAAUUAGCGGCUGUGUAGUGCGCAUUGUAUGUAGAGUGUUAAAAUGGCGAUUUUUUCAUCUCAAAACAGAAGAAUCUUCGAGCGCUUCAGAACGAUCAUGUAUUAUGUAAGAGAUUCCGAGUCUGAUUUUUAAAAUGAAUGUUAAAAGAAUGUUCAAAAAUCUUGCCUUUGAAUUGCCAAGAAAAUCACACUAAUGUGAAGCAUUGCGCCAUUUUUGGUGUGAUGGUAAUGAUUUUAGGCUUGCGAUUGCAACCCACUAGCAUCUUUUAUUCUCUUCUUUUAGGAAAAAAAAUCAAAAAAUAUUAUGUGUAGGAUGUACAGAUUGCGAAUAAACGUUUGUAGGGAAAAGCCACAUCUUUUGGUUCUGGCAAAGGGCAAGAGUUGAAAGAAAAAUUACUGGAGUAACCAUACCUAAUGAAUUUUUGUGAUUGAAAAAGUACUGAGUGCUGAUAUUUCAUUGUUUGAAGUUUCAAAUGUAGCUUUAAUAUUCAUUAUUAUGCAUGUUCAUUUUAACCGGUCUAACAUAUUUUCACAUGUUCAUUUCAACUCUAUUAUAUUAUUAUAUAUAGCACCAAAAUAGGGUUCAUGCAUAUCGGUGUGCCAAACAUUUUCGUAAUGGAUAUUAAAAUUUCAGGACCUUGUCAUGCGCCUUGGAAUUUAUAGAAAAUUGGACAGGCAUGGCGGCUGUGUGAACACAGUGAGCUUCAAUGCCGAUGGCAAUAUUCUCGCAUCGGGGUCUGAUGACCGGAUGGUGAUGUUAUGGGACUGGGAUGCUGGUGCCGUGAAACUGUCCUUCCAUUCAGGCCACUCGAAUAAUGUUUUUCAAGCUAAAUUCAUGCCUUAUUCAGAUGACCGUACCAUUGUUACUUGUGCUGCUGAUGGGGAGGUAGAAGGAGCUUCUUCUUCUUUCUCAAAGCUUAUUAAUUCUAAGUAGGUGAAUAUGUUUUGAGACCCCACUAUAGACUGUUGCGAAAAUAGAUCCUCAACUUUCUUUUUGAUUGAGCGUCCACUUAAAUUUUGUCUUUUUUUCCCCUUUUUUUGCUUAAGUUAUUUCAGUCAUGUGAAAUUGCAAUUUUGUUAAAUGUAUUAGCUUUACCCUUUUUAAGCUGCCGUAAUUGCGAUCUUCAUAAACAAUUGGCGGCCUGAAGCUGAUGGAGUGGUUAAAUUUAACUCAAAACAGACGGAAGUUAAAGGGGUAUCACUUAAAAAAAGAAAAAAAAGAAAAAGAGAGAGAGAGAGAGAGAGAGAGAGAGAGAGAGAGAGAGAAAGAUAUAGAAAAGGGAAAGCUAGAGGAUCAUCUCACAUGGCCUAUAGUUGUGGGGGACCCCAUAUGUUUUUAUCUUCUGAUUAAUUAAGCUGAUAUCUACUAAUUUUCAUCACACUAGGUGAGAUAUGCCAAAAUACUAGAGAGUGGAAAUGUGGAUACUAAAUUGCUUGGUCAGCAUGAAGGACGGGCUCAUAAGCUGGCUAUUGAGCCUGGAAGCCCUCAUAUAUUUUACAGCUGUGGUGAAGACGGUCUUGUUCAGCACGUAAGCCAUUUCCCACAUCUCUUAGCUUAUGUGUAGUGUUCCCUUGCUAUCUCUUUAACUCAGCAUGAUUUGAUUAACCUGUGUCUCAUGCAGUUUGAUUUGAGGACACAGUCUGCCACAAAGCUAUUUAUAUGCAGAUCUUUUCCUGAUGGAUCAGAUUAUCAACCUGUCGUUCAUCUAAAUGCUAUUGCAAUAGACCCAAGGAACCCCAAUUAUUUUGCAAUUGCAGGAAGAGAUGAAUAUGCUCGAGUUUAUGACAUUCGGAAGUGUAAUUUGGAUGGAUCGACAGAGUGUGGUCAUCCUAUUAACAGCUUCUGCCCACCUCAUCUUAUUGGAAACGGGCAUGUUGGGAUAACUGGUUUAGCAUUCUCGGACCAGAGUGAGUUGCUCUCCUCGUACAAUUAUGAGCACAUUUACCUCUUCACAAAGGAUCGAGGUCUUGGGCCCAACCCAGUUAUUAAAUCACCUAAAUCUGACAGUACUGAUUCGAGUAAGGGGUCGAAGACGGUUUCAGCCGAGUCCGCAGAAAUUGCCGAUUCACAACCUGGCCCUCAGGUGUACAAGGGACAUAGCAAUUGUGAGACCGUGAAGGGUGUGAACUUUCUUGGCCCGAACUGCGAGUAUGUUGCUAGUGGAUCAGACUGUGGACGGUUGUUUAUUUGGAGAAAGAGAGAUGGGAAGCUCUUGCGAGCUAUGGAUGGCGACAAGUACGUGGUCAAUUGUAUUGAGCCUCAUCCUUAUGCCACUGUAAUUGCGAGUAGUGGAAUUGAAAAUGAUGUGAAGAUCUGGACUCCCAAUGCCACAGAGCCUGCCCACCCAGUAAACAUUAAUGAGGUGAUGGCUUUUUGCCUUCUCAGCUUUUAUUUUCUUUGCUAUUCUGGAGAUCUAAACUGUCGUAAUGAAAUAGGAUCAUUUAUUGGAUAUACUAGUCGUCAUAGUACCUAAAACAUAGAUGAUUGUCUUUGGAUGUCCAAGACCUUCCUGAAUUUUUUUUUGCAUUAUUUUGCAGUCCUCUGACAGAUCAGUUUUCAUGGGAAAAGCAUAUUUAGUUGACCUGCAUGAUAUUUGUAUUAUACUAGGUUUUUUCUGCCUUUAAAAUGAAACUUGUGCCACGUAGAUCAUAUAACAGAACUUCUAAUGGAGAUUACCUAAAAGGAAUCUGAGGUCGUGCAGAAGUGGUAUUUCAAAUUUCUAACUUAUCGGCUACACAUCGGUUGAAAAUGGUCCUAACAACUUGGCUUAAUAUAUUACUUCUUUGCACCUGAGACUACGAUUUCGUGGUUACCAAAGUUUGAAAAGUUGUCUCCUUAAUUGAAUAUAUAUAACAUGAUGAGAUAAAUGGUGCUGCCAACUAGAAUAACUAUGUUGAUGGUGCUUACCACUUUUCUUGGUGUAGAUAGUGAAAUGCUCUGACAAUUUUAUCGAUCUUGUUGAUGACGUGACAUUCAAUUGCAACAGUUGAAGCCCCAUGUAAGAAGGAAUGAGUUCGGCCGCGUCAACUUGCCAGAGAACUUGAUAGCUCAGAUGGUAGCACUUCACAGGCGACGAGCAAGUUUGAGACAAGAUGAUGGUGAAGAAACGACCAGCAACGCUGAUCUGGUAAAUCUUUUAUUGCAAUUUACUGUUGGAGAGCAUGAUUCUCCCUCUGAUGAAAGUGGAGACGGUUCCGACAGCCCUGGGGAUUGUAUAGUGAACUGAGCCAUAUAGAAACUUCUGAAAGUUGUACAUAGAAUAAGUCAUCCUUUUAUCAGAAUUAGGAGAUCUAUUUGUCGGUAAGAUGAAUUUUUGAGUUUCUUUUUCUUGGGCUAUGAAGAGGAUAUCUCCCUCACAGAUCGAGCGUUGUAUUGUAGAUCUACAACAAGCAUUUAGUAAAAUUUGGUGAUUGUUGGUGGAGCUUAUCAGUGUUUGCAAUGUUUUUGAUGAAAUAUUUUUUUAUCUAAUUCAACAUUCAACGACCUUUCAUAUGGAAAACAUUUAGAAAUCAGAUGUAGCAAAAUGGUUGGGUACUUGCAUCACAAUUUCAAUCUCAGGUAUCUUAUUCUAUCGUUGAGGUACCAAUUUUACGUCCAUAGGCCAUUUAGCCCAUGCAGUAUGGGCUGUAGGCGUGUUCAGGCCCGUUGGUGGACAAUCUCUUUCGUUUUAAAAUCCAAAAUUGAUUACCAAAUCAACGUAUUGGAAGAGCCCAUCGUAUAAUCCUAAUCUAACUUCGAACCCAAUUUUUUUUAAAAAAAAUCUAAAAACAGAAUAGGGAAAGAUAUUAAAAUUAUUUCAUCGAACAAUUUCUUAUUACAUUUAAUAAAAAUUUUAUUUUAAGUAAUUAUAACUAUUUAAAAAAAAAACUUAAAAAGUUGAAGCGGGGCAAUUCAAAAGAGGAAACCAACCCGACAUUUUCAGUGUUUACGUCUUAUGUUUAGAGACAAUUUAUCAAUCAUAAUAUGUACUAAAUGCAAAAAAAAAAAAAAAAAAAAAAGAAUAAGAAGAAGAAAUUUCAUAAAAAAUAAUUCACCGUCGAUGGAUCUGCGGAGCACCGUGUGUUGACCUCGUGGCAGCACCCGCACACAAUUAUUCACGUCCUAUUCCAUUUCAAUAACAUUUCCAACGACUCCUCUCUCGCGUCUUAAUUAUGGUCUUAUCUUAUUGCAUCCAAAUCCUUAAUUAUUUAUGAAUUUAUAACUUUUGGCUCCUUGGUUAGAGAGAGAAAGCUUUUUCUAAAUUUUAGAGUUUGUAGACGCGUUAUCUUUAGUUGGUACGACGGCGUAGCUCCAUCUCUGAUCUCUCCCACGUGAAAAUUCGUUGGCUUCAAAAAUUAUUAAAAUUUAAAUAGUGUGUGCAAUGAUCUUUGUGGAAUGGAAUUAACACUAUUCAACAGCGUGUCUCAUCAUUUUGGGAAAGACCAAAUUUGUAAGCAAAAGGAUUUCACAAAUUGUAGGGUGAGCUUUGUUACUAUUUUGAGCCGACGCUCUAACUCUAAUUUUAUUUUUAUUUUUAUUUUUUUUUAAGAGAGAGAUAGGUAGCACGCUACCCGCUUCGUUUAUUUCAUUUAGAAAUAAAUUUAGCUAGAAAUGUGAAUCAACUAGGAUUCGAACUUGAGUCUCGAAUACCAAUCACCAAGCCCUUUGCCACUUGCUCCAAAGACGGCCGGUGCUCUAACUUUAAUUUUUAUUACCAACAUUGUGUGCUGGUAAAAGCAAGAGCACUACACGUAAUACCUAUUGUACGAGGAUUUUUUAUUAUUUUUUUUACUGUUUGCUUAAAUUUCUUCGAUGAAGUAAAUAAGAUGGGGCCAUUUUAAACAGUCACUUCUCAAGUAGAAAUUAUUGAUAAUCAUUUGUUAUCCAAAGAUUCGGUUCCCACAAUGUAGAAAAAGAAAACUAGCUCCUUAGACAGAUAUCUAUGAGCUGUCCCGUGCCUAUAUAAGCCUAAAUAAGCCCACCACCCACUUUGCCCCAUAUGUAGCCGUAAAACCACUAGUUAACACAACGAGAGAGAGAGAGAGAGAGAGAGAGAGAGAGAGAGAGAGAGAGAGAGAGAGAGAUCUAGAGAGAGAUGGAGAACAACACUGCAAAAGAUUUGUCGAUCAACCUUAUAACGAGAGAUGGCCGCAGACUCUGCCGGUGCCCGCGCAUCGAAAUGAGCCUUCUCGAGACCGCGGAGGCCAUCGAACAAGCGUUGAGUAGUGAAAACACAGCCUUCGUCGUUCGAGACGAAGGCGAGCGCAGGGCAGUGCGGGUGAAGAUUGUAGUUAGCAAGCAACAACUGAAGCAGAUGGCCCAGCUGAUAGGCUGCGGGCGCGGCGGCACGGAGCAGCUGCUGCAGCUUCUGAGGAGGCUGCAGGUCCAGAGUAAGUUGCUCGACGCCACCGCGAAGGGACGUCGUGAUCGGUGGAGGCCGGCGCUUCAGAGCAUCCCUGAGGAAGUGCGGGAAUUAUAAAGCAAAUCAAACAUGUAUAUGUAGCAUCAUCUUACUACGAGGUUGAUCUAACAACAUUCUUUAUUUUGUGUAGUUCUUGAAUAAAUAGGGAAUUUGAGACAUUUUGAUGUGCUUCAUAUAUAGAUUGUGUGACAUUUAACAUGGAGCCAAAAUGCGAAAAGAAGUAAAAAAAUGUUUCAAAUUGGCAAUUUUGGUUCUUGUAUAUGUAAGCUAAAUAUUUGUAUUUGCAGAACGGAUUUGAGCAGUAAAAAUAAUGAGCGCUUCUCUAAUUUAGAUGAACAUUUUUAUUGGCAUUUUAAUUGUAGGUCCUUGACGAGCACCUUAGUGAACUUGUACCAUAAGAUCGAAUUAAUUGAAUUUGUUAAAGCCAUCCUUGAAUAUAUAGUUUUUUUUUUUUUGUUUUCAAAUUGAUUUUGUUGAUAAUAUAAUGCCGGAGUUGAUCUGAAACCUCUUGAUCAGUAUAAGAAGUAGCUGGUUGAGUUCCUACAUUUGUUUUUAUUUUUUUGAAAGAAAAAAAAAAAUAUGUUAUCCGCCCCGUUUAUUUAUAUUUUUUUAAAAUAUAAAUUUAGCUAAAAAUUAUAGUUCGUAAUUAAACUUUAAAUUUAAAAUUUUAAAUACUAAUCAUUAAAUUUUUUAGCAACAAAUGCUACGAACGGUCCGUGAUCAUUUGUAGGUACAAUUCUCAAUCAUUCUCUCUUUUAAUACCCCAUCCUAAGUACAGUUCAUUUUCUAUCGCAAUUUAGUGGGUAGUAAGGCUACAUCACAGAUGAUGAUUAUUAUUAUUAUUAUUAUUAUUAUUACGUUGUCGCGUAACUGCAACGUCAUGCUGACCUCGUAUUUGCAUCAUCAUAAUCUAACAAAUUGUUAAGAAGAGUUCAAGUAGGUGGCAUUUUUGGUAAUUCUUUAUGAAGCAAAAAAGUUGUCACUUAGUUGGCACAUGAGGCAAUUAUUAUUAUUAUUAUUAUUAUUUUCUGAUUAAGCUUUUUUCUCUUGAAAUUUGCCUUUUCAAAAUAUUUUACUACUUUCAUGUAUUUGACUUUAAUUUGGACAACACUCGAAUCUUCAAAUUUGGUAUUUAGGCACAUUUAUGGGAGUUAAUGGGCGUUCCUCAUGUGCCCAGCUUACCUAUACUAGAUUUAAAUCCUAAUUUUGAAAUGAAUAUUUUGUAUGGUCUUAAUUUUCAAAUAUCUAGCAUUGGGAAUUUGGAGUGCAAUAUAGUUUAGUUACGUAAAAUAUUAAUUUGCUAGCUAAAUUUCUUCGCUUCGGUUGUUGCUUGCGCGUACAAAUAUCUCCUCCCAUGUGCACAGGAGGAAUUCUACACUAUCACACUUGCACUACAUCAUUAAUAAUAAGUCAAUCACAUUCCGUCUUUUCAAACAAAAGUACAAUAAAAAUAUUUUUUUACAAUCAUGCUAAAAGGAGACAUUUGAUUGAUUUGUUACGCAACGUCACCAAUAUACCCGUUGCAUUUUAGAAUUUUUCCAUGUGCAGAAGUUGGCAUCCGGUUAAGUAUUAUAAUUACUAAUUAUAUUUAAAAAAAUUAUUCAAAAGAAAUAUUAAUAGUAAAUUAAUUUUUUUGCUAAAGAAAUCAAUUAUAGAUUAGCUUUUAAUUUAAUUAUAACCACUACGUUAGUGUGAUACAUAAACAACUACAUACGGUGAGAAAGUAUGUGCGAUCAAAAGAUGUACUACUUGUUUCCAUUAAGAUAUCACAUAUCUAAAUUUCGCUAUAUUAUAAUUUUGAGGUUCCUCAAAAUAGAAACAUAUAUAUUUCUUUACAUUUUUAUCAUAAUGGUUUUUCUUUUGACUUACCAGUGUUGGGUCAAUCCUUCAUUAGCUGGACAUAUCAGAGUUGGAUCAAUCCUUCAUUAAUUUGAAAUGUAAGCUAAAGUUGGCAUGAUUCAUCAUAACGGUCGAUCGAUCUAAUUAACUAUUGUCUUAGUUCUAUUCAGUAACCAGACAUUAGAUUAAUUUUUUUAAAAAAAACAUCUUAUAAAUGGUUCUCCGUUUUUCUCAGCUAAUUUAUGUUGCCUAUAGCAGGAUAAAAACUUGGUAUGGGGUGGGGAGGGGGAGUUAAAUUAGUCUUAAUCUUUCUUUUGUUUCCACUAGAGAUUUUGUUAGUAAUUAAGACUACUCUUAUUUCUUUUGUGAGCUAAAUAUGAUAUAUGUCAUGCAAAAAAACAGUAGUUCAUGUUUUGAUCUUCUUUUAUACAUCUCCUAACUAAGGUUCUCUGUUUUUAGAGAGAAAGAUAGCAUACUAUUCGCUCUGUUUAUUUUAUUUAUAAAUAAAUUUAACUAAAAAUAUGAAGCAAUUAGGUUUUGAACUUGAAAUCUCAGGUAUUAACCACCAAAUUUUUUACCACUUAUGCUAAGAACGGUCGGUAACUGAGGUUCCUUCCGUUUACUUUAAAAGCUUAAGUACGGACAAUUAAGUUCUUAAUCAAUAGCAUUAGAUAUGGUAUCUAGUUAGAAUCCUUACACCUACUCUAUGCUUGAGUUCGGCUCAGAUGGCCCAGGCCAAGCGGUGAAGUGCAAAAUUCUUGAGCCAGAUCGUACGUAGAAAAUCAUUUCAAAAUUUUUUUGAGCCUUUAUUUUGGAGCCCCGCCCAACACAUGGACCAUACCCGGUCUGAUCCGACCUAACCUCUAAAAAUUAGGUUCGACGGACAUGUCAACCGAAUCAGACACUUUUUUUUUUCUUUUUUUUUUGAGAGAUAGGUAGCACGCUACUCGCUUCGUUUAUUUCAUUUAGAAAUAAACUUAGCUGGAAAUAUGAAUCAACUAGGAUUCGAACUUGGAUCUCGGGUACCAACCACCAAGUCCUUUAUCACUUGCUCUAGAAACGGUCGGUGGAUCAAACACAUUUGAGUCGGAUUUGCUCAGGCCUACUUGCAAAUAUGAUGACUAUAAACUAUUACAAUUAAGUCCUAUAAUCAAAUUUAGUUAACUAAAUACUAAUAUAUAGCUACUGUAGAAAUAAUAUAAUAGUGUUACGAUUGAUGAUGGGCUAAUAAUUAAAAUAUUAUAUCAUUUUUUACAACAAUAAUACGGUAAUCGUCAAACUUGAUGAGAAAUAUUAGAGUCAGAAAUUAUAUAAUAAAUUAAAAUUUGAAUAGGGAAGUAUCACCUAAUUAAUAGUUUGAGGAUCAAAUAUGCAAUUCACCUCUGCUCAUAAUAAAAAUUAUGGACAAAUAAUAAAAAUUACAAUUUACUUUCUUUCUAAUUUUUAUUAUUUGUCCAUAAUAAAAAUUACCAAGAAAGUAAAUAGAAAUUUUUCUAAAAAAAAUAAUAAUAAAUAGUAAUGGGCAUCGAGCCGCUUUAUUACAGAAGAGAACAAAAUAUAAAGAAAAUACCAAAACUUGCCAAAGAGCCAAUGGCAUAUACCCGGUGAACGUUAAUUAAUUAGUUUCCAGACUGACUGUCCCUAGAGUAAGUGGUAAAAAAUUUAGUGGUUGGUAUUCGAAACUUAAGUUCGAAUCCUAAUUGAUUCAUAUUUUCAACUAAAUUUAUUUCUAAAUGAAAUAAACAAAGCGAAUAGCGUGCUAUCUAUCUCUUUCCAAAAUAAUAAUAAUAAUUAUUAUUAUUAUUAUUAGUUCCCAGAUAAUGAUACGCUCCGGACAUAAAAUAUUACAAACCGAAAAAACGAAAACCAUAAUAAGCUAUCUAAUGUUACGUACUCUUUCGUGCCAUUCUUUCCGAGAGAGCUCAUGGAUUCCUAAUUACAAAACCAAAACAUAUAUUUAUAAAAAAAAAAAGAAAAAGAAAGAGAGCAUACAACAUCGAUCAGUUUAUUAAUUAGCUGGAAAUUUAAAGCGACGGAGACAGUUGUGAUCCCGGUGAUCACACUGUGGAGUGGUGUUCGGUCGUAAAUUUUUUCUUUUUUUUCUUCGAUCUCACACCUCUUCCUCGUUGAUCUCUCCGGACAUCUCCUCGAGCGACUUUCCCUUCGACUCCGGCACGAGGAAGGUGAAGGCGAGGCCGCAGAAGCUGCAGGCGGCGAGCAGGAAGAGCGAGUCGCGCACGCCGAUCCCCGGGGGGUAGCCGCGGUCGGUCUUCGCCGGGUCCCGGCUCUGCGCCAGGUAGAGGAACCCGAACGAGCCGACGAUCGCCCCGAGCUUCCCCGACGCCGCCGAGAUCCCGUGGCACGUGGCGCGGAGCCUCGCGGGGAAUAUCUCGGCGGGCACGAUGAACGUGGUGCUGUUGGGCCCGAAGUUGGCGAAGAAGAAGGUGAAGGCGUACAUGACGACGAAGCCGGUGUGGUUGCCCUCGGUGGUCCAGUGGUGGUACGGCACGGCGAGGCCGAGCAUGAACGCCGUCAUCAUGAAGAAGCCGACGACCUGGAUCGUGAACCGGCCGAGGAUGUCGAUGAGGCCAACGGUGAACCAGUAGCCCGGGACGGUGCCGCAGAGGGCGAUGAGCGUCUGCGCGCGCCCGAUGUAGUAGAGCUCUUCCAGCGCGUUCAUCGUCGCGGCCUCCGGGAUCCAGCCGAUGGCGCUGAAGAUGUCCUUCUGGAAGAGGUUCUGCGAGUAGUAGGCGACGUCAAGCAGCAGCCACGUGCUGGCCGUGCCGACCAGGUGGAGCCCGUGCCGCCGGACGAACUCCCUCGAGAAUAGCCCGAAGUCUUUGCCGCCGUCUGCCCGCACCGCACCGACGACGGCAGCGGCGGCGGCGGUAGUCUUCGGUUGUCGGUCGUUGUCGACGUCGACCUGCAGCACCUUCGCCAUGUCGGCGGCGGCACGCUCGGCGUUCUUCGCGACGAGCGCGGUGUACCGCGCGGUCUCGGGCAUCUUCAUCCGCCAGUAGUAGGUCAUGGCGGCUGGGACGGAGCCGAACAUGAGGAUGAGGCGCCAGACGUAGUCGGCCUGUGGCACGGUGGAGCCCGCUGGGUCGUCGGCGUAGGCGGGGGCGGGGAAUCUGCGCUUGAAGGCGUAGGAGACGACUAUGGCCGACAUCCCCCCGGCGAGGAUGCCGAAGCCCUGCAUGGCGAAGACGGCGGCGAUGAAGGCGCCGCGGGUGCGCUUGUUGGCGUACUCGGACAUGAUGGUGGCAGAGAGCGGGUAGUCGCCGCCGAUGCCGAAGCCGAGCCAGAAGCGGAAGAAGCAGAGCGUGGACAUGACGGUGGAGGGGGAGCGGCCGAAGGAGAGGCCGGAGGCGGCGGAGCAGAGGAUCAUGAGGAGGAGGGUCAUGCCGUAGACGCUCUUGCGGCCGAGCUUGUCGCCGAGCCAGCCGAAGAAGAGCUGGCCCGAGAGGGUGCCGACGAAGGCGACGCCAUUGACGGCGGAGGAGACGCGAGGGGGGAGAUUGCCCGGGGACGGCGAGCCCGGGACGUAGUAGUAGACGCGGCCGAUGAGCUUGGUGACGAGGGAGAUGCAGAAGAGGUCGUAGGCGUCGGUGAAGAAGCCCAUGCCGGCGAUGACGAUCGCCGUGAAGUGGUACCACUGCGUCUUCGCCACGUCCAGGGCGUUCAGCACCUGCAUCUGAUCCCCGGCCAUCUUUCUCAAUCUCUCUCUUUCUUCUCUUCUGCACCUGCACCUGCUCCUAUAUAUACAGUAAUUAAUGAUCUUGUGAAUUUCGCUAACUCAACUUCACUACCUCAUAUAAGUGUGUCUGAAAAAUAAGAACCAAUUUGGCGAGGUAAUAAUAAUAUGAUAAUUGUAUAAGAUGUUGAUUUUGGAGGAGGAGAGGAGGAAGUUGUUGAGAAAUAAGAGGAGUUCAGUUAGUUAUGAAGUGAAAUAUUGAUUGGUCAAUUUUAAAUGGGCGAAAAUAUAUACAGACCCCUCCACUGUUAGGCGUUCUUAAAUAGAGUCCUGUCACGUUUUAAUUAUUAAAAGUUAAUAACAAAAAAAUAUUAUUAUAUUUGAUAAAUUUUUGAAGUUAAUUAAGUAAAAAGACUCAAAAAAAAAGAAAAUUAUUUUACAAGUUGAUGAGUUCUCAAUAAAAAAAUAGUUAAGGGGGUGUAUCAUUUUACCUGUUGAAUGUUUCAGUCGGAGUUUUGGAGAAAUUAUCGCACGUACUGAGCGGACACACACCUGACCAAUUCAAACUUAAAUUAACAAAAAAAAAAAAAAGGAAUCUAAAUCUAAGUUAUUAUAUAUGAUAUAUAUGAUAUAUCUUAAAUCUUAAUUAUAAGUUUUUUGCUUUUUGCGUAGUGAAUAAUAAAUUCAUUAACAUUCCCUCCCUUUUUUUACUAUCCAAUACCUAGAAAGACCUUAAAAAAUAACAAAGUUUUAUAUAUAAUUAUUCGAAAUAAUAAGGUUAAGAGUUCCAAACUUAAAAUGAACAGAUGUAGAAGCGUCUCUAUAUAUAUUGGACCCGAGACUUGGUCCAGAUUUUCUUUAAAAAAUAUUUAAUUUCAAUGUAGUUUAUUGUAAUACUUAAUAAAGUGUUAUUUGAACAUUACUAUUAAAUGAGUAAGCUGUAUGCCACUAAUUUUUAAUCAGCUUAAUACUUGAUAAUUUUUCAAAAUAUUUAUUAGUCUUUUAAGCAUAAAUUUUUUAGAUAUUAUAGGUUGAUUCUCCAAAAUUACAAUUUAAUUUUAAAAUAUUAAGUGUGAUGUAUAAAUUAAACAGAUACAUCGGGUGCACGAAAUAAUUUCUUGCCAAUAUGUGUAUAUAUAUACACACAUAUAAAAAAAGUAAUACCAUGCAUGGGUUAAUUAAUUCCAAGUGUUGAUGUGAUUACAACGUGAACAAUAGAAGUUAUAUUGUCGAAAAAAAAAAGUACGCAAAUCACAAAAUGCAUGGUAUGGGUAUCAUCUCUCGGAAGCUACUCAUGCAAACCAUUUAAUAGAAUAAAUCAAAUCUAAAUUUGAGAUCAACAAUCACAAAAGUGAACACACAAACAAAAACGUUUAAAGUUGGAGGAAUAUUAAAAAAGGAGUGAACAGUUGGGCUUCACCUGAUCACCUCUAUCUUCUUUGAAAACUAUUGAAAAAAUGCCAUAGUACGUAGAAGGAUUGAACACACCAAGGAGAUGAGAAAGAGUAGUAUAGUUUACAAGAGAGAUCUAAAAAUUUGGAGAACUCGAGUAUUACCCGAAAAGAGGAGGUUAUGUUUAUGUUUAAAAAGGCUAUAAAAGGGAAUAUUCGCUCCUUUAACGGCUCUCCUGCAUGAGCCCACAGUUUAUUUUUUAUCAUUAUGUAUGUGGUUUUGGAUUGUGUUCAUUAUUCAUGGGGGUUGUUCGGUCAAAAGCGGGUCCGCUCUGAGGGGGUGCAACAGAAUGGGCCGCGCGAGGCGCCGCACUUUGUUCGAGAGGAUCGGCCAAUUCGGGUUCGGAUUGGGGAAUAUGAAUCAAACCAUUGUUCCCUAACUUUUCUCUAUUUUUUAUUUUAGUUUUUAAUUCCUUUUAUCAGGUUCCUAACUUUAAUAUUUUAUUGUAGUUAAAUUCCAAUCAUUUAAAUUUCUCUGUUUUUAUUUUUUGAUGGAAUGAGACCUUUAGUUAAUUUUAAUACUGACUUUUUAAAAUUUUUAGAAGAAUUUGAUGGCAUGUCUGACUUAAUGCCAAAUACGUUCUGUGAAACCGACAUGCUGAAAUGUUUGGAGUACAAUAUUGAGAAUUGUGAAAUUCGGCUUGACGAAAUGAGUGUGCGUAUUGGAAAAGAAGUUAGGAUCAAAGCGAAAAAAUGAGUAGAGGUUAGGGAUCAAUGGUCCGAUUAAUUCUAAAGGCUAAAAGUUUGAUUGAAACAGAAAAUUUUAAAUCAAAAUAUUUAAUUCGAAAACUUUUCAGAUCAAAAUCAAAUCGUCGAAAGCCAUAACCGAAAACCAAACCAGAUCAAAAUUGUUGAGUUUAAUUAGGCUUGGUGGGGCCUGCGCACCUCCUUGGUUCGGAUGCGGUCCUGGCCCAAAUGUGAUUCAACGAAGGCCUAUGGACGGGUCCACUGUGUACUACUCUUUACGGGCCCAAUCAACCGAGUCCAACACCCGGGCUUCGUUAGUCAAAUUCGGCGCCGGUGCCGUAGCGGAGCCGGCCGAUGAGAAGUUUCUUUCCCUUCCAAAUUAAACCAUCCCAAUAAAAUUAAAACAAAACCCACCACCUCUCUCUCUCUCUUUCUCUCUCUCUCUCUCUCUCUUUCUCUCUCUCUCUCUCUCUCUCUCUCUCCCCAUGGCUUCUCUCUACCGGUAAGCAUCAACUCCUCAUCCUCAUCAUCUUCUUUUUUUUUCUUUUUCUUUUUUAAUAAUUAACGAAGCAUAUAUGGAUGUCGAUUCGAUUCGAUUCGAUUCAGGUGCGGCGAGUGCGGGGCGGAGCUGAACCUGAGCGGGGCCCACCUCUACCCGCCGGGCACGUACUUCGAGGCCGGGGACAAGGGCACGCUCUCCUUCUCGUGGAUCGACGAGUCCAAGUUCCGGUUCGCGAGGGAGAGCCGGUUCGUCCCCUUCUUCGAGACGGUGAACUACUGGGGCGUCCACCGCAACCGCACCCGCAUACUCUGCGACGCGUGCGGCCGCCUCCUCGGCCACGUCUACGACGACGGCCCCCCGCUCAUGCAGGGCCACGGCCAGUUAGGGUUCGGUCCGAGCCAGGCCAUUCCGCGCCGCCCCAGGUACCGCUUCAAGAUCAAGGCCCUCAACGCUUCUCCUCAUUCAUAACAAGCGCUUAUCUUAUCAUAUACUGGGAAACUUGGUUUCUCAUAUAUUUGAAUGUGAUGAUUAUCGGUUUUAGCGGAAUCUGCGAACAUAACAAAUGAAAUGCUUUGGGGCUGCUUUUCGCACAUUCUUCUCUUUGGUUUUUAUGUGAAUACAGAUUCAUUCUGAUGAUUAGUGAUAAUACAAGUUCCAAGCUUGGCAUUUGAGAAUUUGAGGUAGUGUAACAAAGUUUCUGUACAAUUGAGUCAUAACGUCUUCAAGACCUUUCUGCGCAAGCUGAGAAUUACUGCAAACACAUGUAGAUUUUUGCUAGAUCAAAACUAAAUUUCGACAACUUAAAGAGUAGGCCACGUCUGAUGCCGGUUAGCAAGUAAUUGAUUUGGGGCUUUUCGUGGUGACGGAACUUGGCUGAUCUAAGGAAUUGUAAAAAUUGCGACUUGGUCGCCUCAUCUACAAAAGGAGGGUCAAUAAUGAGGAGUCAGAGAAUUACAGUAAGGGCGAGGAAUCUUCUAAGCACUAGCAGAAAACAAUGAAUGAAACUAUAAUUGAGUUGGGACGAUUAGCAGAAUUUGUAAAUAUCACAAAACAUGAGAUCCGGUGAACUUACUUUUAAGAUCUGUUUUAAUGUAACUACUACUUUUGUGUUGAUAUUUUCCUUACUAGUUCAGCAAUGUGAAGGCAUGCGCAUGACGGAUACGAAUUUUACAGUUGAUUUAUUUAAUAUUAUAUCGGGUAGGUCUCUUGUUGAACAUACUAUAAAUGCGCAGUUAAACUUUCCAUUGAACUCUUUUGUGAGAUUGAUUGUUUAAUAGCCUAUCUUUGUUGCCGCAAAGUUACUCGUGAUUUCCAAAUAUGUUUGUAAAAUUUUCUGCAUUUUUCUUUGCAACUAUCAUUUGAUAGAUUUGAAGUUUUAGCCAAUGUGAGAUUAUGGCUAAUGCGAAUCAUCAAGUUAAUAUUUUUAGCAAAAGCAUUUCUAGUUUUUGAUACUACUUAGAUGUUAAUGGUUUAUACAAAGGUUGAAUCUAGUUGUGAUUUGUGAAGCAGUGGAAUUAGGGGGGGCCUGUGGAGGGGUUGGAAUGGAGCUUUGUUCGUCCCCACUACAGUAGGUUUUGUGAAAGAGAAUUCCAUCUAUUUUGACUACUUGGAUUAAAGCAUCUUUUACCACGGGCGAUUCCUGUGUUCUUAAAUUCAUUAAAAAUAAUUUUCUGUGAUUAAAAUUGUAGUAAUAUUCCUAAUGAAUGAAGCAGGUAGCGUGCUAUUUUUUUCUAAAAAAAAAAAUUAUAGUAAUAUUUUUUUUGUGCAGCAUCUGUAAUUAUUUUGAUUGAUACCAAUUCUACAGUAACUCACCUGUUCAGAGAAGCUUUUCUUCAUAUAGAGAGCUUUUCAAGGAAGAUUUGCAUUGUACCUGACAAAUUACCUGAUGUUGUACGUUUGCUAAUGAAAAAACUGCUAUCUCAUGUUAGACGAUUUCACUUGAAUAGUUUUGGAAAAUAGCAGUUUUUAUACGCUCUUUUAUUGGUGAAGCAAAGCUGUAGCUCACAACAUGCAAUCCAUUGAGCUCUGCUGGUUUUUCAUUUUAACUCGAGCUUGCUCGAACUCGCUCAUUCAUCAAAUAAGCAGCCAACGAAGAUUCAUGGGGCAGCAUUUUGAGUUUUCGGAUUUCUUUUUUUGUGUUGUUUUGAUGAAAAACUACUAUCAGACCGGUAUGAUAGCAGAGAUAUCAAACGGAUCCGGAUUUUGAUUUGCUACAUCCUCACUGUCACUGUCAGAUACUGCUGCCCACAUCUUCGCCCUCCUCGCCAACCGUGGUGAUUCCGCAUCUGGUGACGUUGUCUGUGCCUAUCCGGGCUCAACGAUCUAUAUCUUGCUACUGCGCACUAUCUAAAAGCCGCACACUGAGAAACCCUCAUGGGGAUUUCAUAGAUUUAGCCCCAUCUGGCAGAUCUGACAAUAGCUUUUUACUUUUUCCGGCUCAACACAUCUUGUUUAACUAAUCCCGUAAUGGAAGAAACGUUUGAAACUUCUCUAUGGGAAAUGAGAAACUUUUUUAAAAUUUAUACAAAAUAGAAGAAUAUUGUAUAUCGGGUGUGGAUCAUGCAAAGCUGAAUCCGACUCCAAAUUCUAGUUGGUGUUGUUUUUUUGUACUCAUAAUUGCACCGCUGUAGCUCGGGUCUCAAAGUGUAAUGUGGGCUAAUACGGAACGGGCGAUGUUCACCCGGGCCGAAAAUGGGUCGGAGGUACCGCCCGGCCCCGAAUCCGGACCGUGGCCUCGCAAUAGGGGGAAAAUGGAACGAACACGUAUCGAGUUGAACGAAACCAUGGCCGCUUACUCUUCUCUCUCCCGUCGAACUCUCCACGGAACCCUCGCGGUCGUGCCCAAAUUCCCCCUCCGAUCCCUCCACGAAGGCCCCGACACCAUCGACGAGCUCCUGGAUCGCCACCUCGUGAAGAAGAAGAAGAAGACGACGACGAGCAACGGCGACGGCGGGGACGACGACGACGACGAGGAGCUCGCGCUGCGGCAGCGGCGGCUCACGAGCACGCGGCGCGAGGCGCUGGCGCUCUACCGCGACAUCCUGCGCGCGACGCGCUUCUUCGCGUGGCCCGACGCGCGCGGCGUGCCGUGGCGCGACGUGCUCCGCGCCAACGCGCGCCGCGAGUUCGAGGAGGCGCGCUUCGAGCGCGACCCCGAGGUCGUCGCCAAGCUCCUCAUCGGCGGCCGCGACGCCGUUCAGAAGGCCCUCGACAGGCUCGUCGACGCCAGCAAGAAGAUGGUCGACGCCGAGGCCCGAGAUCGGAGCGGAGGUGGAACGUGAAAUCGAAACCCUAAAACGAGCGAAGGAGUGGUGGAAGGGCGAGAUCCCUAAAAAAUUCCCCCCUUUUUUUUUUUUGCGUUUUUUGGGGCGAAGUUGUUGUUUUUGUAGACGUUUUUUAUGUGAUGGAAUAAUAUCAAAUGUGUAGAAAUUUGUUUGUUCAUACUUUGAUUGGUUGGGUGAUUAUAUUUUUUUUGGAUGGAUGGGUGAGUAAUUGGUAUAAUUCCUGGUAGUAGUAGCUUUUCUGAUAUGAGCAUAUAGCACUAGAUUUAUGUCUAUGAAAAAAUAGCAUCUUUGCUAUUUAUAUAUCAAGGUUUUUGUCUUGUUUUUUUUUGUGUAAUUGUUCUGUAUAUUGUAAAUGUUUCUCUUUAUAGUUCCCUUCUUUUAAAAUUCUUAGGCACAACAUUCUUAUGCCUCAAUAUAGUUACUAACCCAUUUGCAACUUCAGCAUACUUUCAUUUAUUGUAGAAGUAGAUAUCAGAGAAAGUUCUGAUUUAAACCAAGUUUGAAUAUAAACUCACUCUAGCAGACCAUGUACAACUUAAACAGCUUCCCAUUUUAGAAUUCGACCUUGCAUUCCUGGGAUACUUUUUUCCCUUUUUCACUUCUACCAUGACAAUCCCAAACAAAAUCAAUUCCUUGGUUGUGGCCGCAAAAGCAAUAGAGUGCUGCAUGAUGCAAGUAUUGUUUAUCAUACUUGCUCUAUGUUUAACAAUAUCAGGAUGUACAGAGGUGCUCACAACUUGCUUUCUCUAUUGCAGAAGCCACUCUGUUUCUUCUUUCUGCAGUUUGCCUGAAUAUCAUAUAUCUUUUCAUCAGUAGCAUCUCUUGUAUAUUCAGACUCAUUACUGAUAUGCUUCUAGCAUCAUCUUCAUACUUUUUAUCGCUGUCGCUGUUACAAUCACCAGUAAUCGCCACAACAACACGAACCCUCGGAGAAGUGAUGAUAAACUCUUGUAUCCCCAACAAUAAUCUCCCUUCCUGAGGAUUCGGAUAUCAACUUAAGCGCGUGGUGGCAAUGAUUGCAUAUCCUCACAUUCUUCUUGACUAGUAUGGGAGUUCCAAUUUCAGUGGAUAUCAAACCAAACACAACUGCAAGCCUUAAACUGUGCUUAUUAGCCAAUGUUGCCUUCUUUCCUCCAGCUCGCAUUGGAUCAAACACCUCCUUGCCAUUCCCUGCAGUUUCCCCUAUCAAUCUUGAUAAAAUAUCGGACACUUCGUGUAUCUUAUUACUCUGGACGUGCGAUCUAUCCUCGUUGACGAAAGUAUGUGUCUUAUUCUGAAGCUCAACUAGGCUUUUAGCGGUCGUCUUUUUCAACCCUUUCUCCUUCAUCGAAGAUCUUACCCUCUCUACAUCCUCCCACCUCCCGGCGUCUGCAUACAUACUGGAUAGCAGGACGUAGCAGCCCGUGUUAUCAUGCUCCAAUUGAAAUAUGCGCUCAGCAGCGUAUUCCGCCAUUUCUAUGUUAUCAUUGUUCCUACUUGCUGUUAACAGAGACCCCCAUAUUCGUGCUGUUGGGGCCAACGGCAUGCUCUCUAUAAACCCUAACGUCUCUUUAAGAUCUUUGGUGCGGCCUAGGAGAUCGACCAUGCAUCCAUAGUGCUCGAUUUGGGGUGUUAUACUGUAUUCUUGUUCCAUGGAAUUGAAGUACAUCCACCCUUCCUCUACCAAUCCAGAUACACUGCAAGCAGUUAGUACCGACACGAAGCUACUGUCGUUUGGCUGCAACCCACUCAAUUUCAUAGCAGCGAACAAGUCAAGUGCGGUCCUUCCAUGCCCGUGAAUUCCAUAUCCCAUAAUAACCGUAUUCCACGAUAUUGUAUCAUUGCACACGAUUCUGUCGAACACCUGCCUCGCACUCCUAAGAUCACCGCAUUGUGCGUACAUAUGUAUGAUUGAAUUCAGCAGCAGAGUAUUGUCCCCAUAACCUGAACGAACAACAUAACUAUGUAUUUGCUUCCCAUGCCGAAGUGAUUCUAUCUCUCCAUAAGCAGGUAUUAUGGUUGACAUCGUAAAGACGUCUGGUUUUAGAGGCUCGUUCUGUAAGUCGAUGAAUAGUUGCAAGGAUUCUCCAAACCUCUCAUUCUGUACAUAAGCCGCAAUCAUGGUGUUCCAUGAUACCAAACUCUUUUCCGGCAUCUCAUUAAAUAGUAUUUCCGCCGAUUUAACUUUCCCGCAUUUUCCAUACAUCUCUGUUAACGCAGUCCCGAGAACCAGGUGAGGAAGGAACCCUCUUCUUAUUGAAAACCCAUGAAUGGUUUCUCCACGAGACAAGCUCUCCAUUUGAGCACAAGCAUUUAGCAAAUUCACCAUCGUGACUGUGUCUGGAUCAGUUUUCUCCUCCCACAUCUCUCUCAUGCAAUCAAAUGCUUCGUCGGGUUGAUCGUUCAGAGAGUACCCGCCGACGAGAGAAUUCCAUGCGACAACAUUUCUCAGAGGCAUACCGUCGAACAAUCUCCGGGAAUAAAUCAUGUUACCACAUUUGCAGUACAUAUCAAGAAGAGAAGUUUGGACUUUGAUAUCAUCUUCGAGCUCGUGCCUCACCGCAUGCCCAUGGAUUUCCCUCCCUUGCUUAGAUAACAACUCCAUAGAACACGCCGCGAGAGCACCCAUGAUCCCAAUCCUAUCAUGCUUAAUCCCUAGAGCUUCAUUCAACUCCCUAAAGCACGAUAACGCCGCCGCCGCCUCUCCAUUCAAAACAUAGCCAUCGAUCAUCGAGUUCCACGAUACACGGUCUCUCACCGGCAUUUCCUCGAACACCCUCUUUGCAUCACUAAUAAGCCCAAACCUCGAGUACAUGGCAAUGAGGGAAUUGCAAAUAAAAAGAUCUGAAUCCAAUCCGAUCUUGAGUACCCUCCCAUGGGCUUUUAAACCGUCAAAGCGCCCCGACAAGACGGUGCAGGAUUUGAAGACGAAGGGGAAGGUGAAGUUAUCCGGUCGGACGUUCUCGACGUGCAUCGCGUAGUAAAAUUCGAGAGCUUCUUCGUAGAGCUCGGCAUCGGCGUAGCCUCUGAUCAUGAGGUUCCACAAAAAGGCAUCAUGUUUCUUCUUCUUUGUGCCGCGGAAAAGCGACACGGCUUCGUCCAUGCGACCGGAUUGGAUGUAGGAGAGAAGGGUUCGCGCGACGAAGGAAUUGUUGGUUUGUUUGGAUAAUGUUUUCGGUGUGGAUGAGAUGUUGGUUUGGGAAGUGUUGGUGGAGUUGUUGUAGAAGCACGGGAGAGAAGCUGUGGCCAUUGCCACUACAUACUAUAAACAUACACACACUAGAGAAGAGCUUUCAUAGCUCUGUAGAGUGAGUGAGUGUUUAUAUAUAGGUAUUCAUUGCUUUUGUAAUUUUGGAUGCAUUAUCCACAGGGGGUGCUGCAAUACACAGCCAUACAGUUUUUGCAGGGAUAUAAAUAGUUUGGUUCUUAGGUCGGAUACUAUGGAGAAGCGAAACUGAAAUCCAAAAGUUAUUAUCUUUUCUUCUUUUUUGUUUUUUUAAUCAGGGGCUUGGUCUGCAGCUAUCUAAUUUCCCUGUCAUUUUUAAAAUAUCAGUGGUUUAUGAAAUUUAAUAAUUUAUCAGUUUCGAUUCCAAAUAGAUUCCUUUUAGUUUAUUAGCGCAUAGCAGUUAGCUUUUCUUUGUUAUAAUAAUAAAAUAAAAUAGAAGUUUCGGAAUGCUUCAAAGUAUUUUGAGAAAUCGUAGCCGCCCAAUCGAAAUUUUAUUUUAUAUAUAUGAGAUAUCACUUUUUCCACACAAAUUUAAGUAAAUUCACCAAUUACAUAAAUAAAGGCACCACAUUGAUACUCAGAAAACACCAAAGUAUGCAGUGCAAUUUCCAUAGAGAGCAGGGGAGUUGAAAAUGAAACAAGACUUUUGUGGAAGGUACGCGUUGCUCCCAUUCUUCGCAUGAUCAUCAAUGGAUUUGAUGGCUGGUUGAUUUAGAUAAGCAUACUUGCUUUUAGUCCACCUGCACCCACCCGAGAAGAAAAUUCAAAUGAAAAAAAACGCUUUUUUUUAAGUCUAUUUGUAGACAUUAUUAAACAAUGAUUACUCAGAUAUAAGAUACAUGAUGAUCUACAGAGAAAUAACUUAUCAGGAACAUUUCCCUGUGUUUAAGGUGUUUUGUACGUUACUUUAAUUAUGCCACUAGAUGCUCAAGCGGAUUCAUUUAUCUAGAAGUCUUGUCUCAAGCAUUUUGGUUAGAUAAUGAAAGCAAAGACUUUUCUUUUUUACUUUUUGUGAGGGACACACCAUCCUCCAACUGAAGAAAUUAAGAGUCAUAAUAUUUUGAAGCAUUUGUGAGUAUCAUGAAAACCAAUUAUUUUAAAAACUGUUCACGACGGAUCACCGGUUCAACCAAUGGUUUGAUCACCGGAUUGAAUGAUGUCACUAUAAUAACAUAAUGUUUAAUUAUUAUUUUUUAUAUUAUAUAUAAUGAAAUAAAAAAUAUAUACUAAAUAUAACAUUUUAUAUUAUUUUUAAAUAUUAUUAUAUUUUAUAUAAUUAAAAAUAUGUUCAAAUUGUAGAUUUUAUUGAAAAAAAAAAAAAAAAAUCUGACCAGUUUGGUCUGAGUUGGUCAAACCGGAUUUUAAACCAGUUCCAGUGUUAUGAAUCGGUUUGGGCACUGGAUCACGAUCCAACCAGGCAGAUCGAUCCGGGUUAAACCAAGCAUAGUACUCAUUACGAACUUUCUUGAAGACUUUGUAACCAUUAAUAAUGUUUAAAAAAACGUGACGGCACACAAAAGACUAAUUAAUAAAAAGCAUCUUUGAAGUGGUCAAUACAUGAUUAUCCUGAUGUCAGUUCCUGUUGUACCUAGUACGUACGUUAGCUAUUUAAAUUAAGUAGAACAUGAAGUAGAACACUUGAUUAAUAUAGUUUAGAAUAAUGGCAAGAUGUAGGGAAUUAACCUACCAGUCCUUGAUCCCAAUUCUCAGCUCCUUGUUGUUGUCGUCGCCGUUGUCCCCCUCCUUUCCUUCCUCCUCAUUCUUCCCGCCGUCAAUGAUCUCUCUCAGCAACUCCUCGAAUCGCCUGAAAUCUUCUUCCUGCUCUCAUCAUCCUCAAAGAAUUGCAUACGAAAUUAAUCAUGUUAUCUUAUAUAAGAUGAUCCAUCAACAUAUAGAUCUAUAUGCUGAAUAAAGAAACGUGAUACAGGUAAGACACCUUGAACAAAAUUGCAGAUAAAAAGCCUAAUCAAUUGCAUAUGAUACAGUAGAAUCAAAGAAACCUUGGAUCCACUAGAGAUCACUAUAGAUCAGAAAAAACUGAGAGCGAUAAUCUUGCCUUGAGAGCCUUAGCUCUGAUUCUAGCAGCGGCCUUUUGCGCGGCGAGAAGGUGUUCCUCCUCCUCCAUCUUCUUCCUCCGCCAGAAGCGAUUGAUCUCCUCCUUUGUUAUGCUCUUGACAACAACCAUCUUUCGUGUCGAUGUCGGCAGCGUUGAUGGGCUCAAUAUCUUCUUUGUCGCGCCUUCUCCCUUCCUUUGCGCCAUCAUUAUUUCCUCUGUUUGCUGUUUGCAACCUCUCCUCCCUCUUUUAAUUCUUUUCCUUGAGUGCAAGAAAACCUAUAUAUAGAUAUAUAUAUAUGAAGCCACUGCUAUACAAACCUAACGUCCCGAUCGACAGAGACUUUGGGAGGCUUCCCCUCUCAGACUUCUUGUAGUCUUCUCCUAUCUUUCUUUUCUUUUUAGUUUUGUCCUCCCUUAUGUAUUGCACACUCUUGUGCUUAUCUUCCAAGUUUGGUCAUCAUAUAUUAGGCCACCAUGACAAACUGGGGCCUACCACUAAUGUCCUGAGCCGGUGGGCGGUCCACUGAAGCUAUUAAUCUGGUAUAAUAGUACAAUACCAUCUGAUAUGAUAAUUCACACGCAAAUAGUGGUAAUGGGACAUAAAUGGUUUUCUACAGCUAACUUUUUGCCACUGUUGAGAGAUGUUGAUAUUAUUAUAGCCUGCUUAAUUUGAAACUUUUCUAUUGGGGAGAGAAAUGCUACAAUUUUGCAAUAAAUACGUACCAGAGGAAAAUGAAAAACUCACCACUUUACCAUAUGCUUUCGAAGAGAAUUAUACACCCUCUAUUCCUCUCCAAGUAAUUACUUAAAUAGAAGAACGUUUUAGUUAAACUUGCAAGCGAUAUUUACAGGAGUAAAUGAAUAAAGAAGAUAACCAUUGAGAGAGAUAUCAAGAAUACGAAGAAUAUUGAUGGGAACACGACCCAUUCGUCGCAAACAUAAACAACUGUAAUUCCAUUACAAUCUAGUGGACAUCAUGUGGUGGUGAGAAUCAUUUCGUACCAAACUUUAUGCCACAACAAACAGAUAAUGCUUCCGAUAAAAGAUUUUGAGUGUUGAAAAUGUUUCAUUAUAAAAGAAAGUUUCAGAAAGAAGAAGAAGAAGAACUGUAUAUACUUAUUAUACUACAUAUUCUUUGUCAGAUGAACAGAAAUUUUGCCAGCAUACAUUUUCUUCUGAGCCGUGUAGCUUCAAAGAAACAUACAGUUUGACUGCAAUUCUUCCUCACGGGAAGAAUAUGUUUUUAAUUGAUUUGGCUGCUUCUAAUAAUAAUGACAUUAAUGUUGAGUACCACUGACGGAUGUAGAAAAGAAUCAACAGUACCCUCCAAACAAAGCUUCCAACAUCAUUGUAUGCCUUUUUUCCUCUUGCUAGCCUACAAAAGAAAAAAAAUUGUCGCGCAUUAGAGAGGAUCAUAAAAGCAGAAAAGAUGGCAAACUAUAGGAAAAGUAUUUGUAACAUUAGGCACACAAAAAAGAUGGCUGCUUUUGUAACAAAACAUGGAUUAUGAAUUUACAAAAGACUUUUACUUCUUUCAUCCAUGACAAAACCACAUGCCUUCAUUCUAGAAGACGACAGCAGUAUCAGAAACUUAAAUUUAAUCCGGAAUCUCGACUACACAGCUAGUUUACUUGUAAUUCCAGGAGGCAAAAGAAAUCCACACCAGUGUCUGUCCAUCCAAAUGCAUCUUUAGUAUUCAGCAGGUCAAAAACAAUAAAAACCAUUUAGUUUUAAUUCAGUUAUGAUGGCAAACAACAUUGAGUAACAUACAUAUGGAACCCACUUUUCUUCCCCAAACAUGCACCCACUUAAGAUCCUGCUUUAUGCCUCUAAUGUCCACUUCUGUGUACUUCAGGCAACUAAAGACAUUUAACAGUUUGUGCAGGCUUCCGUGAAAAUUGGUAGUACACAAAUGUUAGAUCUAGAGGAGUCCAAAACGUGAUGAGAACAACAUACAUACAGACGGUGCGAAAGAGAAGCAAAUAAAAUGACCAUACGAAAUAGGAAAAGUAAGAGUAUUAACUAAACAUGUUAUUUUACCUCUUGAAGUUUCUUCAAUAUCAUAGCUUCGUACUCAUUAAAGCCAGCUCCGACAAUGUUGCUGACUUUUGGUUCACUUGUUUCAGCAGUCUGUGCAGAGAAACUAUCUGAAGUGCCUGCAGUAGUCACAAGAGGAAGAACAAGCAAGGGAUUUGAAAGACUCCCGCUCAUGCUGUGUGUAGCUGCUUCCUGACAAAAAGAGAAAAGAAACCAAAUAUAACAGUAAUAAGCAAAUCUGAAUAGGGUUAUGCAUGGGAUUGAAACUGCAUAUAAACAGAAGAAAGUAUAUUCAGUGCAUAAAGCAACCAAAAACAUCAAAAAUAUGUAAUGAGACAAUUUUUCUUGCCAUUGUACCCAUUGUCAAUAUUCAGGGUAUCACUAUGGAUAAAUCAAUUAUGCAAGCUAAAUUUGGAACGUUGUUGUCUGUGCUAAAGCAACUACCACAAAUCAUCAAUUAAAUUUCAAUCGCAUGACUCCACAUAAGCUGAAUUUGAAGCUAAAAUCCAUUCAUAAGAGAAGUUCAACAAUUAACAGAGCUACAAACAAGUGAACUGAACAAUUCUUCCGCCCACAUGGAUUGCAUAAAGAUGUCUGACUUAAGUUCAACGGAACUUCAUUUUAGCCUUUUUGAGUAACAACAAGCAAUUAGGACCAAAAUCAAUAGGUAUGAGGGUCUAGGCCUCAAAAUAGGCAGAAAUAGUGACGGUAAAGAUCACAUGAUUAUCAGCCAAUCCUUCCUGAAAUGUGUGACCCAGCUGUGAAUAGAUCUUCCUACACAAAAAGAAAGCAAAUGGUAGACUAAAUUUCCUAUAAUAGCCUCCCAAGUCCAGCACUUGACCACAUUUAUAGAGCAUGUGGAGUGAAUCCAGGAAUUGCAGAUGAGAUGAGAUGAGGCUAAUAUUGCUAGACGGAAGCGGAAUGCAGCUACGAGGUCUUCAAGUAAAGUCUUAGGUUCAGCAUAUAAGAGGCUAGAUGUGGAAUAUCUUAAUGAAACUAUUUUGUGCAAAUCUGUGCUGAGAGGAACUAGCAGUGACAAUGUAGAAGAAAAGAGAAAAGAGUGAAGAAAGAACAGUGCGAGCAACAAACCAAAGUUUUGCUGAUUUGUCUUGUUACCGGCAGAAUUUGCUUUUGCCAAAAGCAGCUUAAAGAAAGGAAACAAGAGGGAUUGAGAAGAAAUAGACUACGAAAUGAUGGGGAACCUUUGACCAUGAAAAAUAAGGGGAACUUGCAAGAGGAACUGAAGGAGCCGGGGGCGGGGGGGGAGGGGGGAUGUUAAGAACUACGAAAUACUGGCAUGUUAUCUUCUCAUCUUCUACUGCAAAUUGAAGUCAGCUUCAGUCUUUUAUAGCCACUGGAACACUUUCUUUUUGGAAACUAAUAUGAUACUCGAGACAAUGCCAAAUCAUCACAAUAUCCCCUCCUUACGGUAAAGGAAUUGAUCCUAGUCUUGGGAACCAGAGAUAAAGAGAUAUUCUAAAUCUUCAAUAUUUUCUCUUAUUGGUAAGCAGAUCACCCCUCUUUUUAUAAUCUUUCAAUAGUUAUAAAUCUCAACCUAGGUUCAGAACAUUCUCCUGUCACUUGUUUAUGAUAUCAAAUCUGUAUAAUUCAAUGAAGUAAGAAGAGAUCAACAAUUAUGAGAUAAGCACUCCAAAUGAGGAUGACAGAUGGCAUGCAAAGGAUAGUAAGUGACAAUAUAAAUAUUCCAUAUUAUAGGCAUUAAAAAAAAACUAAUGGAACAGAAAGAGAUUCUUGUCCCAAACAUACUAAAAGGAUAUUUCUCGCUAGUUCAAAUACUGAGAUGUUUAAGAUGUUUACGAGCUUUCUAAAAGUUGCGCCUAGAUGACAAUUCUUGCAAAUAUGAGAUUUUUUUUUUAAAUGCUUUUCAUGUCCCCCUACACAUUAAAUAUGCUAGAAUGGAUAUUCCGAUUGUUUUUGUAGUUGUAAAAAGCUGUUUUCUUUUGUUUGUUAAUACCAUUCUCUCCAAGGUCUCAAACUUUUCCAGAACUAAGAAAGCAUGGCAAACUUACCACGGCAUCUUUGGAAGACAUCACGACGAUGGCCGAGGCCUUGCUUUUAGAUUUCUUCGAUCUAAUUACAAUAUCUUCGACCUCUCCGAACCUCUCAAAGAUCUCUUUCAACUUGGCCGCAGUGUAAUCACCCAAACUCCUCUCCCAGGAGACCUUCAACAUCUUCUCCUUCUCCUCCGAGCCCUCUCGCUUUUCCUGUCCAGAUGUCUAGCAAAAAUUGAUGCAGCGAAUUAGCACAUGAAUUAACUAGCACGCACUACAAACUUAGAUACAGCGAACCCUAAACCUAAUCUUACCGAGGCGGAAGCGGGGGUGGAUUUAUUGGCCUUCCUGGCCAGGAAUUCUUCGAGCUCGCGCUGCAGCUGGGCGGCGACCUUCUUCUCGCGCAACUCGGCGAGCUCGGCGGGGUCGGGGGCGCCGUCGCGAGCGGCGGCGGCGCGCUCCCGCUCGUCGAGGUCGGCGGCGAGCUUGCGGCGCUUGGUGUCGCGCGCCGAGUCGCGGAGGGCGCGGUCGCGGCGGGCGCGGAGGCGCGCGUCGAAGGAGCGGCGCGCGGCCUCGUCCCUGAGGACGUCGUAGGAGGCGCGGAGGCGCUGGAAAUCGGCGGUGGCGCUGGGGUCGUCGGGGCGCUUGUCGGGGUGGCGCACGCGGGAUUGGCCCUUGUAGGCCUUGUCUAUCUGAUCUAGGGUUAGCCUCGCCCCCUCCUCGCCCGAGGGGAGGCGGAGUACCUCGUAGUGGUCGAUCUCCUCCUCCACCGCUGCGCCGACGCCCCCGCUCGCCAUUAGAGAGGGGGAGUGGAGCUACGCUGCUCUAUGCGACUAGGGUUUUUUGAGGAGACGCGAGAGGAGGAAGGAAGGGAGAGGUCGGAAGAGCGCGCGCGGAGACGUGACAGUUCGAGCCCUUCUGAUCCUUCAGGAGUGGCCGACUAAGAAAAUUAACAAAAUAAUUAAAAUAAAUAAAUUAAGACCACUUUGUAAAAUAAUUUAAUUUCAAGGAGAUUUUUCUUUGGCCCAAUUUCGUUCCUCGGUUGACUCCGCACACCAACAAAAAUUGCAUAGAAUUUUUUUUUUGAAAAUGCUGUAAUUAUUGCAUUUAAUUUUAGAAUUUAUUUAGAUACAUUAAUAUGUUUCUAUAAAAUAAAAGUAUAUUAUUGUCUGUGACAUAUGAAUUCUAAUAUUUUGUUUACUCUCCAGGAAUUAUUUUUAUUUAUAAAUUUAUAAAUUUUUAUUUAUAUUUUGAUAUUCUACUAAAAAUAUAGAAAUAUCUCAAUGUAAAUAUAAAUACACAUUUUCAAAAAGCAGGACACUACAUAGGAAAUUCUGGAGAAUCUCUACAGAUAAUUCCAAAAUAGUAAUUUUUUUUUAUAUAUAUACGAUAAUGAUAAUUAAAUUGAAUUCUUUUUAUAAUAAAAAAAUAUUCAACUUAAAAAGGUGGAGGACUAAACUGAAAUUUGAGUAAAAUUUCAGGUCUAGUAGUACAUUGUACUCCACGACCACGGUAUCUGCUGCGUUGCCAAACGCAGUAAAUAAAUACAACGCAACAACUCCCUCGUCGCAUUCAUUUCACCCUCCGCUUCUCUCCCCCAAAUUUAAAAUUCAGAAACGAAACCCCCUUCUCCCUCUUUCUACCCCACGCAAGCGAGAGAGAGAGCGAUCACACUCUUCGUAACCGAUCGGAGGUACUCGAUCUUGCAUAAAUGGAGCGAGAGGAGCCGAUCCUCCUUGCUAUCUUCGUCGUUCUCCAUGGCGAGGAGCAUCCGAUACCCUCGUCUCCUCCCGAGCAAGAGGUUGUUGCGAUCGAUCGCGAGGAGGGUUCGCCAAUCGCGGCCUCUCCCUCUCGGGACAAUUUUGCGCUAUGCGAUCGUUUCCACGACAAUUUUGAUCGUGGCGGUGGUACUCUGGAUGAUCAUCUCCGUUGUGCUCUUCCUCUUUCGCGACCAUCGUCUCGAUCCUUAUGAAGAAUCUCUUCUCACCUAUCAGAAGUAAGAUCGUCUCGUUUUCCGUUUGUUUUUGUGUGUACAAGGUGUUUGUAUGUGAAGUUUUUUGUGUUUCUUGAUGCAGCGAAGUGAAGGAUGAGGUGCUUGGGGAGAGAGGGGAGCCGUGGUCGGAGGUGCUCUCGUGGAAGCCGAGGGUUUUCAUGUAUCAUAAUUUCUUGGUACGAGAAUCCUUCCCAUUUCGUAUCAUCCUCUUCUUUUUGUUGUGAUUUUAAUUAUUAGGGAUGCGGAUUUAUGUAUUGAAAUUGUUGGGGCCUGUUCGGAUGCCUGGUCCAUCCUGUUCUGUUACUCAAAGAUUUUGCAAUAAUUGGUAGAUUAAGAGUGUGAUUAUAUAUAUAUUCAUGGUAUUUUCUAGGAGUAAGAUAAAUCACUCAUUGGUGGAAUGCAUUUUUCUGAAAAAAAAAACUCCACUGCUAGGAUCUUGCAAUGGACUAAAAACAUAUUCAUAGGUUGUAAUCGCAAAAGAAUAAUCCCCAUAGGCCCUGUUUGGAUGCGUGAGCAUCCUAUUUGCUAUAUUUCUUUGAUUUACUCAAGAAGCGUAUAGUAUUUGAUAGAUAAGGAGUGUGAUUAAAUAUUUAAAAUGAAAACCAUAUUCUGUCUUUGAGUAAUUUUUUUGGAAUAAGAUAAAUCACAUUGUAGGUAAAAUAUACUAUCAUAUCAAAUCAUGGAUGUUGAGAUCUUUUGAGAAACAAAAUAAAAAAACACGUAGCUUCCAAUCACGCAAGAAAAUGUUCAUACCAAAUAACUUAUUAUUGGAUAGCUUAUUUCGGCAUCAAAACAGAGCCAUAAUGUAUGAGUUCUCACUGGAUAAUUUGUUCUAACAUCCAAGCAGGCCCUUAUGGUAGAAGAUAAUGCUGCUUGCCUACUGGAUUCAAAUCCAACUACUAAACGUGGAAUGAUGCCUAAAAUUUUUUUAAAGUGCAACAAGCCUCCAAAAUUUGUAAAGAUGGAUCAUCCAAAUAUGAUUAUAAUUAUACUUAUAUUGAAUGUUUUUUAAUCAGUCUAAGGAGGAAUGUGAGUACCUAACUAAUCUAGCGGAGCCUCAUCUGGUGAGGUCUGCGGUUAUCAAUAGAAGCAACGGAAAGCCAAGGAACACCAGGUCUACACUCUUACCUUGCUACUUAAUUUACAAUUUUCAACCAUUUUCACAUUAAUCUGUGUAUCCAGUUUCCGCACUAGCUCAAGCAUGUUCUUUAAAAGAGGUCAGUACAAAACAAUUCGAGCUAUUGAGAAAAGAAUCGCAGAUUUUGCCUUCAUACCUACAGGUACGGUUCUUGGUAAUACUUAUUUUACAUGGAUUAUUAGCCAUUGAAAUCAGUACUUUUUUUGCAUACUCAUUAUGAAGCUCGCUUAGGUCUUGUUUUGUAGCUUGGCAGCAUGACCUCUCCAUAUGCAUAGUAUCUUUGUUUUUAAAAGGAAAGAAAAGGAAAGUCAAAAGAAGUUACUACUAAUUUUUCAUUAUUUAUUGCCAAACAAACCUCAAAGAUGUAUAAAUUUGCAAGCAAUCCACCAUCCACCAACGCAUAGUGUUUGUGAAUAAAAAAAAAAAAAAAACAGCAGUAUUAAACUAUGCCUUACCUUAUCAAAUUUGAGUAGAAAAACAUUCCUUAUUACAUCUAUAGGGGUCAUAGGACAAAAGACAUAAAAUUUAAAGAAGGGCCUCCAAGUAUUGAGGGGAAUAAGAGGAAGUUAUAUGUUUUACUCUUUUUUUCAAGGAUUUAAAUGCCGUGCCAUGUGGUCGUGUCGAAAACCUGCUUGCACGGUAUGGCACCCUUACUAUGCCAAUUCAUGCUGGUCACAAAGAAAAACCUGUGUGCUAAUACACAAUCGCGUGAAUAUUUAUUUUCUUUGGCUCCAAUUUAUUCUAAUUGCUUAUUAUAUAUCUUUAUCGAAUUGUUUACACUUUAUUGAGAUAACUACUUGCUAAUCUUAAAGAUAAGAGGGUUUUGAGCCGUGCCAUCGGCGUGCUAUCAGCAUGGUGUAGUAUCGCGCCGAUAUGUUAUUAGCACGGUAUGGCCUGAUGGAUAUGGCCUAUGCCAAUGGAUACUUAAAUCCUUGCUUUUCUUUUUUACCACUUUUCUCUCCUAAAGUGCCAAGGUUGUUCUUCUGUUUAGUUGUGUUAAGGUUCAUGUUUAACAUAGAAGGCUAAAAUUGUUGCUCUAUUUGUUGUGUGUGAUUCCUCAAAUGCAUUGUUGAACACAUCAAAAUAUUCAAACCAAUAUCUUUUUGUGCUGGGUACGGCCUCUUUUUACUUUUUUCCCUAGGAUUUCCACUGGUUUGAUUUUCUUUUUGUCAUAUUCCUCUGUAACUUCCUUUUUCCAUGUUGUUCUACAUGCUUUCACUUUAUUCUUAUUUAACCUCUACUGGCUCCUUGUUGUCGGGCAAAAAUUUUAUGGACACCAUGUCCAAUUUUUUUUUUUUUUUGAGACUCUUGGUGGGCGCCGCAUGGCACCCCAGCCACGCGGGCCACCGUCCUGCUGCUCUGCCUCUUUGGAGAGCAGCGGGUUUUUUUUGGUGCGCCCGUUGUACCAUUUUUACUUCAAAAUUUUAAUUUUAAUUUUAAUUUAAUAUAAUAGAUAUAUAUUUUAUUAUAUUUAAAAAAUAUAUGUAAAAAAUAAUUUUAAAUCUUAAAUUCUAAAUUAUUUUUGUAUAUUUUUAAAAUAUCAUAAUAUAUAUAUAAUUAAAUUAUAAUGAAAAAAUAAAAAAUAAAAUUUUAAAACAAAACUAGUGCACCGGGUGCACCAAAAAAAAUCCAACUGCUCUCCCUGUUGGGAGAGCAACAGGGAGAGCAACAGGACCGAUGGGCCCGCGUGGCUCGGGUGCCACGCGGCGCCCAUCCAGAGUGUCCUCAAAAAAAGUUUUUUGGACAUGGUGUCCAUAAAAUUUUUGCCUCUUGUUGUCCUUUCCUUUCCUCCACUAGUUUGAUCCAUCUGUAAACAAUUCCUUAAAUGCUUUAUUAUGUCCCAUUGUCACUGUUAGUUACGGUCUUGAUCGUUGUAAUCCAAUCCAUGAUCAUAACUAAAGUGACGCGAGUAAUUUAAGGCUUCUGCUAUUAUAUUAGGAACCAAACAAGAAAAUGAAACACUGAAUCUUUGAGAAUAAAGAUGCAAACUGGGCUGGUGAAUUGUUUCUAAUAUUCUCAUAUGAUUCAUGCUGAUGUGCCAAUGUUAUGUUAAUGAGAUUUUCUGUUAUUUGGUUUAAGUUGCUUAUUUGCUUCUUUUUCCACUGUUUUUUUUAUGCUUUACCAAACUCGUUGGUGCUAAUUUCAUACAGAACAUGGGGAGGGGCUUCAAGUUGCUCACUAUAAAGCUGGAGAAAGAUAUGCGGCUCACCACGAUUACUUUUCUGAUAAAUUUAGCAUCAGGAAGGGAGGUCAGAGAAUAGCAACCUUUCUUAUGUAUCUGUAUGUGUUUGGCUUCUUAAAAUUCAUUUAGCUUUGUUCAAACCACCUUUGAUCUGAAACCAUUUUGACUUAGCUUUUGUGUUUUGUUUUUCUCCUUUGGGAGGUACUGAUACAGUUCAGAUGUUGAAAAGGGUGGUGAGACAGUAUUUCCUUAUGCCAAAGUAAACACCAGCUCUUUACCAUGGUAUAAUGAGCUAUCUGCAUGUGGAAAGAGGGGCCUUGCUAUUAAACCCAAGAUGGGAGAUGCCAUUCUUUUCUGGAGCCUAAGACCUGAUGGCGCACCAGAUCCAUUAAGUAUGCAUGGUCAGCUUCCUACCCUUGGACCUGGUUUUACCUUUCUGGCUGUAGAUCGCAUAUAACUUAUAAAAUAAAAUAAAAAAAUUUCUCUACUCUUGCUGUAAGCAUAUAAUAUAAUUAUAAGUCCGGCUACUAUACUCUUAUGAAUACAAUCGUCUUCGUAUUCAUAAGUCGUUUUCGAUGAUAGAGUUCCUGAAUCAACGAUCCAUACCGUUAAACAUUAUUUAGAGCAUUUAAAACUUCUGAAAAUCAAAUUUUAUAAUUUUUCGACAUCAUUUACCUUACGAUCAAAAGGUAACAAAAAUAACAAUUUUUAAUGGCCGGUAUGGGAUACUUGCUAGUUUAACGGUGUAAAAGAAUUGGAAUAGGUUGAAUUUUUGAUAGAAAAUUCUAUUCGCUACCUAAAUAAAGAUUAAUAACUCUAAUCUUAAAUUGAAGGAUCCGAUCAUUCAUUUUUAGAAUGUCGUUCGAUUUUGACCGUUCAUUUUAUGCUCGCUUGAUGGGCUUUAUUGUGAUUUCAAAAAAUUAUGAAAUUUAUUUUUUAGAAAUUCCAAAUACUUUAGAUCAUAUUUAACGAAGUAGAUUAUUGAUUCAAAAGUCCCAUCAUCGAAAACAACUUAUGAGUACGAAGGGCUCUAUACUCAUAAGAGUAUAGUAGCCCUACUCUCUCUCUCUCUCUCUCUCUCUCUCUCUCUCUCUCUCUCUCUCUAUAUAUAUAUAUAUAUAUAUAUAUUUGCUGUAUUAUUGAGUGGAUACUUCAUUGUGCUAUCUGCAGAAGGGUGCCCUGUAAUUGAAGGGAAUAAGUGGGCAUGUACAAAGUGGAUGCAUGUUGAGUUCUUCAGAUCUGGACAAUAAAGGUACUCAUCACUUGGUUGGCCAUUGUGCAUUUGUGUUCGACUUUUCUUGUUUUUUUUUGGUUUAACCAGUGCCAUAUAAAUAUAUUAGGGCUUCCGUCUUUUUUUUUUUUUAUAAUCUUUGUUCAGGCAUCUCACAAAGCUUCUCAUUUUAAGAUGAUUUCUCACGGCCUUUGUAAACCUUCUAUCAAUUUUGAUGUCUCGGAGAGUGUUGAUCAAAUAAGAUUACUCCAUAUGUUAAGGUGUUAUCAUACUGAAAAAUAAUGCAUGAAAUUCUUGCCUAGUUUCCAAUGAAAGAGAUAGCACGGCUGUCUUUGUUACUGAUGUUAAUAUUUCUAACUUUUGUUUCUCACUUUCUCUUUAAUAAUCAUAUUAUUUUUAUUUAGGCUAUUAUGUUUUGUGAGCUCCAAUAUCAUAUAAUAUUGUAGAAGUUUUAGAUGACUCAGAUGUAAGAACAAGGUCUUCACUGUGAUUGUUUGAAAAUGAUCUACAUUAAAUGGAAAUGUUGAUGUAAAUUAUUGGCAGAGGGGAAAUGUAAAGCAUUUUCAGGUUUUUUUUAUUUUUUGGCCCUUUAAAGCAUGAAAUUGUAUCCAUCUGGGCUGCGCAUUCCUGAACUAAGCCUAAAUCAUAGUUCUGUUUGGACAAUUAUGUUGCAUAAGUACCACUACCAGCAGGAUGGAUCACCAAAACAAUAUGCUUCACAGUUCACAGUGUCAAAUCUUUAUCGCUAUUCUGACGUUAAUGCCUAGAGAUGCCUCUUUCCCUUAAAUAAGGCAGGUGUUCUGUAUGAAUGAUUUCCAUCUCAUACCGUAAAAUAUUGUGGGGAUUACCACCUUCCUUUAUUGAUCUAUGUUUGGCAGGAGAGCGACAAGUUAUAGAUUGUCUUGGUAUUGUUUAAUUCGAAGUUGUAGUUUAUAAUUGUCUGGUUAGUAGUUUAUGAUUGCAUUAGGUCAUAUUCAUUUCAGAUGUGACACUUUCUGUGCGAGCGAGGUUUUACAACUUACCACAACUGGUGAUGCUGCAGGGUUUCCUUUUUUUAUUGUGAUAAUUUUAUCUGCCUCCAAUAUUGCACUAAUCACCCAAUUAAAAGAAACAGCCACAAAAUCAGCAUACUGGUAGUAUAUCAUUACUCCGUGACAUAUGCUCGCUCACUGUUGGUAGCUUUACAUGGUUUUGCAAUUUUCUUCGUCUCUCUUUUUACAGGAGGAUUUGAUGACUAACCGUAUAUAGCUUCAAGCAAGAGCAGACGACUAGCGUAAGGAAAUUCACAAUCAUUAUGGGGAUUUUUUGUUUCACAAUCAGUCUGGAGAUUUUUGAUUUAAGUGCAGCAGCAGAGGUUGAAUUUUACAAAAUAUUGGGAGUUCUGGUAAAUCUUUACUCCUAUGUUUUAUGGAAACCUUUGGGUUUUUGGCUCAGAUAGUGUUAGGAUUUAUAAAGUCUCAUCUUUUUGUCAAACAUGUGGAGUAGAUGACCAUAGCUAAACCAGUUUGAGAAUUCAUGAUCAAUUGGCAAGAACCCUUUAGAGCACUUUAUUGAACUUUUCUUGGUACUUCGUAGAAUCACUGAUAAUGAAAAUCAUCUAAGGAAAUCAAAAGUUUUAGAACUUGUUUAAUUUGUGAAGCACAUUUGAGGUACUGAUUGUGGAUCAAUUUUGAGCAGUUGAAGUAAUGGUAGAGGGCUAGCAAAUUGGACUACUCUAAAAUCCAUAUGUUUCAUCAAAUUCGCAAUGGUGAUAAAGUUGGCUUAUGGAUGUACCUCUAAAUAAUGACAAAUAUUUGAUUUUCUUUGUUAUGUUAACAUUCUGUUAAAACUCAUUUAGCUUAUUAUAAACUCAUAAACUACUGCUAUCCAGGUUUAAAUUUAUGAAAUUUAAUUUGCUUUCCAUCUUUCCAUAUCUACUGGUUUCGGAAUGUUAAUGUUUAAUAAAACGUAAUUUCAGAAAUAAAACUUUUCAUUGUGCUAACAUCUGCCUAUAAAUGCUGUGGAGGCAUGGCUCGUGCUUGGUUUCCAGGCGCAAAUUUUAUUGCAAGAGCUCAAGCUAUGGUAGCAGUGACAUUAAGACAGACUUGCCAUGAAUUCAAGGCAUAUCUACUGUUUUGUAUGGUUUACCCAGGUAAACAUUUUAGACUAAUACAAACCUCACUUUAUUCUCAUCUAAAUUUAUCAUUUUUUUUUCCAAUAUUUAAACUUAAAGGAAUGUCUAAACACUAUGAUGUGUUGGUGUACCAUUUGCACUUUCUUUUGAAUGUAUUAAGUUGCAUAUUUCUCUCGUUACAAUACCCUCCUAAUCAGAAAAUUUCAGUAUAAUCUUAUUUAACCUGAGAGAUAUUUAUCAUAGUCAAAAAAGUAAGCAUCAAAACUGUGUAAAAGGAUGUUUUAUCAUAUCACAAUUUUAUACUUUCUAUCAACCAUUUAUUCUCUAUGUAGACUGUUGAACUCGUCAUACUGUUGAAAUAGUAUGCACGACUAAAUUGUUCUAAAUGGCGUGAAAUUAUCAGAUUCUUCUAACCGGCCAAGGGAGACAUCAUUGACAACAAGCAUUCUCCCAUUUCUCAACGAAAUGUUAAGUGUGAAGAUGCUAUGACAUAUAACAUGAAAACAAUAAACCACAUGAACACACAAGUGGCCACAUAAGAAUUAAUGGGGAUGAACGCAUAGCGCUCUGUACGCGACAGCGCCAAAUUUCUCAUAAGCAUCCUUGGCAAAAUUUGAGAUGAAUGGAACCACUGAUCUCAAUAAAUAAUCACACUCAAAAGUAUUGCGCAAAAGUAUGUUUCCCGGGGAUGCUCCAUUUUAUUUCUUGGGCAGGUUUAUAGAGAAAAACCCAAGACCACAAAAGCAGAAAUUGCGCCUCCGGCACAAGAAUGAGAAGUUUGGAGAAAUAAAACAUGAUCUUAAAUAAAAUAUCACAAUUAUUCUUUACCUUCCUGUUUGAAUAAUCAGUCUAAUGCUUGGCAUCUAUCAAAUUCCGAAUGACAAAUGGGAGAAUUCCGCCAUGGUUGUAAUAUGCUAACUCCACCUGAUUUAACAAAAGCCAAACCAACAAAUCAAAGAACGGAUCAUUUUGAAGCAAGCAAAAGUAAAACACUAUGAAAGGAAUGAUUUAUUUUACCUCUGUAUCAAAGCGGACGGUGCAUGUGAAAGACUUGCCAUCAUCUGUCGCAACCGUGACACUUUGACCAGGUUUGAUGUCACUCACAUCAGUUGGAAGGUUGAUCGUGUACCGCUCAUGGCCAGUUAAGCCAAGGGUCUCUGCAUCUUCCCCGGGCUUGAAGCAUAGGGGAAUUAUUCCCAUGCCUACGAGAUUGCUGCGGUGGAUCCUCUCAAAGCUCUUGGCAAUCACUGCUUUCACCCCCUGCAAUAAAACCAUUUGAAAGACUUUGGCUUAAUGCGAAUGCUUGGGCAAGGGCAGAUUAUAGAGCAGUAGUCAUUACCAGUAACAUUGGGCCCUUUGCUGCCCAGUCCCGAGAGCUUCCGCUUCCGUACUCUGCACCCGCUAAUAUGACUGUGUCAUGACACUCGCUUUUGUACCUCUGUUCACAAAGUACAUAACAGUCAGUUUUCCUACAAAAUGAUAACGGGACUAACCAGUGUAAGAGUAUAGAUUCUGCCGAACAUGAAGAGGAAUAGUUGUUCUGGUUGAACCCACAGUUGUUCUUGAAUGAACUACAAUUUCAGCCAGCUGCUGGAAUUGUGCUGCACUACAAUCCCUACUUUAUCUCCAGUUACCACCAUAUUCAUUACAGUUAUGACAACUUGUAAUUAUAGUUAUAUCCCAUCACGUUAAACGAGAGGGAAAAAAAAAUAUUUCGGUCUUUUUUUUCCUUGAGUUUUGAGAAAUUUACCGUGGCGGCAUCAAACACUGAAAGUUUCUCCCCUGACGGAAUAUGAAUUGUCUUAGGCCCGACUUCUCCCUUUAAGAGCUUAUUUACGAGGCGGAUGUUCGCAAAUGUUCCCCUCGCCAUCACCUCAUCGUUGCCCCGACGGCUCCCAUACGAGUUGAAGUCCUUCCUUUCAACACCAUGCUCCAUUAAAUACUUUGCGGCCGGGCUGUCCUUGUGGAUGCUCCCAGCAGGAGAUAUAUGAUCCGUCGUAAUACUGUCGCCAAAGUUUAGCAAACAGUAAGCAUCCUUCACAGGGUGAGGGCCUGGAGGAGACAUUGUCAUGCCCUUGAAAUAAGGAGGCUCGUGAAUGUAUGUUGAUGUUGGGUCCCAUGAAUAGAGAGUAUUUGCUGAGACCGAGAGUUGAUUCCACAUAGAAUUGCCUUUGGUGAUUGCCUCAUACGUGUUCCUAAACAUGUCAGGGAGCACACUGGAUUGCACAACCUGGAAGGAAGUUUAAGAGGGGUGAGUGUGAAACAGUAUGAAGCACAUUUUGCCAGAGACUAGUAAGAAGCAUAACCUUUCAAAAAUCAAAAAAAAAAAAAGAAAAGAAAAGAAAAAAGAAACGUAGUUGCAUGGAUCACCUCUGCUAUCUCUUCAUUGGAAGGCCAAAUGUCCCUGAAGUAAACUUCCUUUCCAUCCUUUCCAAUCCCUAUAGGUUGUGUCUCAAAGUCAAUGUUAACCUGUCAGAUAAAUCUUCGUGAGAACAGGAAGAAAAGAAUUAAACAGACAAGAACCCUGAAAAGCUGUAAAAAUCCCUCUCAUUUAUAAUUCAUGAUUCUGUCACAGAAUUAAAUGCUAUCAGAAAUCAAUCAUCACUUGGGUUUUAAUUGUCACUGCUGUCCUCUUUGACUGAACAAACAUGAAAUUUUACUCUGCCUAUGUAUAUUUUUGUCAAAUUUAUAAGACGCCAAAUCACAGUUAUACUUUGUCAGAUAUUGCAGAGUCACUGGUGUUUAAAACCACCAUUUUCCUACAGGUUUUCAGCUAGCAAUGUGGAAGGAUACAGUCUAUAUAAACAGGUAUCCCACGGCAUUUCUAAACAAGAACCUGCUCUAUAAAAUUCUUCCAUGCAUUACCUAACAAUCUGAGAAUUCCAUUCACAAUUAAAAUUCACCAUCCUAAAAUACUUGCUGUUUAGAAGAAGUGAAUAAGGAUGACCAAGUCAGAGCCAAAGGCCCAAGGUUGCUAAGUACAAUAUAGUGAGAGUAGGAGAACUAGAAGAAGACGGGACUUUAAAGAGGACAACAAGAGAUCUAAGUGAAUUUAGACUUUAGAGAUUUGUUGGCUAGUCUACAGAAAUUAAAAUCCAUUAAAUGGCAGGGUAAACUGCCAUUCCAAAGAUAUUAUUGCAACACAUUGAGAUCAUCCAGACUCUCUCCAACCUCUGGUGCCUAUAAAGGCAAGUGCUUGGUUCAUUGCAAAAUUCGAGCUAACAAUACUGUACAGCAAUAAACUUUUGACACCUCAUUUUAUUACUUUAAUAAUAGACUUUGCCAGCUAUAGACCCAUAGAGAACAACGUGAAAUUUGAAUUCUUAUCCAUCUUAUGUAUACAUAUCCUACUACUUUUUUUUAUUGCUAAAGCAAUACAAACAUGAAGAAACAAGAUUGAUAUGAAUCCACAACCUACUAACCAGAUAACUUAGACUGAAUGUAAAUGCCAACAUACCAAGCCAGUUGCACAAAGAAAACUUUAAUGAUGGUCUCAUACCGUGCCAGCAAGAGCAUAGGCCACCACAAGAGGAGGAGAAGCUAGAUAAUUAGCUCUAGUAAAAGGAUGAACACGCCCCUCAAAGUUCCUAUUUCCAGACAAGACAGCUGCAGCAACAAUGUCUGGAGAACACACCAUGUUUAGAAGCAAAGAAGAAUGAAAAGGUUAUUCGGAAAAUCAGUCAGUUAACAAUGAGAAUGAUUACCAUUCUCAGAGAUCGCAGCUGAUACUGAUUCAUCAAGGUCUCCAGAAUUCCCAAUGCAGGUUGUGCACCCAUAACCAACAAUAUGGAAACCAAGCUGGUUUAAGUACUUCUGCAAACCACUGAAAGAUAUGCAAAGCUAUAAGGAUAGAGAAUACAAGAUUCAAAAUAUGAGCCAUCAUUCUGCCAUUCAACGAAGAUACCUCUUCUCCAAGUACUUGGUGACAACUCCAGAUCCUGGAGCAAGGCUAGUCUUAAUCCAUGGCUUCACCUGAUUAAAAAUGACAGAAAACCAUAUGUACUGAUAAUCACAAGUAGACAUUUGAAAGUUGAUGUACUGAUAAUCAUAUGUCUAUCAUCGAAGAUGAUGGUUUUACAAACAGAAACUUAUACCAACACGUAAAAACUAAACUACGAAGGUAACUUGUGUAAGAAAACUGCACAAAAAUGCUGGAGGAAUUUGACAAGAAGCUCGUUCUAUUCGUCAUGUGGUAAGUAUUUACCAUCGGAAACAUCCUUUUACAUUCUCCACCUUUCAAUAACGGCUGUGAUGCAUCAUGCAGUGUAGCCACUAAAAAAUUAUGUACAUAUUACAAAAUGUGGCUUGCUGUGCUGUUAACAAGUUAAAUCAUAGAGGAAAAAAUGAUUACCACUUCACCAGUAGUUGCCAGCCAUACAGUGUAAACAUUGUGAAAACAAAGGCCAAAUGUGCAAAUAGAUUGUGGUAAUAUUCUAGCGUAUGAUUAUGUGUGAGUGUAAAGAUUAAUAUCACAUAUUUCCAUUAUGCAGGUCCCAUUAAUGCCAGUACUGAGGUGUCUACCAAACAGUUUCCCAGGAUAGUUUUAAAAACUAAUACUGAGGGUUUCACUGUGCAGUACAUUGAAAACCAUCUAAUGUGUGUAGAUUGGUUGGUUGCUCUCUAAUAUCAGAAUAGCUAUGUACUCAGUUGAAAUAAAGAUAGAAGAAAUGCAAAUUCUGUUCCUGACAAAUGCAUUUUUCCAGCUGAUUCAAGUCGCAAAAGUAUUUAGGAAAACAAAAUGUCAUAUUUGAAAUUAAGUGGGGAGGAUAUUCAACCUCAAGGCCUAGUUCGCAGGCCUUCUUUGCGACCAAAGCAGCUCCAAGCAUUACACUAGGAUUUGAAGUGUUUGUGCAACUGGUUAUUGCUGCAAUUACAACAUCACCAUGCUUUAUCUGAGCAGGCGUCCCAUGGAAUGAAAAAUCAGCAACUUUAUUUUGAGUCUCCUUUGGAACAGCAAAACCCUGUAAGUUUUCACGUUAGAUGCAUGUUACAAGACAUACAGAUAAUUUUCAUUCAUUAAAAUGCUUCAAAUAAGAUUAUUCUAUAAAAUGAGCAGGUUCAAAAGGAAAUCAUGGAUAGUCUAAAGUGCUGUAUUUCUCAUGUAUUUGUACAAAAAUAUAUCUUUUAAGAUAAAAGCAAAAUUUUGUAAGAGUGAUGCCUGUCAUGCUUAUCAGUCUGAAUAUUCCAGCAGCAAGAAACAGUGUCCAGAAAAACAGAACAAGGGUCAAGAUGUUUGGAGAAUUAGUAUUAACGGGAGCAAGAAUUACUAACAAAUUCAAUCACAAUAAAUUUCCAUAACUGUAAGAUGAAAAAGAGAAUCAGUAAAUGAUUCAUGACAGACAUGCAACACAGACCAUUUCAGUUGUAAAGACUGACCACUUCAUGUUGAAGGUGCCAUCAGGAGGAGAAUACAACAAAAAAAUAAAAAAAACCUCAAAAUACAAGCAAUUCCACAGACAACUUUGUCUGUACAAUGAAUAUGUGCAAAGACUAGUUUUUUUCACCACUUGUUUUCAAAGGCAAAAUAUAUUCAUGAAGCAAAGGCUGGGUGUAUAUCAGCGUACCUUAAACCCUACGUUGUUAUCCAAGCAUGAUUGCCAAUCCUUUUUCAUUUCCUUCAAGGGAACUCGGUCAUGGGGCCUGCCAAGAAGUUAAUCUUUCUUUCUUUAAUUAAAAAGGUGAAAACGAGUAAAAUCUGGAAGCCAGAUGAAAUUACAUACUGGUGCAUGCUAAGAGCAAGGAAAAAGAAAUGUAAAUUCCACAUAGAUUACCUUUUGGGUCCUGAUACACAUGGUUCGACAUCUUCCAGGUUCAGUUCUAAAUAAGAUGAGUACACUCUUUCCGUCUGGGGCUGAGUUCAGGUCAAACUCAGUCAAAAAGAUGCAGCGGAAAGAACCUUAAUGAUCAUAGUUGUCGAAUUAUCAGCUUAAUAUUUAAAACAUGAAUAUACCUGGCUGUAGUCAACAAACAUUUUAUUGGCCCGCAAAUACGACUCUAUCAUGGCCACCUAAAAAACAAAGCGAGAAACAAUCCUCAAGAUAGGCUAAAACUAGAAAAGCAAUCAUGAUUGCUAGUGAUAACUUACAUUUUCAUCGCUUCUGCCAGUGAGUUUCAGGUAUUGCAAUGUAACAUGAUCCACUGGGAAAAAACCCAUAGUUGCUCCAUAUUCCGGUGACAUAUUUGCUAUAGUAGCACGAUCUGCCAGUGAUAGUUCACUCAUGCCUUUCCCUGGUAUCAGAAAGCAAACACAAUAUGACUGGUUCUUGGCACACUGAAUGAUUAAAUUGUCCAAUGGAAUAGUAUAAUUCCAAAAGCAUAUUAUGGUAUUUGGAACAAACGUCAAGAGAGUAGGAAUUACCAUAGAACUCCACAAACUUCCCUACAACACCGUGCUUCCGAAGCAUCUGAGUUACUGUCAAAACCAGGUCAGUGGCUGUAACACCAUUUUUCAACUUUCCUGAUAAUUUGAAACCAACAACUCCAGGCAGAACCAUGCUCAUUGGCUGCAUGUGGAUGAGAUAGUAAUGUUAUGACAAAUUGACGUAGCUGAGGAGUCGUAUCCUAAUGAUUUCGGACAUCAAACACUGCAUGACAAGCUUAUUCCAACUAGCAGCUAUUAUCCUGAUAUUAUUGUGGGUAAGAAUAUAGAGGAAAGUAAAACUAAAAAACCACAACUUAAAUCAUGAAAAUAAGGUGAACUUGUUGGGAUAGAGAGGCCCAUUAAAGGCAACGCUGUUUGCCAGUUUGUUUCAUUUCCUGUCUUGUAGAUAAUUCAAGCUGAAUUGGUGGAAAACAAGGGUAUAGUACAAUAACCAAUAUUUAUGAUAAUUGACAGCAAAACAAAAUAUUUGGCUUCAAAACUUAUUCACCUACAGGUGUUUAUAUACUAUUUGCACUUUCUUACUAAAACAAUAUAUAAAUAAAUAAUUGAAAAUUUCCACACUCCACACAAUCAUGGAGUGUAUGAACCAUGAUCACCAGGGCACAAAAAAAAGACAUUUACUUAUACAGGUAGUCAAGGUUUAUGACUGUUUGUCUCAAUUCCCAAGCUCAGAUCAAUUAUAUGCAUCAGUUUAUCAAAUUAGACCAAGAUAAGCUUAGGGCAAAGUGGAAUCAAUUGCUUUCUGCAUUGUGGCAAAUGGUUGCAGACCAAGAAUUAAUCAACAGAAUUAAACUUCAAUUAUCAUGCUUAGACCUGUUAGGCAAAAGUGAAACAGUUAUGGCAAUUUGACUUCAGAAGAUGACCGCUAAAUAGCUUAAAGAGGUUAUUCACCUGGCCAAGCAUUGCAGCUUCUGCUUCUAUUCCACCGACUCCCCAGCCAGCAACACCUAGUCCAUCCACCAUGGUUGUAUGCGAGUCUGUUCCGACGACACUAUCAGGGUAAAGGAUCCCGCUACUAUUAAACACCACUCGAGCAAGAUACUCUAGGUUCACCUACAAAACACAUUUGAUGGUUACCAUACUUAUGUGAGGAUUGCUGUAUCAUUAUUUUAUAACAACUCGAUCACUGAAAUAUAAAACUGAAACCGACCAUACAGAAUCGACAAAAAUCCAGAUACCUGGUGGACAAUACCAGACCCUGGUGGAACAACAAGCAUGUUAUGAAAUGCACUAGAUCCCCACUUCAAAAAUCCAAAUCUUUCCUUGUUGCGAUGAAACUCAAGUUCCAUAUUUGCCUGAACUGCAUUUUCUGAUCUUGCCACAUCAACCUGCACUGAGUGAUCUAUGACAAGAUCCACAGGGACCUGCAUGCAAAUAAUUUAAAUUCUGACAGUUUGUCCGCUAAGAGAGAUAGAUCAUCAAAAGCGGAAAAAAAAAAAAAUAGAAGUGCAUUGUUAUUUCUCUCUUCUUUUAAUUAUACGUCGCUAACACUGGAGCAUAAAUUUAUCUUAAUUCUGCAAUUUCCCUAAACCUUGGAGAAAUAGUUAUUAGUCGAGUGAUCUAUCACUUGCCCAGAUUAGGAGCUGAAAAUGGGUCAAGAAUAGGCAAGACUUAGCAAGACUUAACAAGACAUCACAUAGCUAGUAAUAUUUUAGCUCAUUUUAGCAGCCAACUCAAUUUGAAAUGUCAGCCUAUUAUAGGAUGAGAGGAAUAUUUUCAAACUGUAGUCAAGAGGCCAGCACGCAACUCAAGCUGACUUGAGGGAAAAUAUCUUCAAGAAGCAAGAAAACAAAUGCUUCUGAGGUAAUAUACUGGACUUUCUCAGUGAACUAAUACUACAAACAUGAUACAUCCACUUACCAAAGGAUUGAUUUUGUUUGAAUCACUGCCAAGUUUGUUCAUAGCAUCUCUCAUGCACGCAAGAUCGACAACAGCUGGGACGCCAGUAAAAUCCUGAAAAGGAGAUAAAAGAUGAAAAUAAAGCAGUUUAUUAAAUUAAUGAGCAUUUUAGAAGCCCAAAAACAACCUCCCUUGAAUGAUGCAAUAGUUCUCUACUUCUCUGUAAGGAAUCUUUGAGAAACUAACUAAUAAAUGCCACACUUUAUGAAUUAAUGAAACAAAGAGGCGAAGCAUCUACAGUGAUUUAAUGACAGUAACAGAUACAUCUUCACUUUCUCAAGGGGUAACAAAUAGUGAAUAAAUAGUUAAGUGGUCUUUCCAAUGAAUAAUCAUAAAUAAAUAGUUCAGGGUUAUAAUAAAAUUCCAAAAUCCCUGUCAUUGUCUCUGACCCAAAACUGAAAAAAAAAAAAAAAAAAAAAAAAAAAAAAAAAAAAACCGCAGUUCAUUUUCUUGAAGCAAUGAAACAAUAGGAAGAGGACGGUGGAAUUCAUUUUCUUGAAAGGGCAGAAAAAAGAACUCCGUUAAAGAAACCUAGUGAUGGCAAUUAAUCAAGUAGAAAAUAUUAAUAAGGUUGACUUCGGAAAAAAGCAAAAUAAAAUGGUAAAGAUAAAGAAAUAAAAGUCAAAUAUGAGGGUUUUGUGGAGAGGAAAGAGACCUGCAGAAGGACCCGAGCGGGUUUGAAGGGGAUCUCGACCUGCUUUGGGGAAGUGUUCUCCCAAUCCAAGAUCUUCUCCACAUCCUUCCCCGUCACCUGGAAAUCAUCGCAGUUCCUGAUUGCCGAUUCCAAGAGGAUCCUUAUAGAAUAAGGCAGCCGAUCUGAAGCACCACAAUAUACGCGAAGUUUGAUCGAGGAUUUUGAUUAAACAUCCAAUAUUCCAAACUAAAUUCACCAAGACCCUUACCAAUCCUGGGAUCGUCAAGCGCAGGUAAGCUGUAGUACUUCCCGAAAUCGCCUCCUCCGGGCUUCGAGAGCGUCGACAAGAUGCUAUCGUACGAGUUCCGAGUAGCUACCAACGAGGGAAACGAGAGAUCAGACCCCAAUUAGGGCGAAAACAGAUCCAAGAACAGCUUGAAGAGGCGAGAAAACGUACCCACGGAGGCGAAGCGCCUCUCGAAGCGCUCCGCGACGGCGGCGGAAGAGCGGAUCGCGGCGCGGUGGCUGAUCGGCGAGCGCCAGUCGCCGAUGCGGGAGGCGAAGGAGGAGGAGAACGACGGCGUUGACGGCGGAGGAGACGACGGAGGAGAUCUGGGGUUAGGGUUUUGGGGAAGCGGGGACGACGAGGAGGAGGGAGAUGAGGAGGAUAAGAACAAGGGGGAGGGCCUACCAAUGGCGGAGAGGGAGGAGGAGAGGCGCGAGGAGCGAUUCAAGGCGCCCGUGAUCAGAGUCAUGGUGCGGCGCUAUUUAAAGGAUGGGGACGUCGGGAUCGGGAAUAGCGAGGGGGAGGAAUAAACAAUGGGAAUAAGAACGGGGAAUAGCAGAGGCGCGGGGGAAUAAAGAGAGGGGAAUGGGGAAUAGGAUGGUCGGAGGUGGCGGAAGGAGAUGGUGGGGAUUGAGAAGUGUGUUUGUACUUUGUAUCGGGCGUAGGGAGGAGGAAGGAGAGGGUUUUUAUUUUUUUAAUAUAUAGAAGCGGAGAGUAAGGCGUGGAAAUGACGCGUGGUGAAUGCGCGCCUCACGGGGCCCUUUUGAUGGAUUUAUCCAUGGACCCGGUCUACGGGGUUGUGCAUAGGCCGGAACGGUAAAAUGCAACAAGCAAUGGGACUAAGCAGGUUAUUAUGUAAGAUAAUAAUAAUAAUUAUAGUAGCCGGACUCUAAUAAUAAUAAUAAUAAUAAUAAUAAUAAUAAUAAUAAUAAUAACACACCUUCUAAUUUGGAUGAUGUAUUAAGAUCUUAUUGUCUCAUUAGAAGUUUCAAAAGAAGCGUCUUAAUAUGUUUUAUUUAAUUCUAUAAUUGGCAAAUGAUGAAUUAUAUAUGGUAAAAUUAUUAUGCUAGAAGUAUGUUUUUAAAAGAACAACCUUAUAUGCUUAUAUACAUGUUAAUUAAACAUCAAAUCAGGAUCCUUAAUGUUCCAACCAUUCACAAAUUUUAUGUAAAAAUGUAUAAAACUUAUCUUAUUACAAGCCAUUUUGAUUCAAUUAUUAAUCUUUUAAUUUGAUUUUAAUACUAAAUCUUUUAACUUGUUUGAUUAAAUAAUUUGAUGACUUUUCGGAUACAAAUUAAAAUUAAUUGUUUAAUUUAAUAAAUUUAUAUUUACAUAAAUUGUAUAUAAUCUACUAACUAAAUUUGUAAAGAUAUACGACACAUUUAAAUUUUAAAGUUAAAGACUCACUAAUUCAUUCAAAUCAAACAAAUUAAAAUAUCAAAGUAAAAAAAUCAGAGUUUUCAAGAUUAGAUAUCAAAUUCAAAUGGGUGAUAGUUGAGAUAAAUUUUAUACAUUUUCACUUAAGUUUUAUCGAGUAAAGUAGAAGAAUACAUAUAUAACUUUUUCUUUAAAAAAAAAGAAAAUUAUUCAUGCUAUAAAAUUAAACUAAAAUGCUAUCAUGUGUUAUUGAAUUAUAAUAAAUACUUUAUGGUAGGAUUGUUUGUUACAUUUCAAUAUAAUUUCCUACCAAAUAGAUGAUUUAAACACUUAGGACUCAAAUUAUUCGGCGAAAAAAAAAGUUAAGUACACAUAAAUUAUAUAUUAACUGGAUAUACAAUACGGCAUUAUUUAUGAAAAUAAAAAAAAUAAUUUUAUUAUAUUUUUUUAGCAAGAUACUCAAUUUUUCCGAAAAACUCAAAAGGACAAGAAUCUAGUCGAAGUAAAUAAAUAAUAAUAAUAAUAAAUUACUGGUCUAUAGACUAAGUCCAGAGAAUUAUUCGCAUGGGUUUCGAGAUGGUCAGAGUGCGCCGCCCUGUGGAAAUCCCAAUUCUCAAAAGAACCAAUGGACGUGCGUUAGGUGACACGUGGGGACCACCUAAGGAAUGGUCGCGUCGUGAAAUGUCGGUGUGGGGCCCACCGAUGUCUGACGUGGCUUUUAUACACGAUGAUGUGGGGGUGUUUGGUGUUUGGUGGACCGUGCCCGAUUCUACGGUUUUCUUGGAACGUAUUGGCGAAUGGGAAGCGGAUUAGUUCCCAAAUUAAGUCUUACUUUUUUUAUUUUGCAUGAGCGGAUUCAUUACAAUCCAGGUAGUACAAUUUAUUUACAUUUUUCGAUUGAGGAUUACGAGGUAUUCUACGGAAAAUUUGUACCUAAUCAAUUUUAAUAUAUGUGAAGUAGUAACGAUUUAAUAGUACUUUUUUUAACCCUUUUAUUUUGAGUUGUCACAGUUAGAUAUUUAGAAAUAGAAGUCUGGAGGUUUUGUUGUACAAAGUUAAUUACUUGAGUUUCUAUGCAUUGAAAGGAGAUGUUCUAUUUCCAAGCUAUUUUGAAGCAAUUUCACCAUCGCAAAAGCUAUUGAAAAAAUCAUAAUAUUUUACUGACUUAUUUAAAGAGUAUUUCUACAUAAAUAUCGAUGUGGCUGAUAAGACUUUUAAAAACUAGACAUUAUUAUAGAUGUUAUUUUUUUGGCUUAAGCGCUUGUGUGAAAAUAAGAGCAAUAUUUUCUUUACAUUCUAUUAAUGUAAACCUUACACCGUAACUUCUUAGUUAUCUUUAUUAGAUCACUUUUUUUUACUAUUUAUUUUUUUAACUGAAUUUAAAAAAAGUUGGCUCAAUCCUCAUAUGCAAUAUGUAUAAGGGAUUUACAUACAGCAUUUUUUAUAUCGAAAGAUAUGAAAUCUCAACUUCAUACCCUAACCUCAUAGAUUAGGGGCAGUAUGCAAGCUCAAAUCCUUCCCUUACAUUCUAUACUGAUGAUAAUAUCAAUUUCCGACUUUUGCUGCUGAUAGAAACAUAUGCUCGUAUAGACUUCCAUAAAUGUUAUAAGUUUGUAUGCGACUUUCACGCAUUUAAAUCACCCUAAAUGUUGCCCACAAGUUCAUCGAAGCUCACACUAGCAAAUACAAUUUUUACAUUGCAAAAAAUAAAAUAAAAUAAAAUAAAAGUAAAGACCUUUCAAGUUUCGACACGACAAUUUGGUUGAUUGCUAAUCAAACUGCUACUACGUACUAUCAGUGAUCGUGUCCUAUUAAAUUAAAUUCGGUGUAUUUCAUGAUCCAUGUGCCUCAUUCCUACUUGCUAUCUUCAAAGGAAGAAGACCAUGUUGUCACUUGGACACACGUGGCAUUUUAUCGAGAUUAAAAAAGGUGAUCAUUUACGUUUCAAAGUAGUAAAGAAGGUUUAACAUGUCGGGGUCGAUAACGGUAAAAAUUUCAUCAUACUUUUGCUACAGUAAACUUCCUUCGUAUGAACCACGCCACAAAUCUUAUUUAAGAUAUAAACCACAAUGGAAUCUUCUUUUUUGGACAUCAUAUUUUCAGUUUUUCUUGGGUUGCAUUUUUUUGGAUUUUAAGAAAUUCGAUUUCAUAUUAUAGGGUGUGGGAACUUUAGAUAGUUAUAUAUAUAAAAAAUAUAAUUAUAAAACUAAACUCUUAACCCGACUUAGAUAUUUUGGGUGGUGGCAAGACCUAAGAGAUUAAGAGAGUUAAGAGUGUUAGGAGGAAAGUAAUUCUAGGAUGGAUGACCCCUUGAGAAAUUAGAACGUCACAGUUGAUAUCAGAGCCAAUUACCAGCCGAAAGUGUAAGAUAAGUCUUGCCAGAGCUAGCAUUAUACAGCGGGAAAAACGAGUCUCACAUCGCCUGAUACUUAUGAGUAUGAACCUGACGAAAACGUCAUGGCUUAAAGGGGACAAGAUUGUGAGACCCUAGAUAGUCAUAUAUAUAUAUAUAUAUAUAUAUAUAUAUAUAGUCUGGCUAUGGUGCUUGUAAAAGCACCAAGCACUUGGUACUUGUAAAUUUUUUACCGUUAGAUCUACGUCUUUAAUCAUUUUCAACCGUUAGAUUAUACUAUUCAACUAACUACCCACUCAAGCCUAGGGGGCCCACAUCAUCCUAACCGCACAUCUCUUAAUCCAAGGGCCCAAAACUUACAAGUACCAAUGACUUGAUACUUUUAAAAGCAUAGGAGCUCAAUUCUAUAUAUAUAUAUAUAUAUAUAUAUAGAGUUGGACUGGGCUACUAUUAGUAGCAAAAUCACAUUGUUGCUACUAGUUUUUUAGCCUUUGGAUCAACUCUUUUCAUUAUUUCUAACCAUUGGAUUAAAUACUAUAACCCAGUGGGGACCACUCAACCCUAGGGGGACCACUCAACUAUAACCGACUCAUAUCAUCUCGACCUUACAAUUUUUCAUCCAAGGGUUAAAAACUUAAUAGCAAAAAGAAUGUUUUACUAUUAAUAGUAUUCCAGCCUAAUUCUAUAUAUAUAUAUAUAUAUAUAUAUAUAUAUAUAUAUAUAUAUAAUAAAGUUAAACUCUUAAUCCGGCUUAAGCAUUUGGACGGUGGUAAAGCGCAAGAGAUUAAAAAAGUUAAGUAUGUUAGGAGUUGUCUGCUGAAUAAGUAUGUCAUACACAGUAAUUAUUAUUAGUUAGCUUCAAUGUAUCUAAUAAAAAAAACAAGUGAGAAAAAUUACUAUUAAUCGCCAAGAAAUGUGUCUGGUGGAUAAGUACAUCAUACACAACAUAAAGGUAUGCAGAAACUAUGAAAAUUGUUGAAUAAAAAUGAAUUAUACGAGUUUAGACUAAUUUAUUCUUUUGGUGAUUCCCAUGCAAUGGAAGUUUACUAUUUACUAAUACUACACUUCCAAAUAAAUUUUACAACACUAUACAAAAAUAACAUAUAUAACAGUAUUUAAUUGUUAAAAGGGAAUUAAUUAAUCACAAAGAUAUAAUAAGUAUGAUUUGUAAUUUCGAGGUUGAAAUCUAACUAGGAAUUAAUUAAUCACAAAGAUAUAAUAAGUAUGAUUUGUAAUUUCGAGGUUGAAAUCUAACUAGGAAUUAAUUAAUCACAAAGAUAUAAUAAGUAUGAUUUGUAAUUUCGAGGUUGAAAUCUAACUAGUAAAUUGUAUAAUUUGUAAAGUAUUGUAAGAUUUGUUCAUAAUUUUUAUUUUUUUUUGAGAGAUAGGUAGCACACUACCUGCUUCGUUUAUUUCAUUUAGAAAUAAACUUAGCUAAAAAUGUGAAUCAACUAUGAUUCAAACUUGGGUCUCGGAUACCAACCACCAAGCCCUUUGCCACUCGCUCUAGGGACGGUCGGUUUGUUCAUAAUUUUUUUUUUAUUAUUAUUUGAGUCAAACGAAUGUAUAUCCAUGUGUGGCUUCUAGGGUAUUAAAAGGAUCCAACCCUUAUGCACUCAGGCUUAGUUUGGUUCGGGUAUAAGUAAAAAUUAUUUUAUUUCAGAGAUAAAUACAAGUUUAAGUAUAAGUGAGAAAUAGAGAAAUUUUACGUUUGGAUGAAAAUUAGGUUGUUCCUAGAAAUAAAAAAAAAUAGCGUUUGGAUAAAUAAUAUAGAAUAAGAAGAAUAAUGUAUAGUUAUAAAUUAAAAAUAAUGAUAUUACUCCUCUCAUUAUAUUUAAAAUUUUAAAUUUUAAAUUUUACAUUUAUAAUUUGAAAUUUAAAUUUUUUACUUUUAAAUUUAAAAUUUUGAAUUUAAAAUUUAAGUUUAAAAUUUAAAUUUCAAAUUUUUAAUUUUAAAUUUAAAAUCAAAUUUAAAAUUGAAAGAUAUAAAAUAUCAAAUUUAAAAUUUUAAAUAUUAAAAUAUCAAAAUUAAAAUUUAAACUUUAUAAUUUAUAAUUUUAAAAUUUUAAAUUUUAAUUUUAAAACUAUAAAUUUAAAUUUUAAAAAAUUAAAUUCUAAUUUAAAACAUAUUUUCCUCUCUCUCUCUAUCAAGGGAACAAGGGGUAAGAACAAGCUAGUUGUUAGGAUUUGGUUAGAUUUGUAGUUGAAUCAUAGUUGGAUAAGAAUUAAUAUUUAAAUCUGUUAGAGAUAAAUUAAGAUUUAAAUAUUAAUUAGAGUAUGAUUUAAUUAGAUUAGGAUAAAUAUUUAAAUCUAUUGGAGAUAGAUCAAUUAAGAUUUAAAUAUUUAUUGGAGUAGAAAUCCUAAAUAUAUUAGGAUUGGGUUACGUUUUGGUGGAGCUUUAUAAAUAGCUCUUGAUGAGUUUGUUUUUUGAGGUGAGUACGGUUGAGAGCCCAGAGGUGCCGUACCAGAAAGAGAAAAAGAGAGAGUUAUUGAGUAUACCUAGUGCACGGGUGCGCGUGGAUGAUUAUCUUCUUUAUGGGUUUAUAGAAGACGAGAGAAGGGUAGAAGAGAUUCAAGAAAGAGGGCUCGAGUUGUAGCUACCCUGUACAGAAGAGGAGUCAGGUGUAAUCUUCUCUUAUUUAAUGAAUCUUAUUUUGGUAUCAAGAUCCGGUACCGAGGUGAGUAUCGGAUUCCCAACAAUUGGUAUCAGAGUUGAAGGUUAUCAAUCCGAGGGAGAGAUCGACGAAGUUGGCCACAAAAUUCGAAAUCGAGAAGUUCGACGACAAGAACAAUUUCGGAUUGUGGCAAAUUAAAGUACGAGCAAUCCUCGUACAGCAAGAAUUGUACGAGACGUUGAACGGGAAUGAGGCGAAGCCGACGGACGUCACGGACGCGGCAUGGAUGAAGAUGGAGCGAAAGGCGUUGAGUACGCUUUAUCUAUCAUUAGCAGAUGAGGUUCUUUACAACGUAGCCAGCGAGACGACACCGGCGAAGUUGUGGAAGAAAUUAUAAGAUCUGUACAUGACCAAAUCCUUGACGAACUGAUUGUAUCUGAAGCAGCGACUGUUUACGCUGCGGAUGCAGGAACCGGCGAGCCUACAUGAGCAUCUAAACGAGUUCAACAAGGUGGUGGCCCAGUUGACCAGCAUCGGAGUCAAUCUGGAUGACGAAGACAAGGCGUUGAUUCUACUAUCUUUGCUACCGACGACAUAUGAGCAUCUGGUGACCACGUUGCUUUAUGGCAAGGAGUCCAUAAGCGUGAAGGCGGUCACGGCGGCGCUUCUCUCGAACGAGAUGCGGAAGAUGACUCAGGAGUCUGGCACGCAAAGUCGGGAUGUAGGACUGGUGUGAGCGCAAAAAAGGAGGCGAAAAUAUCCGCGACCGGAUAUCGACAAAAGAAACAGCUAUCUGAGGUAGAGUGCUUUUACUGUCACAGGAAAGGGCAUAUCAAGCGCAAUUGUCGAAAACUUCAGGAUCAUCUGAAAGAGUUAAAGCGACAGAAGGAGCAAACUGUCGUGAACCAGGAUGAGACGGUAUCAGCGACGGCGCAGGCAGCAAAGUCGGAGAUGAUCGAUUCUAAUGUGCUGUAUGCAGCGACCGGAGAUGCUAAAAUUUCGGAUGAUGCGUGGGUGCUCGUUCGGCGUGUUCCUUUCACGUAUGCCCGGAGAAGGAGUCUUUUGCCACCUAUAAGGCGAUCAAAAGUGGAAAGGCUCUAAUGGGGAACGGGACGGCGUGCAAAGUUUUGGGAGUCGGCACGGUAAAGAUCCGAAUGCACGAUGGGGUCGUGAGGACGUUGAUAGGUGUGCGGCACGUUCUUGGAUUAAAGUAGAAUUUGAUCUCGUUAGGCGCGUUGGACUCGAAGGGUUGCAAUAUUUCGACUUCAGGUGGAGCUAUGAGGGUCCGAAAGCGAGAUCAGAUCGUGUGCGAGGUGAACAAGCGUGGGAACUUAUACGUUCUGAACGGGAGCACGGUCAGAACGAAAGCGAGAUCGGGUCGUGUGCGAGGCGAACAAACGUGGGAACUUGUACGUUCUGAACGGGAGCACAGACAGAAACGGGAGCGAAGACGGUUUGGGUUCCGAAAGUUCGCGGAGGUGCAGUGGUUCGAGACGGAGCGACGAAUGCGGCGACAUCGAGCGAAUGAGACAAACUCAAGGUGAAGCUUGCAUAGUGAGCUCGACGUAGCAGUUGAAAAUUACAAAUCCAACCAAGGUGGAGAUUGUUAGGAUUUGGUUAGAUUUGUAGUUGAAUCAUAGUUGGAUAAGAAUUAAUAUUUAAAUCUGUUAGAGAUAAAUUAAGAUUUAAAUAUUAAUUAGAGUAUAAAUCUAAUUAGAUUAGGAUAAAUAUUUAAAUCUAUUGGAGAUAGAUCAAUUAAGAUUUAAAUAUUUAUUGAAGUAGAAAUCCUAAAUAUAUUAGGAUUGGGGUACGUUUUUGUGGAGCUUUAUAAAUAGCUCUUGAUGAGUUUGUUUUUUAAGGUGAGUACGGUUGAGAGCCUGGAGGUGCCGUACCAGAGAGAGAAAAAGAGAGAGUUAUUGAGUACACCUAGUGCACGGGUGCGCGUGGAUGAUUAUCUUCUUUAUGGGUUUAUAGAAGACGAGAGAAGGAUAGAAGAGAUUCAAGAAAGAGGACUCGGGUUGUAGCUACUCUGUACAGAAGAGGAGUCAGGUGUAAUCUUCUCUUAUUUAAUGAAUCUUAUUUUAUCUGCAUAUUUUUCUCUUUUAUAAUUGUAUCAGCUUUUGCUGAGGAGACAGGUUUAUGGUAAAAAUUCGAUUUGACGCUUCCGUUGCGGAAUCCCAACAAUCGGUACUGGAUCCACAGCAGUCAGUAUCGGAGCAGGUUGCGGAUUCACAAGAUCCGGUACCGGGGCGAGUACCGGAUUCCCAACACUUGCUCCCACCCACCCCAUACAGGGUUAUACCGGUAUAAUCCGGUAUAGGGUGGGAACAAUAGUUUCCACCCAUACAAGAGGGGGGAAUAAGAUCUUAUUCCUUCUCUUGUAUCUAAUCUAAACGGUGUGUCAGUGUCAGAAUUUUGAUUUCUUUUUCCUACCACGCCAUCGAUGAUAGUGAUAUAAUGUCUAAAUUAAUGGUAAUCCUUGCCACUCAUUCUUAAAAGAUCGUGGGAGAGAAAGAUAAUUUCGAUACUAAAUCAUUAAAAAUGAAGUUUAUUUUAAAAAGUACAAUAAAAAAGAUGUGGUUGGAGCAUCUGUUAUAUAUAUAUAUAUAUAUAUAUAUAUAUAUAUAUAUAUAUAUAUAUAUAUAUAUGUUAUUCUAUGUCAAAGCAUAGAGGAGAAAGUUUGCUUUGCUUCUCCUACAUUAUUAUACUUAUUUGAUCACAAUAUUUUUAUGAGGGGGUAUCAAGUACAUAUCAACAAGCCGGAUCAUCUGGUCCCCAACUUGGGCUUUGAGUAUUUGAUAUUUGGGGCAAUUUCAAAUAUGCCCCUCAAAAUUAUAAAAAUAUCACUUACUCCUCAAAGUUAUCUUCUUUUUUUUUUUUUAAGAGAGAUAGAUAGCACGCUACUCGCUUCGUUUAUUUUAUUUAGAAAUAAAUUUAGCUAAAAAUAUGAAUCAACUAGGAUUUAAACUUGAGUCUCGGAUACUAAUCACCAAAACCUUUACCGCUUGCUCUAGGAACGAUUGGCCCUCAAAAAUAUCAAUAUCAAUAUUACCCUUACCCUUAUAAUUCUAUAUGUUAUAUCACAAAUGCCCUUUUGGUUAGUUUUUUUAAAGUUCACAUUACAAAUUGACCUACAACCCUUAUAAUAGUAAAUAAAAUAUCACUAAUUUAUAGCUUUAGUUUAAUUUAUGUCACUUAGAAUAGGUUUUUUAUUUACCAGACACAACAUAGUCCGUAUAAAAAUAAUCAAAUUAAACUAUAAAAAUAUAGUUUUGAAAUAAAAAUAUAAUAUGAUAAAUCAAAUAUAAAAUAGAAAACUAUCAAACUAUAUAUAACAUAAUAUAAAGAUUUAAAAAGUAAACAAAGUAAGCUAUAAAAAGACAAAUAUGAAAAAAAAAAACUCAUAGUAAGAUAAAUAAAUCUAACAAAAUGAAGAAUUUUCAAACUACAUUUACAAGAAUAUAAAAAAUCUUGAAAUAAAUCUAACAAAAAAUAUCUAAUUCUUUCAUUUGUAAAUAAACAAAUAAAAUAAAUAUAUACUAAUUAAACGAAAUAAAAUAAAGACAUAUUAAACUAGUCAAAAUGAAGACAUAUUAAAAUAAUUAAAUUAAACUAGAAAAAUACUUAUAACAAACACAUAUUAUCUUGCUAAUAAAAUAUGUAUUAUAAUAGUUGUAAGGGUGAGAGGGGUAAAAUAGGUAUUUUAGCCAUAUUUUUUUUGAAAUAAUAGGUACUAUGAAUAGUUUUAAUAAUUUUACUACAUUUGAAGGACAUUUUUGAUAUUAACAACUUUUGCAGAAUAUCUAUUUAAUUAAGGGUGGGUGAGAGGUACCUAUAAAAUUAACACUUGAUAUUUUAUGCUGUCGAUUGACGUGACCUUAUUAUUUAUGAAGGGUGAAAAUGCAAAAUUCGAAUCUCUGUGGGUCGAUUUGUUUGUAUUUGAUGCUUGAGCUUGGCCCAGUAAGAGCCAAAUUUAUCAGGGACCUGGCCCAAAGUUACUGUUUAAGAAUGUGGAUUGCUAAACAUGUGUUGGUACACCAAAAAGCCCCACAUAGGUUGAGGUCUCAACAUCAUAAUUGGUGAUUUAAGUGAAAAUUUAUUUCACAUUUUUUUCAUUAUCAUGUUCGGAUAUACAUUACUUCAUGAUUUAUAAUAAAUAAAAUAAAAUAAAAUGACUUAACCUAACAUUUGAUGGUUGAUAUUUGAGAUCCUAAAUUUAAAGUCUAAUUAUUCUAUAUUUUCAGAUUGUCUAAUUUUUCAAACUUGUUCAAUAUAAAUGCUAGCUUUUUAUUGCAAUAAACUUUGAAAAACCAAAAUCAAUUGAGGUAUACUCUUUUCAGGGUAAGAAAGCUAUGACCUUUUUUUAUCAUAGCAAAUGUUUUAAUAAAUUUUUUGUUGGAAAUGUUUUCGACCAUAGCAAAAAUUAUUUCCUCUUUCCUCCUUCUAUUUUGCACCUUUUUCGUCCCACUGUAGGAUUAUUGCUUGAUAAAAUAUUUUCUGAACAUAAUUGUCAAAAAAAAUAUUUUUCUGGACAUUGUUGCGUAAAAUAUGCUAGUCAAAUUCUUCUUAAUAUAUUCUCUCUAAAANAUAUUUUAAUUUUUUUAAAUAUUUUCUGAACAUAAUUGUCAAAAAAAAUAUUUUUCUGGACAUUGUUGCGUAAAAUAUGCUAGUCAAAUUCUUCUUAAUAUAUUCUCUCUAAAAUUAGAGCUUAAAAGUUGAAAGCACGGCAAAACUCAAAACAUUUUUUUAAAAAAUUACCAAUUAAUUAUCUCGUACAAAAAAUAUUUAAAAAAAUUAAAAUAUGUGGAAGUAAAAAAGAAUAUAUCUUAUAUCAAAAACAUAUUAACAAAUAAGUAUAAUAAUUAACAGUACAUGUUGACAAGACAUAGCACUUGCUAUGUCAUAUCACCGGCAAAUGAUCAGAGCGACCUGUAGCUACUGCGCUUGAAAUGGAAGAAACCUAAAAUGUUGAUAGUCGUGUAAGGUGACGUGGCGACGCUAACUAAUCAAAUUAUUCAUUCAUCAUUUUAUUAUAAUUAUUUUUUAAAUAAUUUACUAUAAUAUUUUUCUAAAAGUGAUGUGGAUACUGUAGAUUAGAGAUGCAAACGGAUUAAAUCCGGAGCGAGAGAGUUUUUCCACCUCGCACCUCCCGCUCCAUUUUUUGUCGGGCGGAUUUAGGGCGAGCUAUUUUUUAUGCUAAUUUUUGCACCUAUUUAUCGUUCUAUUCGGAGCGGAUCAGAAUGACAGCUGAUUUUUGGCAGAUUUUAAACAAAUUGAAAGAAGAGAAGAGUCCCCCGUCUUCCAUUCCAUUUACUUAGCAGAUCGGAACGAAUUUGAAGUGAAUUAUAAUUUUCUAUAUUUUUUAUUCUCAUUUAUUAUCCCAUUAGGAGCGGAUCGGAUCCGAGCUCCACCAACACUGAUGCAUUUGCAUCCCUACUGUAGACUUUAUUCUUGAAACCUUGGUUGCAACAGGAUCAAACAGGAGGUGAUAACACUCUCGGGACCAGGAAUUAGUGCCCAACCUCGGUUCCUUAACCUGCUCAGCACUUUCAACAAACGCCGCCCACGGAAAUAUCACGCCAACGACUAAUAAAAGCGCGUCUCCCCACCACGAAUAAACUCACGACUCGCUCCAUGCUACAUUUAAUGCAGCGGUUGGUUGGCGUUUCCUUACUCUCCUUCGCUUUCCCCUUCAACCCCCUACCUCUUUCCUUUCUCUCUCUCUUAGCAAUUACUCUCUCUUAGCAAUUAAGCAUUCUUCUUUAUUUAUGUCUCCAAAUUAAAUAUUUUCCCCAAUUCCUUGCUCUGUUCGCGGAUUUUUUAGAUGGAUUUCUCCACGAAUUAUCUCAAGUGGGUUGUGAGGGAAACAUGGAAAUAUGGAUUCAUGGCUUAUGGGAUGAUCGGAACGGUGAUUUGUGUCGUAGCCACUUGCUUCUUUGCCAUAGGUUUGUGCUUUAUCUUAUAUACUAUUUCUUAACACUAUUUUUGAAUUUUAGUAGUUUGAGAAUCGGUUCUAAUGCAUCCUGAGUUCAAUUACUUAACAUUUUUUGUCGGUGCGCUUGACAUGUUUUAUCAAGAGAAAAUGGUUUUCCACCGAACUGCUUGUUGUGAGAUCGAGUUAUCGAAUUGAUCUAUAUGUGAUUUGAGAAAAAAGCUUUCCACCGAACUGUUUGUUGUGAGAUCGAGUUAUCGAAUUGAUCUAUGUGAUUCGCUCUUAAUGGUUUUAGUGGGCUCGAUCGUCGGAGCGGUGACGGGGGCCGUGAUCGGCUCCGGAACGGAGAGCGGGAUGCUGCGGGGGGCCGGCGUCGGAGCCAUCUCCGGUGCGGUGUUCUCGAUCGAGGCCGUCGAGUCGUCUCGUGAUCGUUGGAACUCCAAUGGAUUGGGAGUGUGGAGCAUUCUCUACUUGGUGAGUUUCAAAGAUUGCAACAUCUCUAUUCAGAUGCAAAUUCUUCUAAUAAAAGAAAACACAGCCUAAUAUCUUUCUUUACAGAGUUAUAUUAUUAUAAUGGAAAGAUUUAUUUGGCUUAGAUUAUAUUUGAAUUUGAUUUUUGCAGAUGGAUAUCAUCUAUAGCUUAUUGAGUGGGAGACUAGUAAGAGAAAAGGUCGACCCGGCUAUGCAGAGUGCGGUUUCGAGUCAGGUACUCACCCUUCCUCACUUUUCAUCUUAGGGCUGCGGUCGGAUUGACGUAAUUUCAAUUCGGUUAUGGGCCAAGUUCAGUGAGUCUAAACGCAUUCAUUUAGUCGCCAAUCGUGAGGGGGCCAAGAAGUUCCACCGUAUAGCUGUGGAUUCAAUUUAUUGAGAACAGCUUUCGUUUGAAAGUGAAUUGGUCCAAAGUUGCUUUUAAUAGGAAGAUCCGUUUGUCGCCCAUGGCUAGGCGACUGAUCUGCUCUGAUUAUUAUGCUUUUACCAAGCAUGGGUUAUGGCCAAAUUACAAUUCCGUCAAUCCAAACCGCUAAUUUUAUUUAUAAGGGAGUUGCGUAAUGCGAUUCAACUAUGUAUUAUUACAAAUUAGGGCAAUUAGCUUACUCUGCAAUUGAACUGUGUAUUAUUACAGAUUAGCGCAAUUAGCUCGCCCUUCGUUGAAUCUACCGAUUUCUUCGAUACCGGCUUUGUGAGUGGCAUGCCAAAGGACUCCAUUGAAGAGCUUCCGAAAGUGAAAAUUACAAAAGAAGACAUGGUUGAUAAAACAGGGGAGAAUAUCUGCUGUUCUGUGUGCUUGCAGGUAAUAUUUCUCAAAAUUUUAGCAUCGUUGAAUGAUUAAUCUAUGGAAUCUGAAAUUCACGUCUCAUGAGCAUUCUUUUUUCUCCCCCUUUCUCAGGACCUUCAGAUUGGAGACUUGGCGAGGAAAUUGCCGAAUUGCGUGCAUAUGUUUCAUUCGCGGUGCAUCGAUAGUUGGCUCAUUAGGCAUGGUUCUUGCCCUCUUUGCCGUCGGGAUGUCUAAUUUUUCAUUUCUUCUUUUUUUUUUUUUGGCGGAUUAUAUGAGAGUGUUUGAUGUAUAGUAUAUAAGCUAUUGUAGAACAUUUAGAUCAUCUUUAUUCAUUGAUACACGCACUUUUUCAGUCCCCUUCACGAGGCUAAGUAGACCAUGGUACAUUGUGGAGCUCUGCAUAUAUAAUGUUUGUACGCCGCUCCUACAUUCGUUGGCUUUAGCAUCAGCUGGGACAGUAUCUAAUUAAUGUUGGGUGUAAGUAGUGUCAAAAUUGAGCCACUUUGUUAGUUGCAGCAUGUCGAACAAACCAAUAAUAAGCAUUCACAUUUUCAUGUCCUUGGGUGCUGCUCCUGCAGCUUAUCAGGGAGGCCAAUCUAGAAAACAAGGACACAAAGUGGCGGCCUGGUAACGGACUAUUUGGAAAAUUGGGCUAGUUUUGUUCAGAGAAUAGCUAUGACUAUUUUUUUUCUUUUUUCUUUUAGAACAUUUUCACUGGGCCAGUGUCUUCUAUCAUAUUUAUAACUAAAAAUUUAAAUUAGAGCUUUAAUUUUUUUUGAAAAUUUGAAUCUUAUUUCAAGGCUUAGUGUUUAGUUCUUCUGUCGGCGCACCCUCGAUCAACUUGUUUUUUUUUUUUUUUUUUGAGAGAGAUAGAUAGUACGCUAGCUGUUUCGUUUAUUUUAUUUACAAAUAAAUUUAGUUGGAAAUACAAAUUAACUAGUAUUAGAACAAGUUGAGGUGACCGACCGUUUCUAGAGUAAGUGACAAAGCGUUCCUAGAGUAAGUGAUAAAGGAUUUGGUGGUCAUGUAUCCGAGGUCCCUCAACUCGUUCAAUUAACAUCAGCAAGCUUCAACUGCUUUUCAGCAUAUAAAUUAAAGUAUCUUGUUAACUAUCAACGGGCAACGGCAUUGGUGACAAAGCCAUUAAAUUAAGAGUAAAGCUUGCAUACUUUUCAAAUCUUGUCACUCUCCAUUUUUUCACAGUGGUCGAUGUGGAUUAACCACAGCCAAUAAUAUGACCGGCUAUAUAAGCUUUCCAUUUCCAUUCGGUACCAGUCAUCUUGUUAGGACAUUUUGUCCUCUACAAAAGCCACGUUCACAUACAAAAAAAAAUAAUUAACAUGUACUAAGACCCCUCAACCAUAGGAUAUUUGAGAAGACCUCUAAAUUUUAUAGUUUUUAAGAUUUAGACUCUUUUAAUUUUCAAUUUUUAAAGCUGAGCAAUUUUAAUUAAAUUAAUUAUAAACUUUAUCAAAUGCAUUAAUAGUUUCAUAAAAUUUAACAAUUAAAAUAAAAGUAGACUAAUAGUUAAUAUCUUUAGAAAAUCAUCAAUUUUAGGCUAAAUUGCACUAUUAGUUUUCAAAUUAUGAGGUGUGUGACAGUUUGUUUUUGUUUCUCGAACUUUAAUUUAUUCUAAUUUUUUGCUCAAACUUUCUUAAUUAUUGUAAUCUAACUCCCAUAAUGCAACUUAGCUAAUUAAAUAAUAACCUAUCAUUGAUGUGAUAAUGAUGCAUGUAAUAGUAUUAUGGUUUAUGGUUGAUGACAAUCAUAUAAUUAAGUUAUUGCCACAUUAGCUACACAUUAUUAUUCAGCUAAUAAAAUUGCAUUAUAGGAUUUGCUUGCAACAAUAUAAAAAAUUCGCACCAUAAAUUAUAAUAAAUUAAAGUUUGAGGAUUAAAGUGCCACGCACCUCAUCAUUUGAGGACUAAAAGUGCUAUCUAGUCUUAAAUUUAAUAAUAAUUCUAAUAAACUAACUAGAAGAACUCAAAAGUAAAAAAUUAAAAUUAAAAUUUGGUGAUCCCUCAAUCCAUAAAGUUAAGACGGGAUUUUGUGAACGAUCUGUGGUUGAGGGGUCUACUUUCAUUUUUACAAAUUCCUAGCUAGUAGUAAAAUCUCCAAAUUUGAUAUUAUUGACUGAACCGAGUGUAUCAUGAAUAUUGCGCAUCAUGCAUAAUCUGAAGCUUUCAGUUCGAUCACAUGAUUUUACUCCAUCAAUUCAAUUUUAAUCCACAUAGUACGCAAUUUUGGAUGGUUCGAUUAUAAUUAUUGCAUAAUUUGUAUUCAUGAAGGACGGUUCACGAAAAUAAUCGAUGCACUAGAUCUAAGAAAAAAAUAUGAUCCUUUUUUUUUUUUUUUUUACCGGUUUCACCCGUUGAUACCUUGAAGUGGGCCCAAACAAGUCAACUACUGUUUCCUGUAAUUCCUCAAUGGCGCGGUUUGCACUGACCUUAAUUAAUUUAACGCGUUAUUUGUUAGUAUGGUAGAAGCAAUUUCAAUAUUUUUUUUAUAUUAUUAUAAAAUGAUAGUUGUAAUUAUCAUCGAAAAACACAAUUCUUUUGUAUAUAAAAAAAAUUAUAAACACUUUUGAAAAUUUUUAAAUAUUAUAUAAUAUAAAUAUGAUGUUUUAGCCACCAUUUUGUUAAACUGGUCAUAAGCCUGAUCCCGGCCCAUUAUCAGUCCAGCAAAAUCAUCAAAUGUUGUAGUCUAACUACAAGGUCAACGGUCACAAUCCAACGUAGCCCACUUGUCACAUCAAACUAAUUUCCAUAUUAAUUUGCUCAAUAAAUAACGGGGCCCCACUUUGCUAAAUUUCCUCCUCCGAUUCUUCGCAUCAUCACAUGUGAGGCACCAGUGCGUUAACUUUCCACGAACGGCUGAGAUUUGACGAGCGGAGGAGAAAGCUUCAAUGGCGCGGCACACAUGCAUGGGGCGCGCGUGACCAUGACUAAACUCGCGGACGCGACAAGUGUCCGGUGCGCAGCUUACACGCGUGAACAGUUCCUGUAGCAAAAUUUGUUCGAAAUUUGUGAUGCCGUAGACUCAAUCAGGUCCACGGACUACUGGAAAUUUUUGAUAUGGAAAGACACAGUACAUUAGAAAUAGUAAUACAUAAUAAAAGAGAAAUUCGGGGUAUCCAUGCAAACGAGAAAAGGGAGAUCGAGGUGUAAAUGUAAUUGAGCAAAAUGUAACACACAAAAAAUUUCAAACAAGCAACGAAAAUGCUAACUAAACAAGAUAAUAAAUUGACCAAUUAUAAAUGUAAAUGGGGAGAUUAAUUAAAAACUAUGGGGACUAAAUAAAUGCUGCUCAGCGAGAAGAUAAUGUAAUAGAAAACAAUUCAGAAAUAAUCUUUAAUGACAACUUUUCAAUCGGAGGGAGCGUCGGUUAUCGGAGGAGGAGGAGGAGGGGGGAGGAGUCGAGCCCUACAGAGGGGGCAGAGGGGGUGCGAUGCGAGCCAUCGGUCGGCGCAGCUGCGGUGGAAGGCGUGGCGGCAGCCGGGGAGGACGCGCGCCGCCUGCCCGGCCUCGAUGUCGUCCAGGCAGACCGCGCACUCCGCGCCGCCUUCCCCCACUGACGCCCCGUCCCCGGCGCCGCCGAGCCGCCCCAGCUCCGCCUCCGUCAACCCCUUCUCCCCCGGCGCUGCUGCCGCCGCGUCCGCUGCCGCUGCUCCUGCUGCUGCUGCCGCGGUGGGGGAGCGGAUCGCCGCGUACCACAGAAGGCACAGGUACAGCGCGAACACCAGGCUCAUCCCCGCGCACACCAGGAACAGUCCCAGGAAGAGAAUCCAUAGCAUUCUCUUCUUCUUUUAUUUUGGUCUCUCCUCCUUCUAUUCCUCUCUCUACUCCACGUUGUAUAUAUAUGGAAUAGUAGUAGUAGUGUAAGUACCUGGUUAUAGAAAGGGUGGGGUGGUGGUGGAAUCUAUGUAGAAGAUUCUCUUUCGGAGUUCGGGGCCCGGGAGCGGACGGUGGAGAUUUGAACACAGUUGGAGCUCUGAGUGCUACUUACACCUGUCUCUUUUAAUACUUCUUUUUUUUUAAGUCCAAACAAGAAACUACUGUGUGGACCAAGGACCAUAGAUUGAUAAAUGGGAGUAUCAAAAACACAAAAUAUGCAGGUGUUUAAUUUUAAACAUAAAUUGGAUAGUUUGAGAGUAUACUGCACAUCCUCAAAUAAAAUUCAAAAGGACUUUAAUAUUUUGAUUAUUUUUGUUUCAAAAUAUUGGUAAAAAUCACUAAUGGAGAAGCAUAUGCAAAAUAUUUUUUAGUAAUUACUAAUUAUUGCGAUGAUAAAAUGACUUUGCAAAUUUUUUUAGAUUUUUUGAAGUUUCAAAAUGAAUGUUCUAGGACAACAUAUAUAAUUCUAAAAUUAUGCCUUAAAAAGCUCUAUUGAUUAAAAAUGCAAUAUUUAAUGAUUUUUUUUCACACAACGAUUAAUAGAUUUUUGUAUGCCAUUAGUUUUUGCACCUAUUUAAUAUAUUAGUGAUAGAUUCCUAUAGAUCAAAAGCUUUUCAUGCUACUUAAAAUUAGAGUUUCCAAUCCUCAAAUCUAAACAAGUGUUAUUGGCUUAGCUCAACAGUUAUUAUUUGGGUAUCUAAAGUCCGGAUUUUAUUUUUCUUAUUUAGUUGACUAUAUAUUUAUUUUUUUAGAAAUAAAUUUAACUGAAAAUGUGAAUGAAGUAGAAUUCGAAUUUGGAAUCUCGGUACCAACCAUCAACUCCUUUGUCACUUGCGCUAGAAACGGUCGGUAUUAGAUUAUAAAAAUUAAUUAUAAUAAUUUUAAAAAUUUAAACUAAAAUGGAAAGACUCUGGUCUAUAGCUCGUGGUCCAUACAAAUAUGCAAGUAUUCUAUGUGGGAGGUAGGAGUCGAAGGGUCGAAGCGCGUGUAAUUAGUGCGGGGCCCGCGCUGUUCUGUAACGCAAGCUCGGCGAGGCGGGACACGUGGCGGUGCGGCCGCUUCUCUGCUUGGUGUUCAAGAAAGGAAGAGUCGCAGAUAUUUUACGGGUUGCCACGUAGGCGCAUUUGGUGGGUCCCGCGUUCGGUGGCCCUAUUCCGACGUAUGGGGUACAGUUCCGAAGUUCCGCAACUGUACCGCAUACGAGUUUUUUUUGUGCGUUUGCACAAGUGUCUGAUAAAAUCACAAGUCCCAAAUUAAAUUUUAUAUUAUAUAUAUAGAGUCCGGCUACUCUGCUAUUAAUAGCACGAAGCACUUGGUGCUACCAAAUUUUUCGCCAUUAGAUCUACCUUUUUGAUCAUUUUUAUCCGUUAGAUCAUACUAUUCAACCAACCACCCAUUCAACCCUAGAGGUCCCACAUCAUCCUAACCGCACAUCUCUUAAUCCAAUGGCCAAAAACUUGGGAGCACCAAUGACUUGGUGCUAUUAAUAGCAUAGCAGUCUAGUUCUACAUAUAUAUAUUAUUUGUCUAAUAUUAAUUUUGCAAAUUACUAAGAUAUUAAUAUGAAUAAAUUAACAGACUUUAUAUUAUACAUGUAGAUGAAUUAUUAAUGCAAUAUUUUGAAUUAUAUAUAAUAUUUUUCUUAAUUUAGCUAAUGUACUAACUUCUACAAAUCAAUUUGUAUGUAAUACAUCAACAGUUCGUGCUUCCUAAAAAAAAUAAUUAGUAUAGAUUCUCAAAAUGUCGUAUGAGAUGUAGAGACUGCAAACAAGGUGAAAAAAACUUAACAUAUAGGCAUGACAAAAGGCGAGCUUCUUGUGUAACCUACAGCGAUUUUCUUAACUUUUUAAUUGGAUGGUAAGUUUUCUUUAAAAAAAAAAAUGAUUUGGUGGAAGGUACGAACAAUAGAAUAAGGAUUACUGUUCAUGCAUGNGUCAUGGGCACGCAUGCAUGCAUGCAAACAUAAAAGCAAACCUCCCCCCAAAAAAAAAAAAAAUCAAAAUCCACGUCCCUUUCUUGAUAACUGUUUUCUCUCUAACUGCUUGCUAGAGCAUUCUUUACAUAUGUUCCUCCAUUAAUUGCUCUAACGCAUCAAUUGUAUUAAAUUAUUAAUUGAUUUAGAGACAGUUGUAUUAAAUUAUUAAUCAGUUUAGAGAUACGGCAAGAGUAUAAAUAAUAGAUUAAUAGAUGAACAUAAAGGACUCAAAUUGCACUUUAAAAAAAAAAAAAAUAGCAUGCCAUCCGCUCCAUUAAUUUAUUGUUUAAAAAUAAACUUAGCUAGAGAAAUAUAGCAUAUUGUCCACCCGCUUUGUUUAUUUUUAUAAAUAAACUCAACUAAAAAUAUAAAAUAAUUAGACUUUAAGGCAUGUUUGGUUCACCUAUUUUAAAUUAUGGAAUCGAAAUGGAAUUCAUUGAUUUUGAUAGUUAUCGUUUGUUUUAUAGAAAUCAGAUUUCGAUUCCUAUUUCACUCCGGAAUGGGAAUGACCAAAUCCAUUUAUGAUCCCAUCUGGCUUUGAAUUCCGGAUUGGCUCAUUCCAAAAUGAACUAUUCAAAAUCCUCUUUCACCAACACCUACCUCCUCCCCCUUCAUCACUUUUCUCUUUCAUAAUCAAAACCCUCUAUCAAAAAUUUUAAAUUUUCAUUCCGAUUUCUAUUCCAAUAAUAAACCAAAUAUUUUUGAAUGAUUCGUUAUUUCAUUUUUCAUUCCAAAGCAAUUCAAUUCUAUUUCUUAUUCCUAUUCCAAUCAUGAACCAAACACGCCCUAAAUUUCGAACUUCAGACUUCAAACAUCAAGUGUUUAGUCAACCGCGCUAGUUGUGAUCGAUUUCUGAUGGCUUAUUUUGAAUAGCACAUUGUUGGUUUUUAAUCUAAUGUUUUGUCUUUAUAGUGCCGUCCUCUAAAGUGACCGAGUCCAAACAUUGACUCUAGUCAACAUACGCAACAAGUUUAGCACAACAAAUAGCACUCCACUUACUAUAUAAUUGCUCUUUCUUCACCUUCACAUAUCUCCCCUUUCCCCAUAGUUGUUUCUCCUGUAGCUUCAUCAAUGUCCAACGCCACAAAAUCCUCCCUCGGUUUGGUCGGAAUUGUCGUAGGCUUUGCGGGUAUAAUAACCACCUUAAUGUUCGUAUGCUCUUGCAUCAAACGGGGCAUCUUUCGAAAAACCAAGAAACUAAUUGCUUUUAAAGGUAAGCUAAGUCAUUCAUAUACAAUAGUGUAGUACUAGCAAUUAUAUAUAAGCCAACACUAACAAAUAUUUGCUUUUAUAGGGAACAACUGGAAGAAAAUGAAGCUUAGAUGUUUCUCUUUGAGUGAGCUUGAAAAGGCCACUAAGAAGUUUAGCGAGGAGUGUUUGAUCGGGUCGGGUGCAUUUGGAACUGUGUACAAGGGAGUGUUUGAUGAGGCAUGUACUCUUGCUGUAAAGAGAUUGCAUGCGGAUUUAUAUGAAAGUGUCGAUGAAUUUAGAAAUGGUACGAAAAGGAAAAAAACUACAUAUAUGAGUAUAUGUAAAGCACUUAAUUGAGUUACAUAUGUAGUUAAGUUUCUUGUUCAAUAAUAAUGAGCCUUUAAUUAAUGAUGAGAUGUGUACAUGUAUCAGAGAUUGAGCUGCUUUCAAGAGUUCAACAUGAAAACCUCGUUACUUUAGUUGGCUAUUGUGAAGAAGCCGGUAUGCCUUAAAAUUUAGUUUAAACAAAGAUUUAAUUUUGUAUACUUCAUGAAUUGUUAAUUUGCCAUAUUACCUACAGCAAUUCUUUUUCCCCUCUAUGAUGUUAUCUACCAUUUUCAAUUUCAUUUCUAUCUCACGUUUAGCUACUUGGCUUAUUUAUUGACUAAUGCACAGUAACUUAUUAAAGAAUACUAACCCUCGACUUAUUGCCUUUUUUUUUUAAAAAAAAAAAAAACCUCUAUCUUCUCUAUGUAGGGCAGAAGAUACUGGUUUAUGAAUAUGUUCUCCAUGGUUCUCUACUAGAGUACAUAGUUGGUAAGCUUGCUCCAGUUGCAUGAUUCUCCAUGGUUCUCUACUAGAGUACAUAGUAAAAUACUAUUCCACACAUCAAAAACUAAUGCGGUUCGGUUAACGAUCAAAAAUACCAACGUAGGGAGGAGAGGGAAGAUUUUAACUUGGAAAGAAAGAGUAAAUAUAGCCAUUGGAGCAGGAAAAGGUUGGUUACCCUCGAUCAAAAUUUUCGUUACAUGAUUUGUACAAGAAAGAGUUUACUUUUUCUUGUUUUGUUUUUUUGGAAAAACCAGGAAUAGCUUAUCUCCACGAAGGCGUUCGACCGAGCAUAAUCCACCGAGACAUCAAGCCAAGCAACAUCUUGGUAGGGGACGGAUUUGAGGCGAAGGUUUCAGACUUUGGAUUGGUGAAAUCCGGCCCGACAGGCGACGAACCGCACGUUACAAGCCAGAUCAAAGGAACUCCGGGCUAUCUCGACCCGGCCUAUUGUUCGAGUUCUCACUUGACUACUUACAGCGAUGUUUAUAGCUUUGGAGUAAUGCUCCUACAACUCGUUGCUGCUAGACCAGCUGUGGUUACUUCAGGACCACAUUCUCAACGUCAUAUUGUUGAUUGGGUGAGUUAUCAACAUUAAAGGGACCGAAAUUGCUUAUUAUUUUAGAAAGUCAGAAAUUUUUCAGGAUAUAUAAGUAAUUGCUCCUAAUUUUUAUUAUCCUUACAAUAUAUCUCUUCAACAAAUACUAUUUUUUAUUUAGAUGAGGGCAAAAGGUCAAAAUUAUUUUACGGAGCGGCCAUUCAUAUAUAUAUAUAUAUAUAUAUAUAUAUAUAGAUAGAUAGAUAGAUAGGUAGCAUUACCUAGCUUCGUUUAUUUUAUUUAAGUUGAAUCAACUAGGAUUCGAAUUUAUGAUCUCGGGUACCAAUCACCAAGCCCUUUGUCACUUGCGCUAGGGAUAAAUGUGAAAUAGGAAAGUAAUCAUUGAGUACAUAAUUUUUCAUGCAAUGACCUUUUUUCUGUUUAAUUAACAAAUUAUAGGCAAGACCAAGUUUACAGAAAGGAACUGUGGAAGAGAUACUGGAUGCCAAUUUGUUACUUGAUCUUGAACCUUGUAAUAUGGAGAUGAUGUUAAAGAUUGGCCAAUUGGGCCUCAAAUGUGUUGCGAAAGAGCCGAGAGAUCGGCCCACAAUGAGCCAAGUCGUCAGAGAGCUCGAGGAGGGAAUGCAAUUGUCGGCUUCGUGGAGAUUAGUAGGUGAAGGAGAAUGGCAAAGUUGUAGCUUCAAUGCUGUGUGCUUAGAGAGAUAUCAUCUGGACAUAGAUGAACUCUUGAUUCAUAGUCCAAGAAUGAGGUGCCUCGAUGUUAAUAGCUACAGUGUUGAUAUUGAGAAGCUUCGAAUGGUACAGAUUAGUGAGGAAUAUGAUGAAAUAUGUGAAACAAUUUUGAGCCACUAAUUGUGACUUUAACAAGACUAUUUGAUUCAUUCAAUAGAAAACAAUUUAUAAAUAAACAUUUGUUUCCAUUCUUUUUAGCAAAUAUAAAUCCAAUAGCCAUAGUUAAAGAAAAAAAUUUGUCAAUUUAUAAUAUUAAUAACAAGGGACGUGAUCCCCACAUCCUAAGAAAGUAAAAGUGAACGAAGAACCCCUCAACGACACUACAUUUUCAAAUGGCAUCUUUAUAUAUAUUUUUUUGAAAUGAGACUUCUUUAUCUUUGAUUUUUUUUUGAGUAAAUUUAUGGCCAAUUUGCAUAAAAAAUUCACAAAUUUUGAGCUUUUGCAAAACUGGGCCGUCGUUUCGAUUUUGCAGGUUUGGUUCAAAUUUUCAAUAAAGUGACUAAAAUAUCUUUAUUGCUUUUUCUCUUUCCUCUUUGUUUUCUCUCGUUCAUUUUUUUUUCUCUCUCUGAAGAAAGCAACCAAGGCAGAGGCAGAGGCGGAGGCGGAGACGGAGACGGAAACAGCCCGCCUCGCCUCUCACCCUCAUGCCCCNUCUUUCCUCUUUGUUUUCUCUCGUUCAUUUUUUUUUCUCUCUCUGAAGAAAGCAACCAAGGCAGAGGCAGAGGCGGAGGCGGAGACGGAGACGGAAACAGCCCGCCUCACCCUCACCCACGCACCCGUCGCCCUACUCGCCUCCGAUCCCGCCGAGGCCGCACUGCGACCCUCUUUUUUUUCCUCUCCGAUCCUCCUCCACCAUCUCCGACGACGACGCCUCUUUCGCCCUUCCCCGCCCUUCUUACCCUCUCCCUCUCCCUCCUCCUCCGUCUUCUCCGCCGCCUCCGACGACGACGCCUCUCUGCCGACGUCGACACCACGCCGCCGUAGCCUCGGAGCGGGGGUCCUUAGCGGCGUCGUCGCCGGUGCCGUGGCCAUUAGCGGAGAGGCGUGACAGAAAAAUUAUAGAAGAAAAAAAAAUAAAAAAUAAAGACAAAAAAUUAUAGAAGAAGGAAGAAUAAAAUGAAAUUGUACUGUUAAAAUAAAAUCACACUGUUUAAAUUUUUUUUUGCACUGUUUUAAAUAAAAAUUGCACUCUUUGAUACAUAAAUUAUACUUUUUGGGAUUAAAUUUACACUUUUUAGGAUAAUUGCACUAUUUAGGUGUAAUUUAUAUUAUUACUCUUUUUUCUUUUUCUUCCUUCAAUUUACACCAUUUUUUUUUCUCUUCCUCUUCUUCCUCUUCCUUCCCCUCCACUUUUUCCCUAGCCGCCCCUCACCCUCGCCUUCACCACGACGGCGAGGCGGGCCCUUUUUUUCUCCUCCUCUGCCUCCGCUGCCUUCUUCGAAGAGAGAAAAAAAAUGAAGAGAAAAAAAAAAGGACAGAGAAAAAGUAAUAAGAGUAUUUUGCUCAGUUUGCUGAAAAUUCGAAUCAAAUCUGCAAAAUCGAAAAAAUGCGGCCAAUUUUUGCAGAAGCUCAAAUUUUGUGGAUUUUUAUGCAAAUUGGCCUAAAUUUAUUUGAAAAUUUAGAAUUUUUUUCAAAUUUAUUAAUGAUUUACCAAAUUUAUUGGCUUUAAUUUUUUUGGCAAAUCUAAUCAAUUAAUGGCUAAUAAUUAAUUAAGAAAUUAAAUUUAAUAAAUUUUUUUAAAAAAAAUUAGAAGUUAUAGAAGCUACAAACAAUUAAUGGCUAAAGAUAAUCGACUUUUAUUUAAAUUUCAACUAUAUUUGCGAAUAUAUUUGAAUUAAUAUGAAAUUACAAUAUUUUUAUGAAUUCAUUCUACAUUUGAAAAACACAUUUGAAAUUACACUAUAUUUGAAAGAUCAUUUGAAAUGCUACCAUGCAUAUUUGUAAAACUCUUUUGAAGUAAUACCACAAAUGUGAAACCUUUUUUGAAAUUCAAAUCAUACCAGUAGAAGCUAUCUCUAGAAUCCCGCAUCUUUUGAUAAUUCUAGUUAUACUCGUAGCAACCAUUUCUACAAUCUCACAUCUCCUGUUAAUUUUAGUUUAUGUUUGUGCUUAAGUUUCACAUUGUGUAGUAAUUUUAUACUAUAUUUAUGAUUAGAUCCACACAUCGAUAAUUCUAAUUUAUGUGUGUGAUUAAACUUGGGCGAUGUGUAAUUCUACUCUAUAUGAUUAGACACUGAAGAGUAAUGUUGAAGAAUAAGAAAUAUAAAAUUUCUUUUGAAGAAACAUAACUAGAAAGAUAUUUAUAUUUAUAUUAAAAAUAUGAAAAAGUAUUUAUAUUUCUAUAAAAAAAUGGCUACUACGUGGACAAGCCUACUACGUGAGGAUUUACCAAAUAGUACAUUUUUUUCUAAAAAAGCAUUGGUCUCACUUAUUCUUAUUUUACGAUUGUGUAGUUUUGAAAAAUACGAUGAAUGCAUACCGGCUCAAAAAUAUACUCUUUUUCACAUUUACAAGGACGAGAAUUUGUACAAUUAUCCUAUUCUUUUUUCUUUUUUUUACUGCUCUUAAAUACCUCCAAAUUGUACAACAUUUUCAUUGUUUUUUUUGUUGUUUGUUUUUUAUAGGUAGUUAUCAUCCAACAUAUACGGCAAAACUUAUUCAAAAGUGAGUAACCGAUGUUGUCAUCUACAUUUUUCUAUAUUUUUCUUUCAACAUGAUUAAAUAUCAAAGUACUAUGUCAACUCAUUAAUGAUAAUAUUUGCCUAAGUUCUUGUGAAGCUAUAUUUUUUACAUAGAUGAUUCAUAGUCUCCUCGAUAGUGUGACAGAACCAGCAAUCUUGACUUCGAAUAGCAUAUUGGGAUUUAAUUAGUAAUUAAUAAAUAAUAAUCAAUAAAAUUUUGACUUCAAUGGAGCAUAAGAGUUCCAUUUAAGUUUACAAAAUGAAACAUUCUAUCAAAAAAAUUAUAUGGAGAAACUAAAUAGUAAUGUUGAGGAAGAAGAAAUAUAAUUUUUUCUUUGAAGAAAUAAAACUCGAAUGAUAUUUAUGCUUAUAUUAAAAAUAUUUAUAUUUGUAUAAAUAACAUUUAUGUUCGUAUGUAUUUAUGUUUGUAUGAAAAAAUAUUUAUAUUUUCUAUAAAAAAAGAAGUUGAACAAACUUAUAAUGACUUUUAGGGGACAAGCAUGCUACGUGAGGAUUUUACCAAAAUAGUACAUUUUUGAGCUGAUUGAAAAGAUGAAUAUUGAUCUAUAUUUUGAAAACUAUAUAAAGUUGUUUGAGAUAAAAAAAAAUUUCAAAUUUCAAAUUGAAGACAUAGAAGGCAAAAAAAUAAAGUGCGAUUUGAUUGCUAUUUUUCUUAGAAGGCUAGGUAUCAAUAAGGAAUGAGAUAAGGAAAAUAUUGUUGCCUUAUCUUCCAAGAUUUUUGAAUUAUUUCCUAAAGUGAAUAGUCCAAAUAUCAUUAUAAAUUGGACCAUAGAAUUCAAAAAAAAAGGAGAGCUUUCUUGAAAAAAAACAAAAAAAAACUAAAAAAAAACAAAAAAAAAGAAAAAAGAAAAAAGGGAGAGAGAACCACGAGAGGAGGGGGUUCCCACCCCUCCCUCUCUUUGAUUCGUACAGAGAGAGAGGGGUUGGAGCCCCUCCCUCUCACAGCAAAAAAAAAAAAAGGGAAAAAAAAGAAAAGAAAGCAAAAAAAAUAAUAAUAAUAAAGAGAGCGACGGCGAUGACGGCGAUGGCGACGACGACGACGGCGAACGACGGCGCACGUGCUGUGACAACUUCGACAACGACAACCGCGAUGACUUCUACGACAACAAGAGAUGUGCAUGCAUAUGAAAAGCGUAAGAACGAUUUUUGUUGGUUUGAUCAACCCGACCAUCUUCGUGAUAGAUUUCGAACCGAUCAAAUCUAACAUUAAAUCGUCGCUUCCGUCGUACGUAUGCAUCGCUAAUCUCUAAACCAUGCGGCCAUCUUCGUGAUAGGCUCGACAUGGUCGAACAAAUACCGGAUAUUUUAUUAUCUAAACCGUGCGGCCAUCUUCGCAAUCGGCUCAACAUGGUCGAAAUUGUCGGACGAACAUAUUUUACUACGUAAACCGUGCGGCCAUCUUCGUGAUAGGCUCGACAUGGUCGAAAGGGUUGACCGAGCUCCGACUAUUUUACUACGUAAACCGUGCGGCCAUCUUUGCGAUAGGCUCGACAUGGUCGAAAGAGUUGACCGAGCUCCGGCUAUUUUACUACGUAAACCGUGCGGCCAUUUUCGCAAUAGGCUCGACACGAUCGAACCCGCCGCAUAUUUGAACAAUAAAAAAAAAAAUAAUGACAUAUUCGAUUUGCCAUCUUCGCGAUAGGCAUUGUUCGAAUCAUUCGCCAUCUUCGUGAUAGGCACGAUUCGACUUGAUCAAUACGACCAUCUUCACGAUAGGCUCGGACCGAUCAAAUAAAAAAAAAUAAUUAAAAAUAUGAUGAACAUAUUUUAAUUUGCCAUCUUCGUGAUAGGCAUUGUUCGCAUUAUUCGCCAUCUUCGUUCGAUCCGAUUGUAUGGCUCGACGUGAUCAACUUCGUUUAUUUGGACAAAAAAAAAAAAAAAAAAAAUAAACAAAUUAAAAAAAAAAAAAAAAAACAAAUGAACAAAAUUUGAGGAAUUUGGUUUGAAUCAUUUUUGAAAAUGUUUCAAUCUAUCAUGAGUCCAAUGAACAAAUAAAGCACAAAGCCUAUACGCAAAUUCGGGCCCACAACCUGUAGAGCUCGAAAUCCAUCUUAAUUCACAUGCAGAUUUGGAUCCAAACCAGACUAAAUCCGAUCUGAACCGAACCGGAUCCCGUCUGAACCGAAUCAAGAAGCAUUCGACUCAAGCCGAAAUGGAGCCGAUUCGAACCAAACCAUAAAGCAUUCAACUUGAACCGACUCGAACCGAAUCCGGUUCAAUCUGAUCAGAACCAUAAAGGAUCCGACUCGAACCAAAGUGGGUCCAAUCCGAACCGAACAGGAUUCGACCUGAACCAAAGUGAACCCAAUUUGAACUGAACCGAACCGGAUCCGAGCCGAACCAGAUCCUGUCUGAACCGAAUCAUAAAAGAUUCAACUUGAACCAAAGUGAGUCUGAUCCGAACCGGAGUGGGUCCGAUUCGAACUGAACUCAACUCGAACCGAACCAUAAAGCAUCUGACUCCAACCGAACCAAACCAUGAAGGAUUUGACUCGAACCGAACUAAAGCAUAACGGUUCAAUCCAAAUCAAGUCGUGAUAGGUCCCGAACCAAAGCAUAACGGUUCAACCCAAACCAAAUCCAAACCGACCAAACAAACUUGAAGUCGCCCAACUCAAACCAAGUCUUGAUGGGCUCCGAACCAAAACAUAACGGUUCAACCCAAACCAAGUCUUGAUGGGUCCCGAACUAAAGUAUAACGGUCGACCCAAACCAAACUUAAAAGGGGUAAACCAAGUGAAAACUAAGGCGGUUCAUCCCAAAUCAAAUACAAGAGGUUCAAGCCAACUCAAAACCAAAGUCCACAAAAAAAUUCCAAAACCCAAAGUCCACAAAUAAAUCCCAAAACCCAAAGUCCACAACUAAAUCCCAAAACCAAAGUCCACAAAUAAAUCCCAAAAUCUAAAAUCCACAAAUAAAAUCCCCAAACCCAAAUUCAAACGACCGAAACGUCGUUAAACUAAACCCGAACGACCGAAACGUCGUUAAACUAAAACCAAAUCCAAUUUUCAUGAACAUCUCAAUUUCAGUCGACCGAAACGUCGUUAAACUAAACCCAAAUCCAAUUUUCAUGAACAUCUCAAUUUCAGUCGACCGAAACGUCGUUAAACUAAACCCAAACUCAGUCGACCGAAACGUCGUUAAACUAAACCCAAAUCCAAUUUUCAUGAACAUCUCAAUUUCAGUCGACCGCAAAGUCGUUAAACUAAACCCAAAUUCAAACGACCGUAAAGUCAUUAAACUAAACCCAAAAUCAACGACCGUAAAGUCGUUAAACUAAAUCCAAAUUCAUCAUGAACCUUUUUCUACUCUAGCACAUAUACUUAGAGUAGAAGAUUAAAUGUCGACUACCCCUAAUACAUAUACUUAGGGCUAAGUCAAUCGCCUUAGCACAUAUAAUUAAAGCAAAACAUCUCUAAAUCGACAGAGUUCUAAGUCAUAUAUUUAGAAUUCAGUCAAAUGAUAUCAAGUUUAUUCGAACUCUAACAUAUAUACUUAGAGUUCAUCCGACUAACCCUAAUACGUAUACUUAGGGUCUAGUCAGCCUUUUGCUCUAGCACAUAUACCUAGAGUGGAAGUCAAACCAUGGUCGACUAACCUUAAUCCAUAUACUUAGCGUCAGUCAGUCUUUUGCUCUAGCACAUAUAUCUAGAGUAGAAGUCAAAUCAUGCUCGACUAGUCCUAACCCAUAUACUUAGGGUCUAGCCAGCCUUUUGCUCUAGCACAUAUACCUAGAGUGAAAUCCUUACCCAAUCGAGCUCUAAUACAUAUACUUAGAGCUCAAAUCUGACUACUCCUAAUACAUAUACUUAGGACUUAGUCAAAUCUACAUUCUAGCACAUAUAACUAGAGUGAAAACUCGGCUAAUCCUGAUACAUACACUCAGGAAUUAGCCACUCUCGGGUAAUAUCAAAUUCGACCCACCUCAAUACAUAUACUUGAGGUCUGGUCACAUCUCCACCCUGGAAUAUACAACCAAGGUGAAUAUAAUCAGACUCUAAGACAUAUACUUAGAGCCAUUUAGACUCUAAUACAUAGAGUUUAAUAUCGACUAGGUCUUAACACAUAUACUUAGGAUCUAGUUCGACCCACCUCAAUACAUAUACUUGAGGUCUAGUCACAUCUCCACCUUGAGAUAUACAACCAAGGUGAACCCGACCGCCAUGUCAUCAAAACUUCAAUCGACCACCGAUUCGCUAAAUUGAAAUUUCAUAUACAGUGGGGGUAUGUCCCUGCUUAAGCCAUGUACACAGCAAAUCAUAUUAAUAAAAGUUUAUUUGCCUGCUUGAUCUCUUUUAUCAGCAUUUAUAUUCGGUCUCUUAAUCGAGAGUUCCUUAACACUGAAAGUGUGGGGUAAUUAACAACAGAUUCUUGAGUCUGUUGGAAGCCAUGAACCUAUAAUCCUGAUUUCAAAAUAAAAUUCAAACAAAUUUAAUCUCUAUCAUGAAUGGCCACUCGCCUUAGAAACAACUUACAGCGGGGCCGGUUCGUUCGCGACAGACAAAAGUAAGUGUGCAAAUUUCUUUAUUUUAAUAUAUGAUUGGUUCUCUUGGAAGAUCGUAAAAGCUAAUAUUUAUAUAUUUACGUAAAAUAUAAGGAUCCUAAUGUUCUGAAAAUUAUUGAAUCGAUGCAGCAACCGUCUUUGGUAGGUCACAUUUACUAAAAUAUUUUGAUUUUAAUAUUUUAUUUGAUUUUUUCUGAAAGUAACAUAAUUUUUUAGCUGCAGGAGAAAGUGAAGGCAUAUUUUAAACGGACACUUUUGGAGUCUAUUAAUAAUUAAUAAAUAAUAAGUAAUAAAAUUUUGACUUCAAAGUAGCAAGAAAGCUCCAUGUAGGUUUACAAAAUGGAACAUUCUACCAAAAAUUGUGCAUAUUAUAACUACUUACUAUAAACAAAGUUAUUACCGUACCACCUCCAGAUAACAUUUUCUUCUUCAUCUAUAAGUUGCUACUUAUAAUUUUUAUUAAGUUUGCUUGUGUUAUUUACUAACAAGCUAUUGGCAAUAUUUCUAACCAUUAAUAACUAUGCAUUUGCUUUGAUUUCUUUUCUUUUUUUUUGAUUCUUUUCUACAUUGAUUCUGACAGAAAAAGUCAUGAAAGCGCUGAAAAGGAUAUUGAACAAGCUAAGAAUAAGAUCAUUGCAUCAUAUUUUGAAAUUCUUGAUAACUAUGUGGAGAAGCAAAAGGAUGAUGGUCCCGAUUUGAAGUAUAUUUGUAGAGUAGAAGCGUGCUCGCAUGCUUUCUUGUCUCUGCUUUUGUUCGCAUACAUAUUAGGUUCAACCAUCGAUCAUUUGUUGAUGAGCUGAUUGAAAAGAUGAAUAUUGAUCUAUAUUUUGAAAAUUAUAUGAAGUAAGUGUGCAGAUUUCGUUAUUUUAAUAUAUGAUUGAUUCUCUUGGAAAAUUGUGAAAGCUAAUAUUUAUAUAUUUACGUAAAAUGUAGGGAUCCUAAUGUUCUGAAAAUUAUUGAAUCGAUGCAGCAACCAUCUUUUGGUAGGUUACAUUUACUAAAAUAUUUUGAUUCUAAUAUUUUAUUUGAUCUUCCCUGAAAGUAACAUAAUUUUUGAGCUGCAGGAGAAAGGGAAGGCUUAUUUUGAAUGGACACUAUGAAGACUUUUAAUAAGAAGAAGAAAGAAUGGUUGAGAAGUAGACACAAAAGGGUCGAAGCGGCUCAGUCUGAGUUCCAUGCAGCAUAGCCGGACUCUCUCUUUAUAUAUACUAGUAUAAAACCCGCGCUUCGCUGUGGAUAAAUAAAAUUUUAAUUAAUUAAUAUAUAAUUAUUUAAAAUUUAAAAUUUGAAAUGUAAAAUUUAUUUUAAAAAAUUAAAAACAUAAUACAUUCGAAAAAAUCGUUAACUUCUCAAUAUCAAAAUAUUUACUAACUCAAUAUUAAGAAUUAAUUAAAAUUUAAAAUUUAUUUAAAAAAUUUAAAACAUAAUAUAUCAAAAAAAAUCGUUAACUUCUCAAUAUCAAAAUAUUUGCCAACUCAAUAUCACGAGUUUAUGUUUCAAAUAAAAUAAUUUAAAAAAAAUUGAAAAAAAUUCAACUCAUUAGAAGGCUAAUUAGAGAAAAAAAAAUUAGUGUACUUAAAAAAAAAAAAUGCUUCUCCCCUUUUCCUUUUCAAACAACCUUGGGAAUAUACAUGGAAAACCUCGGGAAUAUCUUGGGAAUAUCUUGAUCCAACCAGGUCCAAUCUUGGGAAGGAGCCAAGGAGCUGUCUUGGAAAACCUCGAGAAUAUCUUGAGAAUAUUUUGGUCCAACCUUAGGAAGAAGCCAAGGAGCUAUAUUUUGAUUCUUGACCAAGAUUGUCCAUUUGGAUCCUUCCCAUUUGACUAUUCACAGCACUUGUGCUUGACAGGGAUUUGUGGAAGCAGAAAAUGCUGCCACGUAUACCCUACAAACUACCAAUUAAUGUAUUUGUAUGGAAAUCGAUCUCUAUAUAUAUAAAGAGAGAUGGAGGGGGGAGAGAUAGAGAGAGUAUAUAUAAAGAUUUAUAGAGGGGGAAGAGAUAGAGAGAGAGGGAGAGGUGGGGGUGGGGAGAGGGAGAGAAAGAGGGAGAGGGGGAGGGAGAGGUGGGGGUGGGGAGAGGGAGAGAAAGAGGGAGAGGGGGAGGGAGAGGUGGGGGUGGGGAGAGGGAGAGGGAGGGGAAGGGGGAGAGAGAGAUAAUAAGAAAAUAAAGGAUUACCCUCAAUGCCGCGUUAUUUUAGAUAAUAAGAAAAUGAGAAUGUAGAAAACUGGCAAGGUUGAAGUAGUUAAGAAUACGUAAUAAAACAAAUCUAUUUAUUUGUCAAAUCAAGGAGAUUACUUGAUGAUUAUGCUUCAUGAGGAAGGGAAAGUAGCGAUUUUUAAAAGAGCUUGCUAGUGCGUCUGAAAUGUUAGUGCAGUUAACAUUUCUUUGGCGCCUCGUUUAACUCUUUGUUUCAGCACUUCUCUUUUACUUAAAAUGAUAGAUGAAGAGUAUGAUUAAAUGUGUUGGAAGAUACACCAUAUUUGAUCUUCAAGUUGGAAUAAGAUAUAAUUACAUUAUAUGGAAAAUACACUAUCCUAUCAAAUUACCAUAGAGCUAAAACCAAGCUCCUCUCUUGCAUUAACGAAAGAAAAUCAUCAUAGCACAUAAUUCAUAACUGAAUAACUUGUUGUCAUAUCCGAAAAGAACCUUAGCAUUUUCGUUCUAUUUGAUGAUUGGCUUUAAUCUAUACCUGAUGUUAUUGUGUGUUAUUUUACCACUAAUGUUGGUUGUUAACUACGGAGGCAACCAUGGUGUUGUAUGAUGUUAUGUGGAUUUUAAGACUUAUUUGUUUUGAAAUGUUAUUAACCGACUGUACUAUUUAGUUUCUAGACAUCCAUCUUAUUGCUGUUUCCUCCAUAGAUAUAACAAAUGUUGUAGAGGAUCCCUUAGCGAUUGUGUUUCUUGUCUUCUUCUUCCGGGGAAGAUAAGGCGGGGAUUUGAUGAUGGAUUGUAAUUCCAUGCUUAUGAGAAGAAAAACUAGGGGUGUACAAGUCUUCGCCUUUUCCUCCUUUAGCUCUGUACAAUGAUAUUAGAGGUAAUGAAAAGUAUAUGGAUUUCAGUAGUAAACAAAGUAUACAACAUCAGUUUCUUUGCCAAAGAAAAGAAAAAUUGGAAGAAGAAAGGAUCAAAUUUUCGUUUUGUGUCCAUUUGCUUCUACUUGUUUACUGAUUACAAGGGGGGAACAAAGAGGUUUAGAAUUUUGAUUCUUGAUAGAAACUGUAAAUUAAAUUUCCACUCUAAUGAAAUCUGAAACUAGUAAAGUUUGCCUAAGAUGAGGGAUGUUAGCUGCUUUAAGCUUUAAUGAACCCCUUGAGGUCCUGCUCGGUGGCCUUCUGAGGUACAAAGAUCCUGGCCGGCACAUGAAUGGGGAGUCCUCCAUGGCUGUUGUGCAGGCGGACAACUUUGCUUGAGGACCGGAGCCGGAUUGAAUCCAGGUCGUUGACCUUACUCUUGAGUCCGGGCCUCACGGACCUCCAUCAAGAUCUAUGACGGGCAUGGCAGCCUGGAGACUUCUUGCUGCAUCAUAUCAUCUCUGCCACAAUCCGCUGAAUAAGUUUUUUUAGUUGCAAUCUGGAGCUUUUGCUGAAGUGCUGUUUGAGUAGAAUCGUUAGAAGAACUGGGGACUUCUUUUUAUCGAAGCCUGUCCAGCAGCCUUUUGGUGUGGUAGUUUAGAAAACGCAUCAUCUAGAUUAAGCAAACCACUCGACGCCUACCAAAAUAACCAACCCAUAGAACACUAAAAAGAGAAUAAUGUUGAUUGCUGAUUACUGAUUUUCUAUACACAACUAGGGUGCCCAUGUUGUUACAGUUGAAGGAUCUGUGCAUAGUGCUCAAAAAUCAAGAACAGUUCGGCAGGACUAAUUACACGAAAGUUAGGUACAACACACUCAUAAAUCACACCUACCUCAAAUACAGUGAUACUAACAACUGUGAGAACAGAAUGAAUUCGCUUACGAUCACCGCUGGUGAAUGGAUACCAAAAAAGGGGACGAUAUCCACCUGUAACCAGUUCUCCACUGCAGAUCCGACCACCGCACCCACCACAAGUCCGCCAACAGUGAUCACUGCUGCCUUCCCUGCAGAAGACAUACCAUAGACUAAAACAUUAUUGCUUAUUUGAAAGAUGCGAGAAAGGAACAUCAUACUAGUAACAUGUUCUAUCAUUAUUGUAAAUUUUCAUUAGGUAAGUAGAAUAUCCAGUACCCUUCUUGGAUCUCACAUUAAAUUUUCUUUUCAAGUACUUAAAGAGUACAACAAGCUGCAAGUGUUUAAUGUAUUCUUACGCAUAAUGUUCUCCAAAAACCAAACUGGCUAGUGCAGGUAGUUACAAAAUAUGUCAGUAAUACAAACAAAAGUCUGAAGCUCAAGUAAUAGUGAACAUCAUCAAAGAUGAAGCUUCAAGCACAUUAUAGUUGCACUCUCAUCAAGAAAUCCUUCGCUCCGCAGGACCAAAAGUUGCUGGUGAUUUCUUCUAACGGACGUCGCAAGCUAAUUCAUCAUAUUAUAAAAGAAACAUAAUACAUAACACAACUGUUUUCUCAGUAGUUGAAAGCCAAACUCAGGUUUUCCUAUUCAAUGUCAGAACAAAUGUCACCCAACCAAAAAUGCAGCACUCCAGAAAUACUUUAGUGGGUCUAAGUAAGGGAAAAACACAGAUGGCUAAACUACCCUUACUAGGAAUUAAACAAUAAAAUAUGCGACAUCCAACUGUUAUGACUAUGUGCAGUAAAGCAGAAUGUCCAAUUUGAUGAAGUAACUCAUUCAUUUUUAAAGAACUACAAAAACUUGGGUAUUGUCCUAUACUAACAUGUUAGGAUUUUCAAAAUAUAAAAAAGUGUGGACACACACAAGAUAAAACCAGGAAUACAUAGAAUCAAAUCAAACAGGUUAGGAGUAGACUUGCUGGCAAAACACCAGGCAACCUGGCGUCAGACUAGAAAUGGUGGAUAUAGCAAGAGGUAAAGAACCAGCAAAAUUUACUGAAUCACUCAAAGAAAAAAAUUUAGCUUAUUCAAUCUCAAUCCGUUUUCUAUUGUCUUAAUAAUAAUACUCCGAAUUAAUAAUUUGUCCGUUGAAGCAAAUUAAAUAAUACGAACGACGAUGAUGGUUUCUACUUACUACUCAACUUACCUUAGAAAGACAGAAAAUUUUCAAAAACAAUCUAGUUUCUAGCAGCAGAAACAAAUAUCAUCCAAUUGCAAAAUUGAUAUUGAUCAGCAUACAGCCAACCUACUUUAAAAACAACCAAUAGAUAGCAGUCAGAAAUGAACCAAACAGAUUAGAAAAAUCUAACCAAACAGAUUAGAAAAAUCUAUUUGACAUGCGGAAGUAUAAAAAACAUAAAAUGAAGUCAAAGUGCAAGAUCAGCUACCUAGAGAAAUGUUCUUCUUUGUCAAAAAGUAUAAGGAAGCACCAAAUCCAGUAGCCAAUACUACUCCAGGAACGUCAGCUCCACUAUACGUCGCUGGGAUAUUUGCGGAGGUUCCACUAGCAAAAGUGAAUACCAUCAUUGCCCCAUAGACACCAGCCUGAACUGCCAAAUUGCUUGGAGAUGGAGGUUCAAUUGAGACUGGAAUAUUCUUCAUAGUUGACUGUACCCACUGUGGCAUUGGACCAGUACCCGCACUUCUUACGGGUUUAACAUCAGCAUAACGGAUGCUACUAUUUGCAACUUUGCCAGACCUGCGUUGUGAUAGACUCUGCAUAAGCAGCAUAUCAUAUGCAGCCUCGACCUGAGACAGAAAAGGUAAGAGUAUUCAAGAGACCAAUAGGUGAGCAUAACUAAUUUAUGAUCAAGCGAAAUGACACUCUUGACUUCCUUGGAGGAUCUUUUCUAGACAACUUUUUCUUGCAAAGCUUGUCAAUUGUGUGAUAAUGAAUGACCUCUUCUUGAGAUUAGAAAAGCUUGAAAGAACCACUCCCAAAGGUCAUAUUAUCUACUACUGUAUUGCAUCAUAUUAAUAUUAAAAUUUGUGAAAGAUUAAAGAGUGAUAAACACAAUACACUUUGAGCAGAAACCUCACGAAUCUCAUUAUGAACUAUUCCCAAUACAAAAAUAAGAUGCAUACAUGUUAAAGGUACACGACCCAAAUAUGUACGUAUCUCAUAUCAACAUACUGAUAACCAAUUUUAAUUUUAUGCCAACAAUAGGGAGAACGGAAAGUACUAAUAAUAUUGUUAACAAUGACAAAAUAAUGUUUCCUUCCUGUUCGUACAAACAGUGUAUUUGAGAAUAGGCAGAGAACUAAGUAACCUCACUGAACAUUUCAACAGCUUCUAAGGAAAGAUGAGUUUGUUGCCAAUGAGUGUUCCAUGAUAUGUCGCUAGUGCAUUGCAUUUUUCCAGGCCCCCCAGUUAGCGCACCUUUAAACACUUGGCCACAAAAGAAACUGACAAACUAACACAAUAUUGAGUGCCAGGCUUUCGUGUUCUGUGUAAUGCCAAUGACAUUGCAAAGAAGUGUGGCUACUUUAUCUUCUGACAUUUUAAAGUGUCCAAAUAGUUUAGUAUGGAAUUCAAUAUCCCUUCCGCACCAAGUUUAAAGUUUUCUGUUGGUGCGGAGAGAUAAGAUUACCAAGUCACAAAGAAAAGAGUAGUAGGUGCGUUAGCCAUAUUGAACUCUAUGCAUCACAUAUGUCAUCACUCGAAUGCAGCAAUUUAGAACAUGGAAAUAUACACUCCAUAAAAUUGGUUCAAAGAGAAAAAAAUCAUGAUUUGUAAGAGAUUAACAGUUUGGGAUUGAGGAAUAAAAGUUUAUUUCGGUUUACAGCAUGUUGAUGUUAAAUGUGAGGUGGUUUUUUAUAUCGAUUGGACAUAACGAAGUGUAUGAGCUCUCAUGGAUAAUCUUACGCUAGAUCAUCUAUUGCACAGUAGAGCAAAUGAAGAAACUUUUUGAAACAAAUGCCUCAAAGGAAAAGCUUGCAUUAUGUUGCUAAGUUUUUAUAAUGAUUAUCGAACAUUUAUUCAUAUGAAAAAAACGUGCAACCGAAACAGAUGUUGUCCCAAUGAUAAGCCCACCAUUAAAAAAGAAAGCAGGGAGAAAAUUGCAUUUAUUUAAUCAGCAAAUUUUUCAUCAUAGAAAUAUCUCGUACAUUUUAAAUUAAGAUUCGCAAAAUUCGGGAUAAUACAUCAUUCAAUAAAAAAUAUCAAACAAAUCUAAUAAAAAGAGAGAUAUUGCAUUACCCCUCAAUCACAGGUAAAUUAAUUUGCCAUUAAAAAUCAGAUACACAAAUCCGCUACCCCAAAUCGUCCUUUUCUCGUCCAAAAACCUAUUUUUUCCCCCAAAAAAAACACCAAUAAAAAGCGAAAUAUAGAUCAAAUCAAUACACAAAACCUGGGCUACUGCUUCGGGAUCGUCCUUGCAGGAGGCGAUGGUGGCGUUCUUGGCUCGGAGGAUGUCGUCGAAGGAGGCGCCCUCGGAAACCCCUAGAAGCUUCAGGGCGCUCUCCACGGACAUCUCGAAGGGCGCCGAGGAGUCGUCGGCCUUCGACCCCGCCGCGGGGAGGGGCGGCGGAGACCACCGCGGCCUCCGCCGCCACGGGGCGAGGAGAUUCGCAGCGGCGGCGACGCGGUUCCCGCGGAGGAUGUAGCCGUUGUUGAGAGAGAGAGCUGUGGCCAUUCGUUCUUUUUCCCCGUCCCACACGCGUGCUACUGAUUUUUAUUUUGUGCAGAGUAACGAGAAAAAGGGAGAACAAAAAAAUAUGAUUUUUUUUUUUUUUAAAUCGAGUUGUCCUAUUUCCUGGUACAGAUGUGGAUCUGAUGCUGAAAUAGCGGGUUCGUACUGGGCUUGAUCCGUAAUUAGUGUUCGCCGAAACCCGAAUUUUUUUUUUUUAUAUAAUGAGCCGGAAAUUUAGUAAAUUUGACGUGUCCGCGUCAAGAUUAAUAUGCUGUCCCUUAUUUUUUUGAAAAUAAAAAAUAUAUUUGAUUUUUAAAAUUAUUUUUUUAUCUGGAAUAUUUGUUGAAUGUAUUUCUACGUCAAAACAUUUUAUGCGUAUUAGAUAAUUCUAUUAUUUAUCUCCUAUGAAAAAUAUUCGAGAUAUUCACAUCAUGUCAAAUCAGUUCAUUACAUUGAAAACUUCUAUGCAUGGCUCUAAAGAAAAUUAUCUUGUUUUAAAUGGAUCUUACAAUUUCAUUUAUUUUGUGUAACACAUUUCGAAAUCAGUUUACCUAUUAACCAUUAAUUAUUAUGAAUAUUUUUAAAUUAAUAAACGAAAAAAAGCAACGGCCAUUUUUCUGAUGAUCUAUUGUUCAUCUGGAUCAUGCCAGGCCCAUUUUUGAGGCGUAUUUAAUUUUGAUCAAUCCAAGAUCAAUGUGACCUAAAUAUUGUGCACAUUUUCAAAGUUCAAACUUGUACUAAAUGGGCUAAAAAAUGUAUUAUAAAACUUUGAACGGGCCGAAUCAACUAAAAGAAAAUAAAAAAUUACGAUCCCAGCCCAAAUUUUAUGUCUCAAACGUCGAUCCCAGCCUGGCUAAUGGAUUCGCAUCGGGUCCAAUCCGAUAAGUCGCAGACCGGUUCUACGGGUCGGGCUGGUUUGGUGGGUCCGAAUCUAAUCUCCAACUACCACGCACCUUAUGUGGACUCAAAACAAUUGCCCCGUGCACGUGCCUCCCUCUUUACGACUGUACGAGUACCCGCAUAGAUUAGAAUAUAGAGCAUAGUUUCGGACCGUUUGGAAUGGUGAUAUUGUAAUGGACGGUAGGGAUUACAUUUCCGUAUGCGGACGGUUCGGACAGAAAAACUCUAACCAAAAAGGGCGACGCCUCGGUCCAGCUCAGAACUUUACCUUACACCCGGUGCAUGUAUUUAUUUUAUGCGCCGUGUCCUUCUAAACCCCGAUGUGAGAAUGGCAGCGAAUUUGCGGUGCAGGAUGUGUUGCGUUGCACCGGGUCCAGGGAAAAGCCAUUGCCAAAGUUCCAUGCGCCUCAUUAAGUCCACAACCCUUCGUCUUCUACUCCAAGCCAUAAGCCUCAGGUUUUUUUUAGGGUUUUGGCGGCUUUGGAUUCGCCACGAACCCGCUUUCUCCUCUCGGAUUCCCGUCGCCGGUCCCAGGUGCAAAUUUUUGCCCUAGUUAUUCCCUAAUCCCAUCUCAUAUCUUUUCUUUUUGUCGAUGCACUUUUGCUCCUGUUAGACUCAAUCCCUUUGGUAUAUUAUACUCGAUUUGAAGCUUACACUAUCAAAUAUUUUUACGAUCCUUUAUAGCUCCAUAUGACAUUGAUCGAUAUGUGAAUCCUUAGUUUUUUCCAUGAUUUUUUUAGGCUGAAAACCUUAGUUCUUUCCGUGAUUUUUAAGCUGAAACCUUGUUUCAGAUCAUAUUUCACAAUAUUUGGAAACUAAAAACCCAUUGCGAAAAUGUAAUCCUUCAUCUGAAAUAUAUUUUGUAUACGAUGUGUUUACUGUGAAUAGAUUAAACAUACGGUUUCAUUUAUUGUGGACUAACGAAGGACGCAGUUUUUGAUUUUUGGGAACCCUAGUUUAAUCACUGUGCAUGAGCUUAGAAUGAAAUCACAGGCUUUACUUGCUCUUGUUGCUUGAUUCAUUCGUUAUUGAAGUUUGAUUUAAGGUCCCUCUAAGUUGGUGGACUUCUGCAGAAGUCCUGUUUUUGAGAUAUUUGAUAUUCAUUUAAGAACCCUUUUGUUUCUUUGGGCAGCUAAGUGUUGCUUUCGGUAAAGAUGAGCAGCGCUCCAGUUCCAUUCUCAGAUAUUGGUAAAAAAGCCAAAGGCAAGUAUUAAAAGCUUAGAAGUUCAUAAUUAGUGUUCAAGAGGUAGGCUAAUAUUUGCAGUCAUGUGGCUAUGUAGCAUGGUUUGUGUACUAACAAGCUUGGUUAUUUGCUGUUAAUCUUGUCUUGCAUUGCUUUUUGCUAUUUAAUACGUUGCCGAACCUUUUUUUUGACCCUUCUUUAUGAUAAUGAAUCCUGUCGUUGAUGUAUUUCACUAGAGGUAUCUUAUACUUGGUACAAAUAUACUUUGUAGUCCUUUUGUAUCAAAGACAAAGUACAGUUCUAUUUACGGGGGGCAAAAUAACAUGGUUUUGGCUCUUUUCUUUUCGGUAUUGUUGUCUCACUGUCUGAGCCUGUUUAUAAUGUUAUAUUGUAAAUGCUAGUAAUUCUUUUUGAAACAUGAUGAUUUGCUGUCAUUAAAUCCAUACGCCGCUGGAUAAAUGCUUUUUAGUGCUUGGGCAUCUGUAAUAUUCUCCUCGCUGUUUGCCUUUUUAUUUAUUUUCAUAUCUAUCUUCCGUAUGAAUGGUUUGUUCAGCUCUUCAGUGCUCAAAAAAUUUCCUGGUUAUUAAGAUUGCUGCUUUGUUUCUUCUUGCAGAUCUUUUGUACAAAGACUACUAUUUUGAUCAUAAGUUCUCUUUGACAACAUCAAGUGAUUCUGGACUGGUGAGAGUAAAGAUUUUUUCUUCUUGAAUGAAUUUCAAUAUCUCUGUUAACAUAUUUGUUGUUAGGACCCUAGACCUUAUAGAAAUAUCUUUUUUGUUCAGUUAUAUUUGUAGAGUUUCUAAGGAUUCUUUUAUUACAUAUACGUUGUUGCAGUAUAUGUUUAUUGUCAAUUUAUGCAUAUUCAUAUUUUUCAUUUCAUACUUUGCUGUCUAUAAUGGAGGAGUCAUUAGUACCAGUCAGCAUAUAGGAAACAUUAAGAUAGACUAAGAGCUUGUUCAUAUAAACCAUGCUUUUACAUUGUUUUUUCUACUUGACGAAUAGCAUCGUUUUGGUCAUAUUCCAUUUCCAUCCAUAGGAGCAAAGCACCUGACAACACAUUGUUUACUGUCUCACAGGGACUCGCAGCAAGUGGACUGAAGAUUGAUCAACUGUUCAUUGGUGACAUAAGCACACAAUACAAAAGUGGUAGGACAGUUGUUGAUGUCAAAAUCGAUUCCAAUUCAAAUGUGAGUCAAAGAAAAUAGGAAAUCUCCAUGUUUUCAAAUGUAUACUAUGUUCUCCUUUUGUGAAAUGCGAUAGACCUUUUCACAAAAUGCAUCCGUUAUUUUAUGUUAGACAAAUUGCUAUAUUUAUAUGAGCCAUCAAGUGUCCCUUCUACGUAUUCGUGCUUGCUUAUUCGAUGAGAUGUUAGUGGUCAUAUGAAUGAGCCCAUUUACUUGGUUACGAAGUGUGUACUCUGUUUAAUGAUUUUUAGCAUCUGAAUAUUAGCAUUUUCCUUGACAGGUUGCAACUACAGUAACUGUCAACGAGAUAGUCAGUGGUUUGAAGACUUCAUUCAGCUUCAAAACUCCUGAUCAAACAUCUGGCAAGGUCAGUAGUUUAUAGAUGUGCAAGAAAGGACACGGUUUUCUAAUAGGUAUUUAAUAGUAUGCAAUGUUUAAAACAUUUAUCUAUCUCUUGCAAUUUAAAAUCCGUUGCCAUCUAAAUUGUGGUCACAUUCUUCCCUUAAUGUAUGCCUAAAGUAAGUUCUGGCUUGGCUGCUUUUAAAAGUCUUGGUUAAGUAUCCUAUAAUUGCAGAAUUUUUCUUUGUUCCGCUUCUCAACGCUUUAAUGCCUAGAAUCUUAUACUUGCUGUUCUUGUUCCGCAUGAUCCUUAGGAUGUACAUUUAUCUCUCGGAUGUAUUUUGGCUUAUACAUUUUGCAUCUUUUUUCAGAACUGUAUAUACCUUUAUAUCCUAUUACUAUGUAAUUAUAUUACCUCAAAAAUAUUGAAAAACUUACAGGAGCUUCAUUUGUACUCAACUCAACUUUCGUAAGCAACUACUUAUGUUAUUACUAGGCUAUCAAACUAUUUAAUUUGACUAACGAGUAACGAUCAUCUGACUUCGUAUAGGAUCAAAUAUUGAUUGCUCUAAAUUUGGUGAGAUUUUAGUUAAAAUACUGCUAGAUUUUUCUCGACAUCUCCUAUAUUUUGAAAUCUGUUUUAGCCAAAAGUUCACAGCUCUUUAUCUUCCCUAUCCUUGUUGGCUUACAGUCAGCUAAUGUUCAAUGGGGGAAAAUUUUCUCCUGUUCCAUUACAAUUGAAGCGUGUAUUCAGAAAUCAGAAGCAUGUAAUUAUUGUCAUGAGAUUUUUUUUUUUUCCUGUUCCAUGUACUGGGGUCCUGAAAAUUUCUUUGGAAAUGAUGACAGCUUAACUGGAAUGGAAAAAUAAAAGCUUGGAUGCUAUUACAUAUUUUUGAAUAGCACGCAUAAGAUUUAAUAGGAAGGUGCGUUCUGACAAUUUUCCAUCAUUCUUAUUUGUAGGUCGAUGUGCAAUACCUUCACGAACGCGCUGCAAUAAAUUCUAGCAUUGGUUUGAGCUCUACACCUUUGCUGGAGUUGGCAGCAACAAUUGGCACCAGAGAACUUAGUUUGGGGGCAGAGGUUGGAUUUGAUAGUGCUUCGGCAUCUUUUACCAAAUACAACUCUGGGAUUGGCUACAACAAGCCAGAUUUCUCUGCUUCUCUAAUAUUGUAAGUCUGUUUUCAUGUCCUUCUUAGUAAUUUCGUUAUUCUUCCAUGAUCUUUACGAUGGUCCAUCGUCUUUUCUAUACACUUCCGAUUGUAUUAAAUAACUGGUGCUUUUGAAUCCAUUUUUAGUUCUGUUUUAGCAUCAUAUUUCCUUUCUCCAUGCCCAUAGCAUCUGUUUUGGUGUAGAAUUUUUAAUUAAGAGACCUGAUUCUGCAAUAUCUGCUGUUAAAUUUAAAUUUUACUGAGCAUCAUAUCUGACUUGAUUUUUUUACUUUUUAACAUUUGGUAGCCUUAUCUGUGAGAAAUAAAGGGAUCAAACUUUUACUCAAUCCAUUUUGUAUCAUCUGGUCUUUUUCAUUGGUUUGCCAUUCAUUUUCAUAUUGAUGGAGUAUUCUUGGGUAGUCCUCUUUUUCCAUGGGUGGCAACUCUAAUUUAGCGGCUACUUGCUAAUUUUUUAGAAUGAAUGCUGAAUAGCAAAUGCUGUCGAUCAAUCACUUACUGACUUAUCCGAUUCCUUUUUGUACUGAAGAAAAACUGGAUAUAUGAUAUAUUAUUCAUCCAUAUAUUAGAUUAGCACUUCUAAAAUUUUCGUGUUCUGCUGGAACCUCUUACUUAUAUCUGUUCCGUAUUACUUUAAUCCAGAGCUGACAAGGGAGAAACAUUAAGGGCUUCUUAUUUCCACUUGUUCAAUCCAGCCAAUGGAGCUGCUGUUGCUGCUGAAAUAAGCCACCGGUUUAAAACGAGUGAGAACAGCUUCUCUAUCGGCAGCUGUCACUCCCUUGAUCAUCUAACCACAUUAAAGACGAGAUUCAGCAAUAGUGGCAAAGUCGCACUUCUUUGUCAGCACGAGUGGAGGCCGAAAUCGUUUGUCACUCUCUCUGCCGAAUACGACCCCAAAGCCGUAAGAGCGCCUUCGAGGCUGGGGCUUGCAGUAGCUCUCAAACCUUGAAUCGUUCGAAAUCAUCAUCUUUGUACCAGUAUAUUUCAUGCCUUUAUUUUUAUUUACCUGUAAUCUUGGUUGAAAUUAUAGCCAAGAAACCUCGAGUUCAUUUAUUUAAAGAGUUAUGUCCGAACAAGCACGCCGAAAUUGAGACUUAAAACUCAAUUUUGAUGGGGAUUACUCCAGAGAAACAUGAGUGGGUGAAAAUUUGUUAUAGGUGAGUACGGACAGUUGGUUUGUCCAUGGGGUAUGUAGUUUUAUUGGAUGUGGCGACUCUGUGUUUCUUGUUUAUUUUGCAUUUGUUCAAGACGUUCAGCAAAUACUGGUGAGUAACACUCACCGAAGAAACCUUUUUAAGACCUUUUUUAUGUGCAUCAGGUGAUUUUUCUCUGGUUUAUGUUAAGUACUAGAAGCACUGAAUCAGUGUUGUGAAUCCUCUUCGUUCCUUUUUCUCUUUCGCCAAAUCAGUAGGACAGCAUCUCAGCUUCUACUUCUCUCUCUCUCUCUCUCUCUCUCUCUCUCUCUCUCUUUAUUUGGUCAUGAUUGGUUAGCUUGUAAUUGCAUUCAGCUGUGUAGUGUAUAACAACUUUUAAAAAACUAAAAGCAAAAUUAUUUUUCUAAAUUUUUGGGUUUUGUUGGCAAAUAAAUAUCUGAAAUGAAAAAAAAAAUACAAGCAUUUUAUUAUCCAAGUGCCAUGGAAGAGAAUGUACCUCCUGUAUACCCGUGAACAAAACACAUUUGUAUUUGGUUGGUGGACAAAGCAUUUUCGCCGAGAGAAAAUAUGGAAUCAAAAAGCUGAUUGGCGGGAAAAGGAGGCAUCAUCGAUGUUUCACCGACAUGGGUUAGGUAGGGUGCCGAGCGUGUGCGCACCACGUGAUCGGCCGCCUCUCCUCCACGAUCAUCUAUCCUCACUUGGCUACUUAAUUGGCUUCGCUCUUUCCACGCUCUCCUCUUCCUGGUCGCUCUCCACUUCACAAAAGCAAUAGAAGCAUCGCUCUCCACUUCACAAAAGCAAUAGAAGCGAUGGCGAUUCUCUCCGCCCUGCGGGUCUCCAUGUUGUAUCCUCCUCCUCCUCCUCCUCCUCCUCCUCCUCAUGCUCAUGCUCAUCUUCCUCGUGCUCGUGCUCCUAGCCCUACUCCUCAUGCUCAUCUUCCUCGUGCUCGUGCUCCUAGCCCUAAAAAACAAGAGUCUCGCAUCGGAGCAUCGCGAAGAGAGGAUGAAACAAUAUGCAGGGAGACGUGCUUGUACUCGGUUGCUCCCUAUCCCCUCCUGUUUGCGGCUGCCCUACCCGGAGGCGAGCGCUUCUUCCUGUUGUUUGUUUGUUGUUCUUGUUGUUGUUGUUUUUGUUGUUGUCCGAAUCUGAAGAAGGAAACGCGUAACGAAUUUGGAAUUCUUUGUGUGCGUGCGCGCGUGCGUGCGCGUGUUCUGUUUCUGUAGGUGAGGCUGUGAAGUCGAUAUUUGGACCUUUCGCGGAGCUCGUGAAGACGUGGAACCUUCCAGAUUGGCUUGUGCACUGGGGUCACCCCGCAAAUAUGGUAAAAGCCCAACUCGGCCCAUUUUUCGUGCCAUUAAUUCGCUAGCUGUUCACGUUUUGAUGUCACCAAUGUUGUAGCGAAAGCCUCUGAUUGAGGAACAGUCUUCUUACUUCGUUUCAGGAGCUCGGUAUUAUUAUUAUUAUUAAUUGUUAAGAGCUUUAAGGUUGUUUGCAGUUGUAACUAAAUACGGAUUCAAAUUUUAUGUUUGAUUUUAUGUACUUGAAUCAAACUGCUGCAGUUGGAACUACAUGAGGAUGCCCAACUGCAGCAAUUAGAAUGACCACCGGCUAAUGAUUUUAAAAGUAUGAAAUAUUUUUCUUUUCUACAUUGGAGAUAAUCUCACCGGUCCAUCUUAUAUAUAAAGUGAUAAAAUUUUUAAAUACACUUAUCAACUACAUGCAACCGAACAAAUUAUUUAUAGUUGCAGUAUUUUCUGCUAUAUCUAACUAAACAGGAUGUAUGUUGUUGUUACUAUUGUGUUUCUAACUAUUUUGCGUUUCUAAUUACAUCCAAUUAAACAACCCCUUAGAAGUGUAUUUCUAGUGGGGACCCACAUACCAUAAAAUAUGGAGGAUGGUGUUGUAUAUAUAUAUAUAUAUAUAUAUAUAUAUAUAUAUAUAUAUAUAGUUGAGCUAGGAUACUUUUAGAAGCACCACCCACUUGGUGCUUCUAAGUUUUUAACCCUUGGAUCCACUCCAUAAUUACUAAUAUCCCUUGGAUCAAACACUAUUCCACCUACUACCAUCUACCACCACCUACCACCAUCAUCUCAACCUCACAUCUCACCAUCCAAGGGCUAAAAACUCUAAAGCACUACCCACUUGGUACUUCUAAAAGUAUUCUAGCUCCACUCUAUAUAUAUAUAUAUAUAUAUAUAUAUAU
Molecule: long non-coding RNA, 96766 nt
Filed under: Ananas comosus (pineapple)
Lineage: Eukaryota; Viridiplantae; Streptophyta; Magnoliopsida; Poales; Bromeliaceae
Description: long non-coding RNA (ACOM_LNC014158)
Source: RNAcentral